RNAcentral lists this long non-coding RNA (127537 nucleotides) under Citrus x clementina. RNAcentral's name for it is "Citrus clementina (C. clementina) long non-coding RNA (CCLE_LNC004261)". The stretch from base 68586 to 68692 matches the Rfam family "Plant small nucleolar RNA R71". Lineage: Eukaryota; Viridiplantae; Streptophyta; Magnoliopsida; Sapindales; Rutaceae. The record is from RNAcentral.
ACAAUUGCCUUGUUGUUCAUGCCACCAGCACAAUUCAACAGAACAAGCCCUCGAACAAGGGUCUGACUAGAUUCUUAUGGUAGAAAAUAUAGCACGUUUAUCGUAAACCAUAGAUACCAAAAAGGAUAAUCAGGGACAAGUGUUUCUUUGCAAGCAAGUUGAAGAAUAUCUGAUGUCCAAGGGGAAGUUAAAAUAAAUAUACCUGAGGCAGCGAUAACACAAGCUAGGCUUCCAACAGAAUUACCUAUAAGCACAGUUGGCUUCUGAACAACUUCAUCCAAGAAAUCCAAUAUUAGCUGUAUCAGUGAAUCUCACUCAAGUUAGCAAGGAAAAUAACUAAAGGUCAAGUGAUUGAUGACAUAAGUACAGAGAAAGAUCCAACUUCCGGCUAGGGAACAUUGCACACCUGAGCCCAUGCCUCCAUGGUAUAUGAAUAACCAGCUGGCUUAUCUGAAGCACCAAAUCCAAGAAGGUCAAUUGCAUAAACCAUGUAGCUCUUCGCCAGGGUGCCGAUAUUCCUGAAAUUACCUCAGAGAUGACAAGAAAAAUAUCAAUUCCUCACAUUAUUUAAUAGGAUAAAGGAGUAGUGAACACACAAAUUUUCAUUCCUCUCUUCUACGGAGCGGUAAAAUGAAUACUUUUUCACUAGAUUAAGAAUUGGAAAAUGGAAGAAGCCUAUACCCAUAAAAGGGUAAUAUGAAAUGGAACCCUGAAAUUCAGAUCACUGGUUUGUCAUCAUCUAGGUGCAAGGAAUAGAACUAAGUGUUAAUGCCAAUGCACCAUGAAAUAAUGAAUAGAUUUUACUUUCAUUAUUCUUUUGCUUCAUUGAUCUUAAUUAAUUAUUAGAAGUAUAACACAUAUAAAUCCAUCCCUGGAGUUCAUAAUACAUAACAGAGUCAGAGAUAUUACAUACAUAAGGUAAAGACAUGCUCCACACAAAAAAAAAAAAAAAAAUUACAGUCGAAAAUACCCAGAACAUAAUUUGAAUUGAAUUCACAAUAAAGGAGCUACAUUUUUGUGCACCCAAUAAUCAACCCGCUAGACAAUUCACAACAAGAAAGAGCAAUCUUAUCUCGCUAACCUGCGCCAGUGAGGAAUGGAGGCACCAAAGCCAUGGACAAGGAGUAGAGGAGGAGAAUCGGGAUGUGAAUUUGGAGUUGAAGAAACCAAGUAAUUGAUGGAGUACUGACCCUUCCAUUUCCACAUUUUGCAACUCUCCCUUAUCUCAUUAACCUCCAGUUCCAGUGCAGCAGAAGCAGAAUCCCCUCCACUGCUACUGUUAGUAUAACUGAUGGUAACAUUUUGUCUCUUCUUCUUCUCCUCAUUCCUCUGCUGCAACUCCAACUGCAACUGAAACUGCCAACUCUUAUUGCUCAAUAGGGGCAAGCGCAGGCCUUUUACAUCUCCAUUUCCAUUUCCAAUCCUGAGCUUUGUUAUUGGAAUAAUGAAAGAGGGAGCCCGAGCCCUUACCAUCCACACGCUCAUUCUUCUCUUGCUUUUUCAAUUGAAUAUUUUCUGUGGCCUGGCUUGGCCUGCUCCUCCCCUGCUUCCACCUCUAUGCGACUGUGGCUAUGACAAAAACUUUUUAUAUACUUAUUUAUUUAUUGGGCUUAUUCCACUAUAAUAUGAAAAUUUUACUGAUAUUCCUCAAAAAUCAAAAUGAUAAUACUUCGUCUAAAAAAUAAUUAUAAAACAUACAUGCUAUGUUUUAAAAUUUUCAAACAAAGAAGAACUUUGUAGAGUUAAUUAACUAGAUUUAUUUUAGUUUGCUUUCUUGUGAUUUAGAUUAUUUUAUUAUAAUUAGCUACAAAGAUUGCUUUGUCAUAAGUUUAAAUUGAUUAUUUUACCCUUAUAAGGUAAAAAUAUUAAGAAUUUGCUUUAAUUUCAAUAUUUUUCUAAUUUUAUACCAAACUCAUUGUUUCUAAUACUAUUUUACUAAUUACUAGUAUGAGUUUUAAUCUUUAAUUAAACUAAAAUAGUAUCUUUAGGGCAUGAUACUCAUGUAACUUAUUGGGAUGUCAAUUUUAUGUUAUUUACACAUAAAAGUAGAGAAAAUAACAAUUAGAUUUUAUUUAAAAAUAUUAUAUUAUAAGCCACAAAAUUAGAUACAUAAAUUAUUAGAUACAAUAACUCAUGUUUAUUAUGGUAAUUUAGUCACUAUAUAUCAUAAUAAUAAAAUACUAAAAUAAAUCUUGUAUUAAACUUUAUGAUUAAAGAUGGUCAAAUAACCUAAGAAGAAAAUCAAUAGAAGGAUUUUACUGAUUAACUAUACAAAAUUUUUAUUAAUUUUUAUUUUUAAAAAAAUAUUGUGAAUUCAUUACAAUUAAUUUCUAGAAGUAGGGUGGAUUUAUAAAAUAGUGGGGUGCAAAUACCCUUACCCAAAUAUUCCAUAAAAAGUGAAAACUAUUACCUUUUUUGAUGUACUUCUCUUGAAUUUUUUAUUCCUACGGAUAAACUUUAAUUCAUCCCCAAAUAAAAUGAUAAUCUCUAAUUUGCUCUCAAUGUAAACCUCAAUUUAUUCUUCAUUUCUGUCCAAAAGAUGAGGGGCAAAUAAGGAAUGUGUUGAUGGGUUUUUUUUUUUUUUAAUCUUCUUAACAAUAAAUGGGGUAAAUUGAUAUUUUUAUACUUUUAGGUGAUAAAUUAAAGAUUUUCAUUCUGAAUUGGGGGCAAAUUAAAAUCUAUCUUAUUUCUAAAGGCACCACGUGAUUUGGCAAAAUAACUAGAAAGAUAUUUUGUUUUUAGAAAAGGUCACACAUGUCUCUUUUGAGAUACACAAAUUCUCUUUCAGAUAAAACAUUAGGAUUUGUGUGAUUAUUUCUUGACCAAAAGGGUUUGUGUUUCAAAAAAAUGAUUAUGUGAUUAUUUUGCCUGACCGAGAGAGUCAUUAUUCAAACACCAAUCACAUUUUUGUUUUAACAAACACCCUUUCAUUUAUUCUUUAAGCUUUUUUUUUGUUUUUUUCCCAAAAAAUGAUGAAUAGAUAUUGAAAAUUUUGUUUUCAUUUUUUUAUUGAAAAAAAUGAAAAACACCAAAUAUUACUGCUUCCUUGUCCAUACUUUUUCGUCCUAUAUUACCUUAAUUUUAUAUCGUUUUCUCUAUUUCUAUUUUUAUAGUCCAAUUCUGAAAAUACAGUAUUAGACACAUUUUUAAAUUGAAAAACACCAAACAUAGUGCAUCAUUUUCAUUAUAAGCAUUAACACCUGACGUACACAUUCUCCAAAUGGGAUUAAUGGGAAAAAAAAAUGGUGACUCCUUCAGAAAUGAAGUUGUACAAUUAGUUUGAAUUGAGUAGAUACAGAGACGUCUCCAUUGUGCUAUAGUGCCAUUCCUCGUAGAAGAAUCUGAUGGCGGAACAAUACCUACAGCAUCCAAUUUUUCUGGCACAAGGGGUUUUGUGAACAACAAAACUGGCUCAAGAGGAUCCUGAAACCCCACAGUUACAUUUUCAAAAUGAUGCACUGCUGAUAUUCAGAAAUAAAACAAGGAUAAAACAUUUUCGAAAGCUUACUUAAAUCAUUUUUCCUUCCAACCACAGAUAGGUCAAUAAGUCAAAUACUGGAGCUGACAGAGCGCUGGCAGAAUUAACUACAAACCACCAGAUUUAUCGUGUUAAUUGAUUGUUUUCAAUUACCACGGUAACCCGGCUCGGGUGUUACCUCUGUUUCUGUCAGUGCUCUGUUGAAUAUUUCCGUUUAAAAAUCAGCAUUCAUAUAUGUAAGUAGUAUGGCAGCAGCGAAAUAUCAUGCGUAAUAAUUAGGCUAUUAGUUCUGGGUCCAGGAAUUGAGAUAAUCAGAUUAGGUGCAAAAGCUAUAUGUACCAAUUUAUGUAGCCAUGCAUAAUAUAUUCAUUUUUGACUUGCAAAUUCUUCCUUUUCACAACUUUAGGUACAACUUUUCCUUUCCUUUUGAAGGCCCACUCCAGUAGGGGUGGGCAUUUGGUUCGGUUCAGUCUGAACCGAACCGAACCGAACCGUAUUAUGAUAAUUUAGUUCGGUUUGGUUCGCAGCAAAAAAUUAAAUGGUUCAGAAGCAUACAGAGUAGGGGUGGGCAUUUGGUUCGGUUCAGUCUGAACCGAACCGAGCCGAAUCGUAUUAUGACAAUUUGGUUCGGAGCAAAAAACCAAAUGGUUCAGAAAGCAUACAGAGUAGGGGUGGGCAUUUGGUUCGGUUCAGUCUGAACCGAACCGAGCCGAAUCGUAUUAUGACAAUUUGGUUCGGAGCAAAAAACUAAAUGGUUCAGAAAUUCUGAACCAUUUGGUUUUUUAUUUGGUUCGGUUUUACCGAACCAAAUGGUUCAAGAAAAAAUUAAAAUUAAAAAAUAGUUCAGAAUUUAUCUUUUUUUUUAAUUUCUGUUUGUUAGUUAAUACAUGAUAUUAUAUAUGUCAUAGCAUACACUUUAUUUUAUUGUUGAACUUUAUUAUUUUAAUUUAUUAUUGUUAAAUUUUAUUACAUUGGUUAUUAUUUAUGGAUUUCUAGAUUAUUUUUGGAAUUUAUUAUGUUAAUUUACAAUUGUUAGAUUUUAUUAUGUUGUUUAUUGUUUGCUAAUUUAUAGACUCAAGAUUAUUGUUGUAUUAAUAGCGUAUUAUUAUAUUAUAUUUUUUUUAUUAAAUAAUGAAUAUAUAGGAUAAAAUCAAAUCAAACCGAACCGAACCGAACUGAACCAAAUUAAUUUGGUUCGGUUCUAUAAUUUGGUUCAUAAAUUCAUGAACCAUUUGGUUUUAGGAGGAUGGUUCUGCCACGACAGGUAAUACCAUAAACAAAUGAUUUCACCACAUUUCAAGAAAGCAUUUAACUUAUGCCUCAUUUUCAUUCUAGCAAUUUGCUUGCCAUUGGCUGAUUGGAAAAAGUGCAUUUUAGUGAUAGAAUACUGUCAACCUAUAGCACGAAUAGGGGUUAAACAAAGUAAAUCCCUACCUUUACAUGUCAAAUAAAAGACUUUCGUAAUAUCAAAUAUCAAAACUCAUGUCUAGUAAAGGAUUCCCCAAUGCUGGCUCUCAAAAUUGCUUUUGUUUCAUGGAUGAGAUGAUGGUUUUUGUGGAUAUUCUGCUCAACUUGGAUCAUGCCUUGGGUCAGAUCCCAACUUGCUGCAAAGCUCACCUGACUAAAUCUUAGUUGAUUUGCUUUUCCAAACUAAAUCCAAGCAAGUAAGUACAAGAGAUAAAAGCAAAAGUUCAAGCAUCUCUUUUGAGCCUGUCACUAACAAAUGGUCAAUGAGCAAUGUCUACCUAUGACUGAGCAACAGAAUCAAUAAACAGACAGACAAAAAAUAAUAAUCAAGUCAUCUGUCAAAUGCUAGUCCAUGAAAAUCAUAUAUAGAUAUAUAUAUAUAUAUAUAUGUAUGUAUGUAUGUAUGUAUAUGUAUAUGUAUAUGUAUGAUCAUUCAUUUCUCAAUCAACCACCAAAUUGAUGUCAACAAAGCCAUGAGGAUUGUCUCACAAGUCUUUCAUUUUCCCUCUCUUUAGGCCAGAGACCAGUAAACCAUUUGAAAUAUGGAUGUGCAAACCAGUAAAUAAAUCAUGAACUUACAUACUAGUCUGCUUUCGCACUCAUUCGGAACUAUCUAUGAUACUUACUGCAGGUACGGUGUAUACAUUAUACUAAAGUGAAGGCUGGAUCAAUAAGAAAUUCAAAAUGUUUCAUCGCAUUUGGGGCUUGAUGAUGCCAAAGAAAGACCAUACCAAUUACGAUGAACAGUAAAAUGUGAACAAGAACAAGCAUACAUUUAAGAAAGCAGAGAAGCAUCAUUAAAAUAAAGUAUUCUUCUUACUAUUCUAUGUUGUUGGAAAAUGGACCAAAAUAAAAAAGAAACCAUAUAUGGUUAACGUCACAACAAGAGUAUUCGUGCAUUUGUACAUCAUAGGAUAUUGGGAAGACAUCAGCAGAGAAGUGCAAAUUUUUUUUUGGGGAAAGGAACAGAGAAGUGCAAGUCAAAAAGGAGAAAAAGUGAAAAGAGAGAGAUCAAAAGGAAUGCAAUCUAAUUAACCGUCUAAGGAGACUACUAUGCUACAUUUAGCCAUUGGUUGAAUAGGCAGCUUGUUUUCUAGUACAACUUUAAAUUUUCCAAGAUUAAAAUUUUCCUACUGAAGAAAACUAAUUUCUAAAGCAGCUAUUACCAUCUUCAUCCCAACGGUAAGCAGCUCCAUACUAAGGAAAGAGUGAAAUAAGUGUGCUUUACUUAUAGAAGCCCAUUCCUGUCCAGAGUGAUUAGUAAGUUGUUUCACCAUGACCCCCAUUAUGGUGACUGAAAAAAGAAAAAUAAAAGAAGAAAAUAUUUGCCGAACACAAUAGUAGCACCUAAGAAGUCCUACUUAAGAGACUUCAUACCCUGCACAAAUCGGAAAGUUUUUUAAAAUUUUCAUGUUUCAAAUGAAGAUUGUCCAUUAAAAAAUUACACACAUAAUGUAUGUAAAGCAAUUAAAACAAUAAAAAAAAAAAAAAGCAAGACAAGAACAAUGGCUGAUAACAGUCAAAUAAGGAGAGACCAGACCAUAGUUUUCUUUCAGUUAAUUUCUUCUAGUUGUUAGACUCUAACGCACUGUUGGGAGUAUCGGUAAACUUUUAUAAUUAGAAAUUUAGGUACUUAGGAUAAAUUAUACAGUUGCCUCGACCAUGAGCAGCCCCAAUCUUCAAUAUAAUUUCACUUUUUUACUGCAUUAGUGUCUCUUUUUGUUAGGUGCUUACUUUUGGUCUAAAAUUUUAAAAUUUCUCCGGCCGACUUGCAUUAGCAUUUGUAAUAAUAUAUAAUUUUUUUUUUUUCAAACGGAUGUGACAAUAUAUAGUUGAUGGGGUAAUAACUACUUUUAAUAUCUUGGUAUGUAUGAGUUUCAUUAAAUUUUCAGUCAGCUAGCUCCUCAUUAUCUAUUAUAAAUAACUGCAGUCCCUAAUACAAUGUCAUGAUAUUUAUAAAUGAAAGAAUUGGAGAACAAGAAAAUUUGAAACUGCUCUUUUAUCUACCAGCAACAACUAUUAGAAUAUGACAAUUAUCAUUAAUUGACUUUCAUUAGAGUUUAGCACAGAUUGAAUUCUUAAUAAGGCAGCUGACAAAAUAUUUGUUUAUUAAACGAUUGACUGGCCUCCCUCAAUUGGGGACGCGGGCAUUUAUUUAAUUUCUUUUAAUCAAGAUUGGAUGUACCUGUACAUAACCAAUAAUAUUAUGCAAAUAUCCAGAGAAGAGGCACCGAUGACUUUAUUUAUUUAUUUAUUUUGUCGAUAAGCUUCUUUGGAUGGUUGAGAAAAUAAUUUGUUAUUUUUUUAAUCAUAAUCCCCUGCGUAAUGAAAGCCUCCAUUUACUCGUUAUAUGGUAAAACUAAUAAUUUCUCUCAAUUUUUAACGAUAAUUUAUAUAUAAUUCUAGAGAGUCACGCACAUUUGGUUCAAUAAUUGGUUUCAUCCGAAUCAAAAUCUCUCUCUAAUCAAUUCAACUGUUUCUGUUGAUUAUGGCUUCUUCUUCUCGAAACAACAAGCAGUAUGAUGUUUUUGUUAGUUUCAGAGGAGAGGACACCCGCGACAACUUUACUAGCCAUCUCUAUUCUGCUCUGUGUCGACAAAAUAUCCAAACUUUCAUUGAUGACCAACUUAACAGAGGAGGCGAAAUUUCGGAGUCACUGGUGAAUGCAAUUGAAGCAUCAGCCAUUUCUGUUAUCGUCUUCUCAGAAGGGUAUGCAUCUUCCAGAUGGUGUCUCGAUGAACUUGUAAAGAUCCUCGAGUGCAAGAAGGAGUAUGCACAGAUUGUGAUUCCGGUUUUCUAUCGGGUUGAUCCAUCAGACGUGAGAAACCAAACUGGGAGUUUUGGGGAUUCAUUUUCGAAGCUUGAAGAAAGAUUUAAGGAAAAUUCAAAGAAGCUGCUGACUUGGAGGAAUGCUUUGAAGGAGGCAGCCACUUUGUCUGGCUUUAAUUCUCUUAACAUCAGGUGAAAAGUUACUUUUAAUUUCGCAUACUAAUAUUCAACACUGUAAAUAAAAUUCACGCAGCACUCUUAGUUAAAUUUUCCAGAUGAUAAACUACACUUUUAAAUUUUUUCAUGCAUUAAAUUCUAGACUUCUUGAACUUCCCCACUUUUGAACUCCUAUAAAAGAAUUUUUGCAGAAUUAAUAAUAAAAGCUCCAGAGGUUUACAAUAUAUUUUAACAAAAUUAAUGGUUUUCUGUCGUUUUUUAAUCAAUUUCAAUCUCUUACUCAUAUACCAUUAGGAAAAAAAAAUCUCUUCCACAUAUAACAUAUUCCUGUAAUUAAAGAGUUAUUAAUUUAUAGGGAGAUUGUAAAUUCCCUUACUCAAAUCAAUAUAUACUACUUAUUCUGACUCUUUUUACAAUAUUUAAUAACUCUUCUGGUACCAUCACUUUACAAUAUUAUCCUUAUAAAAAAAAAUAAGUGGUAUAUAUUAUUUUCAAUUGGAAAACUAGCAAUCUCCCUUAUUUGAAGUUACUGCUGCUAAUUUUAUGUAUUUGGUAGGCCUGAAUCGGAACUUAUAAACGAAGCUGUUAAUCACAUUUCAAAGAGACUGCUGGAUCAAGUUUUUCGGCCGAAUGAUAACAAAAACCAGCUGGUUGGAGUAGAAUCAAGAAUUGAGGAAAUUGAAUCCUUAUUAGGUGUUCAGUCGAAAGAUGUUUAUGCUUUAGGGAUUUGGGGCAUUGGUGGUAUAGGCAAAACAACAGUCGCUAGAGCUACUUUCGACAAAAUCUCUAGAUAUUUUGAAGGUUCUUGCUUCCUUGAAAAUGUUAGAGGAGAGUCACAAAGACCGGGAGGAUUAGCUUGCCUGCGACAAAAACUUGUUGCAAAUUUAUUGAAGGAUAAAAAUAUGAUUCCUGAUAUUGAGCUCAAUUUUAGAAGGCUCAGCCGCAUGAAGGUUCUGAUUGUUUUUGAUGAUGUGAGUUGCUUUAGCCAGUUAGAAUCCUUAAUCGGAAGUCUUGAUUGGUUGACGCCUGUGAGUCGAAUCAUAAUAACCAGCAGAAAUAAACAAGUGCUUAGAAAUUGGGGGGUGAGGAAAAUAUAUGAGAUGGAGGCAUUAGAAUAUCAUCACGCUCUUGAGCUUUUCAGUCGACAUGCCUUCAAACAAAACCAUCCUGAUGUUGGUUAUGAGGAACUUUCAAGCAAAGUAAUGAAAUAUGCUCAAGGUGUUCCUUUAGCUCUUAAAGUUUUGGGUUGCUUUCUGCAUAAAAGGGAAAAAGAAGUCUGGGAAAGUGCAAUAGAUAAAUUGCAAAGAAUCCUCCAUCCAAGUAUUCUUGAGGUAUUAAAAAUAAGUUAUGAUAGUUUGGACGAUAAGGAGAAAAAUAUUUUCCUUGAUGUUGCUUGUUUCUUUCAAGGUGAGGAUGCAGAUCUAGUAAUGAAAUUUUUUAAUGCAAGUGGCUUCUACCCAUAAAUAGGAAUGAGUGUUCUUGUUGAUAAAUCUCUCAUUGCUAUUGAUUCACACAAAAAGAUAACAAUGCAUGAUUUACUACAAGAAUUGGGUAGGGAAAUUGUUCGACAAGAAUCAAUUGAUCCUGGAAACCGCAGUCAGCUGUGGCAUCAUGAGGAUAUCUAUGAAGUUCUUACAUAUAAUACGGUAAGCAGUUUGUUGUGGAUUAUUAAUUUGGAAUAAUGUAGUGUUUAAAAACUUGAUGUGCAUAUAUUUACAUACGCUCGAACUGAUGAGUCUUAGAAUUAAUAGAAGAGUGGCAAUGAUUAGAAAAAACAAUAGUGGUUAGAUGAUGUAGCAAUGAAUUAUAUAUGCGAUGACAGGUUGCAUAACCGUUUGUAAGCAUAAUUGAUAUGUAAAUUUGUGUAGUACACAUAUAUAAUUUUUAUGUUAAGUAUUACCUGUGUUAUUAUGUCUCUUUGUGCAUUUGCAAUUAAGUGUUUAACUGCCUAGCAAUAACUAUAAACAUGAAUUAUUGAAAUUUGAUACGAGUAAUGAAAGAGAGCCCCACUCCAUUCCCACAUAUAAAUUGAAUUAAUAACUAAGCUACCUCUAAUUGUGAAUUAGUGACAAAAUUGCCCCAGAAAUUUGUCUUGGUGAGAUUGAAGUGCGAUUCAUUAGUGGAAUAUACGUAUCUUUCAUUUGAUUUUAACUUUAUUGUUUUUUAUUUAUUUUUAGGGGACAGAAAAAAUUGAGGGCAUCUGUUUGGAUAUGUCAACAGUAAAAGAGAUCUAUCUAAAUCUCAGUACUUUCACAAAGAUGCCUAAACUGAGAUUUUUAAAGUUCUAUAGUUCAUCAUUCAAUGGAGAGAACAAAUGUAAGGUGUCUUAUUUGCAAGACCCUAGAUUUGCUGAAGUGAAAUAUUUUCACUGGCAUGGAUACCCGUUGAAGUCAUUGCCUUCAAACCUUGGUGCAGAGAAGCUUGUGUUUCUUGAAGUGCCUAAUAGCGACAUUGAACAACUUUGGAAUGGUGAGAAGGUAUGUUUAUCUUACUAUAUAUGUGCAAUCUUUCAAUAAGAACAUUAAAUUAUCAUACAUAGUAAUGAUUUAACAUUGAACAACUUUGGGAUUGUGUGAAGGUAUGCAUAUCUUAUUAUAUAUGUGCAAUCUUUCAAUAACAUUAAAUUAUUACACGUGGUAACGAUUUUGUCUUGGGCUCUUUUUUGACCGAGCAGCAUUAUAGUAAGUUAAACCAGAUAAUCAAUGCUGCUUGCAAUAAGCUAAUUGCCAAAACUCCAAAUCCCACGUUGAUGCCACAUCUGAACAAGCUAGUUAUCUUGAAUCUAAGAGGUAGCAAAAGCCUGAAAAGUCUUCCAUCUGGAAUAUUUAACUUGGAAUUUCUUACCAAACUUGAUCUUUCGGGCUGCUCAAAACUGAAAAGGCUGCCAGAGAUCUCAUCAGGUAAUAUAAACUGGUUAUUUUUAAGGGAGACUGCAAUUGAAGAACUGCCUUCAUCAAUUGAGAGUCUACUUAGGCUCGGGCACUUGGACCUUUCAGAUUGUAAAAGGCUUAAGAGUCUCCCAAGCAGCCUAUUUAAAUUGAAAUCUCUUGGAGUUCUUAAUCUCGAUGGUUGCACAAAUCUUCAGAGAUUGCCCGAAUGUCUUGGCCAAUUAUCCUCGCCAAUAAUAUUGAAUCUAGCGAAAACCAAUGUUGAGAGAAUACCAGAAAGCAUUAUUCAACUUUUCGUGUUGCGAUACCUCCUCUUAAGUUAUAGUGAGAGGAUUCAAUCCGCAUCAUUGCCUCUUGCACGAGGUUGCCUGGCACUGCAACCAUUCUUAGGUUUGUUCUCUAAGUUAUGAAUCUUAUAGGUAGUGUUUUUUGACCGGAGCAAUAAUUUUAAAUUGGAAGGUAAUUUUACUGCAGGAAUUCUUGAAGAUACCCAGAGAAGUCCGCAUAUGGACCAUAAGCUAGCUGUCCGUUGGCAAGAAGUACAGGAAAAUGUGUGUCUUUAACUCUCUCUGCUUACAAUUUCUACAAUUUUUUUUUUUGGGUUUAAAAUUAUGAUUUUUUGGUACAGAGAGGGUUUUCUAUGGGCAAAGUUCAUAUGGUACGGCCUGGGAAUGAAAUUCCAAAGUGGUUUAAGUUUCAAAGUGCGAGAUCUUUUGUAACCUUGGAGAUGCCACCAGAUUUCUUCCGUAAUAGCAGAGUGCUGGGCAUUGCAUUUAGUGCUAUUUUAGCAUUUUCAAACCGUCAUGUAGAUUGUGGCAGAUGGUUUUCAUUUUCUUUUGAGCUCAAAGUGAAAACCACCAAAGAUUGUGGUCCCCAUGACACACAGUUAUUUCAGAGCAGAGUUAAUUAUAUAGAAUCAGAUCACUUACAUUUGGGGUACUAUCUGUUCUGUGAAGAGGAUUUUAAAGGUUUUUGGAAUUGCAAUUGCAUUCCUGAGGCAGUCCAAUUUAAUGUUUUUCCAUCUUUGGAGUGUGAGUGCUGUGGGGUGAAAAAAUGUGGGAUCGAUUUAUUUCGCUUCCCAAAUUCUGCGAGUCCAAUGGAAGAUCCGAGCACAUGUUUCAACUAUAACGAAGAAGGCUGAGAUUUUCAUGAAUGUAUUUUUAUUUCUUUCCUUUUUCUAAUCACUAUUAAUAGUAGGAGAAGAUGUCAAAAUCAGUUAUUGGAACAAAACAUUCAUGUAAUAACUUUUGAGGGAUCUGGUGCAUGUAACACACAUUCACACUAGAGUAUUGAACUUUACCUCAUUAGAUGAAGAGUAUAAUGUAUGAAAAGCACAUGAUGUGUAUUGUAAAAGUAAAAUUAUUGGCCUUGUUUCCUGCAUUGCGCACACAACAAUCCAAAACACAUCUAUCUAAUUAGGAGAGCACGUGACUUAUAAAGCAGUAAAAAAACUCACUCACUAGUGAUAUGGGAUAUUGUAAGAUGCGCAGCAAGUUGUUAUUGGGGGAGUAAUGUUGUGGGCCCAUAUAAGGCCUGACAAGAUAUUGUCCGCUUUGGACCUUAAUGAGGCUCUCAUAGUUUUGUUUCUAGAGCGUCCAUACACCCCAAAACGCGUUUUGUCAAUUAAGGUGUGGAUUACUCCUUAUAAACCCAGAAUCUCUCCCUUACUUGUUGAUGUGAGAUUUGCUUAGGGUGUUACACUCAUCCUGUUGCGCACUAUAUCAAGUCUCAUGUAUAUAAUACAAUCACAUUUGAAAAUUUUCUACUUUCUUAAAUCUAAAUUGUUGUACAUGGGAAAGUUUCAUCAUGUGCAAGCAAAAGCCAUUAAGAGGGAACAGUUAAAACACCAUCAAAUCUAUAUAUUUUAAAAAAUAUAUUUGUAUGUUGAUUAAAAAAAAAAAAGAACAAGAUAGGUGUCAUUUUCACUCAACUCAUUUGUGUUGUGAAUCCAUUUGCUUAAACAUGUAUGCACUUUUUCAAGUAUCUAUACUAAUUUCAUAUUCGGAAUGGUACAUUUGAUUCCAUAGUUGAUGUGGGAGUCUAUGGCUAGAAUUUACCUUUAAAAUAUCAGCUUGGAAGGAAAGGAUUAAAGAUGCCCAUGAACUUAUAUUUCUAUUUAGAAUACUGUAUCUUUUUCAUGCAAAAAAUGGAAUCUUAUCAUUCACAUAUCAUUAACAUAAGCAAUAUAGAUCGCAUAUCUUUAUGAUUGUGCUAAAUUUGACUUUUUAUAGAAUAAUUUGAUACAUUUCUUGAAUCCAUUUGGAGCUUCUACAACUUGUUAGGGAUCAGUUUCUCCUACAUUCAUUUCGGCGCCAAAAGAUAUUCAAGCGGUUGAAUAAGAAUUGAUAUAUACAACAUAAAUAUAAGAGUUGUUUGCCUUUUUACAAUCGCAAUAAUAUAUAAUGCACAUAUAAAUGCAUUCAUGUAAUUCACAGAGUCAGAGAUAUUACAUACAAAAGUUAAAUACAUGCUUUGAACCUAUACAAAAAAAAUUAUAGUCGAAAUUACGUAGAAGAUGAAUUGAAUUCACAAUAAGGAGCUAAAUUUUUAUUUACCCAACAAUCAUCUCGCUACACAAUUCACAACAAGAAAGAGCAAUCUUGUUUAGCUAACCUGCGCCCGUGAGGAAUGGAGGCACUAAAGCCAUGGAUAUGGAGCAGAGGUGGAGAAUUGGGAUGUGAAUUUGGAAUUGAAGAAACCAAGUAAUUGAUGGAGUAUUGGCCCUUCCAUUUCCACAUUUUGCAACUCUUCCUUACCUCAUUAACCUCCAAUUCCAGCGCAGCUGAAGCAGAAUCCCUCCACUGCUACUGUUAGUAUAACUGAUGGUAACAUUUUGUCUCUUCUUUUUGUCCUUAUUCCUCUGCUGCAACUGCAACUUAAACUGCCAACUCUUAUUGCUCAAUACGGGCAUGAGCAGGCCCUUUCGAUUUCCAUCCCCAAUUCCGAGUGUUUUUAACUUGUUAUUGGAAUAAUGGGAGAGGGAGCCCGAGCACAUACUCAUUCUUUUCUUGCUUUUUCAAUUGAAUAUUUUCCGUGGCCUAGACGGGCCUGCCCUUUCCCUGCUUCUACCUCUAUGAGACUGACUACAACAGAACUUUUUAUUUAUUUAUUUAUGAGGCUUAUUCCACUNNNNNNNNNNNNNNNNNNNNNNNNNNNNNNNNNNNNNNNNNNNNNNNNNNNNNNNNNNNNNNNNNNNNNNNNNNNNNNNNNNNNNNNNNNNNNNNNNNNNNNNNNNNNNNNNNNNNNNNNNNNNNNNNNNNNNNNNNNNNNNNNNNNNNNNNNNNNNNNNNNNNNNNNNNNNNNNNNNNNNNNNNNNNNNNNNNNNNNNNNNNNNNNNNNNNNNNNNNNNNNNNNNNNNNNNNNNNNNNNNNNNNNNNNNNNNNNNNNNNNNNNNNNNNNNNNNNNNNNNNNNNNNNNNNNNNNNNNNNNNNNNNNNNNNNNNNNNNNNNNNNNNNNNNNNNNNNNNNNNNNNNNNNNNNNNNNNNNNNNNNNNNNNNNNNNNNNNNNNNNNNNNNNNNNNNNNNNNNNNNNNNNNNNNNNNNNNNNNNNNNNNNNNNNNNNNNNNNNNNNNNNNNNNNNNNNNNNNNNNNNNNNNNNNNNNNNNNNNNNNNNNNNNNNNNNNNNNNNNNNNNNNNNNNNNNNNNNNNNNNNNNNNNNNNNNNNNNNNNNNNNNNNNNNNNNNNNNNNNNNNNNNNNNNNNNNNNNNNNNNNNNNNNNNNNNNNNNNNNNNNNNNNNNNNNNNNNNNNNNNNNNNNNNNNNNNNNNNNNNNNNNNNNNNNNNNNNNNNNNNNNNNNNNNNNNNNNNNNNNNNNNNNNNNNNNNNNNNNNNNNNNNNNNNNNNNNNNNNNNNNNNNNNNNNNNNNNNNNNNNNNNNNNNNNNNNNNNNNNNNNNNNNNNNNNNNNNNNNNNNNNNNNNNNNNNNNNNNNNNNNNNNNNNNNNNNNNNNNNNNNNNNNNNNNNNNNNNNNNNNNNNNNNNNNNNNNNNNNNNNNNNNNNNNNNNNNNNNNNNNNNNNNNNNNNNNNNNNNNNNNNNNNNNNNNNNNNNNNNNNNNNNNNNNNNNNNNNNNNNNNNNNNNNNNNNNNNNNNNNNNNNNNNNNNNNNNNNNNNNNNNNNNNNNNNNNNNNNNNNNNNNNNNNNNNNNNNNNNNNNNNNNNNNNNNNNNNNNNNNNNNNNNNNNNNNNNNNNNNNNNNNNNNNNNNNNNNNNNNNNNNNNNNNNNNNNNNNNNNNNNNNNNNNNNNNNNNNNNNNNNNNNNNNNNNNNNNNNNNNNNNNNNNNNNNNNNNNNNNNNNNNNNNNNNNNNNNNNNNNNNNNNNNNNNNNNNNNNNNNNNNNNNNNNNNNNNNNNNNNNNNNNNNNNNNNNNNNNNNNNNNNNNNNNNNNNNNNNNNNNNNNNNNNNNNNNNNNNNNNNNNNNNNNNNNNNNNNNNNNNNNNNNNNNNNNNNNNNNNNNNNNNNNNNNNNNNNNNNNNNNNNNNNNNNNNNNNNNNNNNNNNNNNNNNNNNNNNNNNNNNNNNNNNNNNNNNNNNNNNNNNNNNNNNNNNNNNNNNNNNNNNNNNNNNNNNNNNNNNNNNNNNNNNNNNNNNNNNNNNNNNNNNNNNNNNNNNNNNNNNNNNNNNNNNNNNNNNNNNNNNNNNNNNNNNNNNNNNNNNNNNNNNNNNNNNNNNNNNNNNNNNNNNNNNNNNNNNNNNNNNNNNNNNNNNNNNNNNNNNNNNNNNNNNNNNNNNNNNNNNNNNNNNNNNNNNNNNNNNNNNNNNNNNNNNNNNNNNNNNNNNNNNNNNNNNNNNNNNNNNNNNNNNNNNNNNNNNNNNNNNNNNNNNNNNNNNNNNNNNNNNNNNNNNNNNNNNNNNNNNNNNNNNNNNNNNNNNNNNNNNNNNNNNNNNNNNNNNNNNNNNNNNNNNNNNNNNNNNNNNNNNNNNNNNNNNNNNNNNNNNNNNNNNNNNNNNNNNNNNNNNNNNNNUUAAGCGCUUACUAAAAUACUCUAUGUGAUGGAACCUCCACCCAAUAAUUGUUGCAUACCCAUCUCAUUUUAAAAAAAUAAUUAUAAAAAGUAUAGACUAUUUUUAAAAAUCUUCAAAUAAAAGAAGAACUUUAGAGGAUUAAUUAAUUUAAUUUAUUUUUUUGUGACUCAAUUUUUUUAUUAUAUUUGACUACAAAGAUUACUUUGGCAUAAGUUUAAAUUGACAAUUUUACUCUUACAAGGUAAAACUAACAAGAAUUUACUUUAAUAUUUUUCUAAUUUUAUACCAGGCUCAAGGUUUCUAAUACUACUUUAUUAGUAUGAGUAUUAAUCCUUAAUUAAACUAACAUAGUGUCUUUAUGGCAUAUACUAAUGUAAAUUGUUGAGAUGUCAAAUUUAUGCCAUUUACACGUAAGGGUAGUAAAAGUAAUAAUUAGAUUUCAUUUAAAAAUAUUAGAUUAUAAAUCACAAAAUUGAAUACGUAAAUUAUUGGAUACAAUAACACAUGUUUAUUGAGGCAAUUUAGUCGUUAUAUAUCAUAAUAAUAAUGAAGUAAAAUAAAACUUAUAUUAAAGAUUAUGAUCAAAGAUGGUCAAAGAACUUAAGAUCGAGCAAAUCCCUUGACUGCAAAAAUUAGAUCAAGCAAAGCUUGCAUUCCCUAUAGUUAAAAAAGGAAAAAAAAAUCAUUACUAUUACCCUUAAAUUUUAAUUAAACAAACUUAAAUUUUAAUUAAACAAAAAACGAAGCAAGAGUGAAUAGAGUAAUACCAAAGCAAAUUUAGGAUUGUUAGGUCCAAUUGUGGACAAACUUCUGAACUUCUAAUAGUAGACUUAGGAGGAAGGAUUUGAAGAGGCUGCAGUGGCGGCGAAUACGCAUCAAGAUUCACAUUGCUCCUCACUUUGAGGGCCAAAAGAGUGCGGAGGCGAGACAAAGCUGACGUGCGAUUCUUGUGCUACGAUCGGUCUUCGGCGGCCUGCGCUAUGAAGCCGGUCGGUAUGUGCUUGAGACGUACGGCGGAUUCGUGCUUGUUGUGGUGCUGACCGCCUGGUCCCAACGAUUUGUACGUGUCCAUUUCGCAUUCGCGAAACAGCUCAUCGUCCGUCAAUUCUAAGUAAUUCUUCUUCUUUGAAGAAGAAGAUGAAGAACAAUUGUCAUUGGUGUUCUAAUUGCAAGACAAGAACAAUGGCUGAUAAUUCCAGCAACACAUUCUUAUAGUAGGCCCAGCCUAAUCCAGCCCAGUUGCGCUAGUGAGCGACUUCUCGCCUAUCUUAUAUGCAAUGAUUAUGUGUUGGUUGGAUGUAGUUUAUCUAAUAAGUCUUUAUUUAGGGCCAAUUUGGGAUUGCGAAGUUGAUGAAAUAAACUACUUGUACUGCAUAGAUAAAUAAGCCGCUAAUUAAAAAGGUAGCUAAGUAUUUGGUAAAUUGCAUUGUUGCAGUUGUUGUAAGUUUGAAAAGUAGAGUACAUGCGUUUGGUAAAUUUUAUUACGAAAGUGAUGUUUUAUUAUAUGAUGACCAAAAUAGAAAUAAGUUUAAAUUAUCUUUUACUUUUAGAGUAUAUUUAAUAAAUCAUUUAGACAUACCUUUUCUUCUUAAACGUGUAAAAUUACAUUAAAAAACUCAAUUAACAACAUGGAUAUAAAAUAAAACAUGGAUAAAGAAAAAAAUAUAGGAAAAAGGACAUUUACACCCCCAAGGUUUGGGGAUCACCAACACCCCCAAUUGUUUAAAGAGGGACAUCCACACCCCCUUUUGACCAUUAUACACUUUACCUCUAUUAUUCUAGAAAAAUUGACUCUAAUAUUUUACAAUAAAUAUAAAUUUAAUAUUAAAAUAAAUUUAAUAAUAUAUACAUUUUAAAAUAAUUUUAAUAUUUAAAAAAUAUUUUAAUAUUAUAUAAUCUAUUAGAUAUAUUUUAUUAUAUUAAAGUAAAUUUUAUGAUAAAUAGAAUCAAAAUAUUAAAAUAAAGGUAUUAAAAAUUUAAAUUAUUUUGAAUAUUAUGUAAAAUAAUUAUUUUAGCAAUAUUAGUAUGUAAGAAUGUUUUUAAUUGUAGAAUGUAUUUAAUGCAAAUAUUUAUUUAAAAUCUCUACAAUAAAUAAAAAUAUAUUAUUAAAAUAAAUAUAAUAAUUUAAAUAUUAAAAUUUAUUAAAAUAUUAAAAUAUUUUAAUAUUGUUAGCUACUACAUAGAUUGCAUUAUUUAUAUGGUAUUUGUAUUUAAUAAAAAUUUUAAAGUCAAUUUUUUAGAAUAAUAGAGGUAAAUGGUAUGAUGGUCAAAAGACGAUCUUGGUGUCCCUCUUUGAAAACUUGGGGGUGUUGGUGAUCAUUUCCCCAAACUUGAGGGUGUAGUUGUCCUUUUUCCAAAACUAUUUAGAAAAAAACAUGAACCUACUGGAUAAAAAUUAGAUAUAAAAAAAUAUAAAUAUAUAUAGAUUAAAUUUUAAAAGCCAUAGUUAUGGAAUUACAAUAUGAACUUAUUAGAUAAAAAAUGGAGAAAACGUACAUGGUUAUAGCGGUUAGGGAUGGCAAAACCUCGGGCCAGGUCCUGGUAUUGCAAUGACCGGACCCUGCCCGGAUGCAACCGGUCUGGGUCCGGGCCGGGUUUUAAUCCAGGUACGCAAAUUUUAUAUUUUUUUAAUAUUAUAUGUGUAUAUAUUUUUUAUUUUUUGGUAAUUUUAUAAGUUUUAAAUUUAUUUCAAUAAAAUUUGACAUGAAAAUAUAAACUUUAAGUGUUUAAAACUUUAUAUAUGUAUAAUAAAUGAGUCAAAUAAAUAUAAAUAUUUAAAAUAAUAUAUAUUUUAUAAUAUUUUUUUAAUAAAAUUCGGAUUCCGGGUUUAUCAAGUGAUGCCCAAUACUGACCCGGCUUCAUACCUAGACCGGGUAAUACCCGACCCACAAUGCCCGGGUAUGGUCCGAGUCCGGACCGGGCUGGUAUUUUUGCCACCUCUAAUAGCGGUAACUAAAUUAUAGUGGUAAUAUGAUAUCUAAUUAUUUAUAUAUUAGGGUUUAUAAAUAAGUAAGAUAUAAUUGUCUUUUUAUUAAAAUACUAGGGUUAUAAUAGGAAUUUUUAAAAAGUGUUGUAGCUUAUUGAAUAAGUUGCUUAUGAUAUCUAAUGAUUUAUAUAUUAGGGUUUAUAAAUAAGCAAUGAGAAAUUCUAGAAUACAUCUGAGGUACCAUGUCAUCCAUACAACAAGCAAUAAUAUCAUGACAUGUGUGCAUUUAUUUUGAACUAUUAUCAUGCAAGUGGUGGUUGUAUUAAAUUCAAUUACACUGGUCAUGCAUGCAUCAAUUGGUUGUAGUACCUCAGAUGUAUUCUAGAAUUUCUAAAUAAGCAAGAUAUAAUUGUCUUUUUAUUAAAAUAUCAGGGUUGUAAUAGGAAUUUUCAAAAAGUUAUGUAGCUUAUUGAAUAAGCUGCUUAUGAAAAGCAAACACCUACCUGCUUUUAAAAGCUGCUGAUAAAAUGGAAAAAAUUAUGAAAUAAGUUACUUUUACAAAAUUUAGCAAACACUAUUUUUGUCAAAAAUUAUGAAAUAAACAGUUUAUUGAAUUUCAACCUCAAUACCAAAUAGGGCCUUAAUCUUAUAAGUUCUUUUCAAAUUUUUUAUUGUUAUUUAGUUAUUUUUUUAGUAGCACUUUUAAAGACUAAAUAAGAUAUUUUGCAUCUACUAAUAAAACUCAAAUUUUAGGCUUUUGUGAGUACAUGUUGAAAAGCUUAUUUAAAAUGUUAAAAUGCCUAAAAUAUUCUUUAUUUAUUUGACAAUCUUAUUUUAUUUUUUUAUAACAUAACUUUAAAAAACUUGUCUAUUAAAUUAAUUUUAUAAUUUGUAAUAAAAGUUUUCAUUGACAACCAAACAAUUAAAUUUCUUUUUAGUAACUCUAUUUAUAAAAGUUCUACUGACAAAAGGUCUAUUUAAAUAAGCUCUAUUUAAAAGUUACACCAAACAGAUCCAACAGUAUCAUUGACGCAAGCAAUGUAAUUAUUCUAUUAUUUUUUAACUUAUGUGGCUCUGUAUCAUUUGAAAAAUCCUAUUAUAAGAGAGAGGGAUAUAAUUUAUGCUGGAAUAUUCUCAAAAUAAAUGGCGUGCCUUAAAAGGUGUCUUAUAGUAAAAUACAUCUAACUAAAUAUUGUCAUAUACAAGAAAAAUGUAUCCUUUUUUUUUUAAAAAAAGAUGUAUCUAUUCAUGGUGCCAUAUUUUUAUUUGAAAUGAUGGUGGUUUAUCUUGGACCAGUGAUGAUUUAAUUCAAAUUUUAAUCCAAUAACCAUGGAUAGAAGGUGUCAUAAAAGGUAACAGCCCAAAUGAAGGGGCACAUGAUUAUCUAUAAAUAGAAGUCACAACAUUUUCUAUAAAUAGAAGUUACGCCAUUUUGUGAUCCAUAUAAUCUUCUUGCACCUCUCUUUUUUUCUUUUUUUAUUUAACCCCUCUUUCCUAAAUCGAAUUUAUGCAUAAUACAUCUAUAUUUUAUGCAUCAAAUCUCUAAAAUAUUAUUUUUUACAGGAACAAUAUAUUGAUUUUUCGUAGGCUUGCAACACACAAGGGUAUUUAGGUUUGCUUUUAUUAGUGCAUAAUACAAGCAAAUAAAACAAACACUUCAUUAUAUCAUGGAGACAUAUUUGCUUAACUCAUAUAUAUCACGCAAAUGCAGGAGGGAGUAACUAACUUCUUGAGGAAUGCAACAUUGUGUCUUGCAGCACUGUCAAUUAUUACAGUGUACUAUUCUUAUUAUUAUUAUGAUUAUUAUUCUUUGUACCUAUAAAAUUUCAUCUAUUUUUCUCCAAUUUUCCACAGUUAUUACUCCCCACGAAUAUAUUUCCAAUAAAACAAACACUUCAUUAUAUCAUGGAGACAUAUUUGCUUAACUCAUAUAUCACGCAAAUGCAGGAGGGAGUAACUAACUUCUUGAGGAAUGCAACAUUGUGUCUUGCAGCACUGUCAAUUAUUACAGUGUACUAUUCUUAUUAUUAUUAUGAUUAUUAUUCUUUGUACCUAUAAAAUUUCAUCUAUUUUUCUCCAAAUUUCCACAAUUAUUACUCCCCACGAAUAUAUUUCCAAUAUUUUAUUUCAUAUAUUUACUUCUGCUACUAGUACGAUAACAAAAUAUGCCUUUUUGAACCACAUCAAUUUCUAGAUCCAUUUUAUUGAUAAAUUAACCGAACGCACCAUCCAUUAUUUAAUUUAUGGGUCAAAUAAGUCAUAAGUAGUUGAAAUAAAAUGUUUGUUUGGUAGAUAACAUCGGUUUUUAAAAUACUUUAAAAGAUUUUAUUUCUAUGAAGCCUAGUCCAACAUAGAAAAUCAAAUAAAAUUAAUUUUCAUCACUACUCAAGAGACUCAAAGAGUACUAAUGUAGCGUUUAUUUUUUUAUAUAAAAUUUGAAUAGGCCUGAAUUUGGGUGAAGUCUGAAUAUAAAUGUCUAAAUAAUAUGUUUAUUUUUUUAAUAUCUGAAAAUUGAGUGACGUCUUAUUUAUUUUUAUAAUUUAAAAAAAUCGAACAUAGUUAUUUGACAUUUUUGUCCUUAUAAGUCAAAAUGAAUAAAAGAAUUAUGUUUUAUAGUUUAGGAAAUAACUAUAUUUAAUAGAAAUAUCUUUAGGGUAUAGUAUUUACUUUCCAUUUCGAUAAAAAUAACAAAAAUUCACUUUUUGUAUUCAAAUGUAAAUAUGUAAAACUCACACAUAAGUUCCUAAAAAGUAAACAAGCAACUUUAAGAAAAAAAAAAGUUACGUAGCUUUUGUUUUAAACAAAAAUAAUAAAUAAGAAUAAUUUUCAAAAUUAAAUACAGUAUCACCCUGCUCAUUGCUGAUAGUUAUGACUUAUGAGUAUGAAAGCACAAAAGCCGUGUGUUGAAAGUAUGGUGUUCAUGUGGAAAUUUCAGCUAAAAGUCCACAAAGUAAUUUCAGUCAUCUUACAGUCUCCAAGGUGCUUGGACAAUGAGAUGACAUUGAAAAAUUAUCACGGAACUUCGAGGGAGGUUCAUAGCAUCGAUUUAUUCUACAGAGUCACGCUCAUUUUGGCUUAGUAAUUGUUUUCAUCUGAUCAAAAUCUCUCCCAAAUCAAUCCAACUGUUUCUGUUAAUUAUGGCAACACGAAAUAUGAUGUUUUUUUUUCAGUUUUUUGGGUAGAUAAUCUCAAUUUUAAAAUACUUUAAUAGAUUUUGAAAGAUAAGAUACAAUGGUAUACAACUAAAGCCUAAUCCAACAUAGAAAAAUUAAAUAAAAUUAAUUUUCAUCACUACUCAGAGAGAAUUGAAAGGACAUUAAAGUAGUGUUUUUUUUUUAUCUAAAAUUUGAAUAGCCUGAAUUUGACUGAAAUCUAAAUGGGUUUGAAUAUAAAUGUCUCAAUAACAUUUUUCUUAAUACCUAAAAAUUAAGUGGCAUCUUAUUCGUUUCUAUAAUAAAAAAAAUACAUCAAACGCUGUUAUUUGACAUUUAUGCCCUUAUAAGUCAAAUUGAGUAAAAGGGAUUAGGCUUCGUAGUUUAGGAAGUAACUUUAUUGAAUAGAAAUAUUUUUCGGAUAUAGUAUUUAUUUUGCAUUCAAACAUUUUCUCAUUUUGUCAAAGGUCACAAAAAUUUACUUUUUUAAUUUAAAUGUAAAUGUCUAAAAAUCAGACAUAAGUUAAAAAAAAAAUAAUUAUUAUUUUUUUAAAGUUAGACUUCAUAUGUUUAACAAUCAACUGUAAGGAACAUGAAAAAGAGCUAUUAAAACAAAAAAAAAAUUUUGAAACUAAAUACAAUUAGUUGAGAGAUGAGGACCGAUAAGAUAAAUUGAGAGAUAAAAACUAAAAUAUCAGCCCCUCAUUGCUGAUAGUUAUGAGUAUGAAAGCACAAAAGCCAUGUGUUGAAAACUAUGGUGUUCAUGUGGAAUUUUCAGCUAAAAGUCUACAAAGUAGUGGAAUUAAUCAAUCAUCGUGGAGUGCACGGUGGUUGGACAAUGAGAUGAAAUUGAAAAAUUAUCACGGAACGUGAAGGAAGGUUCAUGGCAUCGAUUUAUUGUACAGAGUCGCGCACAUUUGGUUCAAUAAUUGUUUUCAUCCGAAUCAAAAUCUCUUUCUAAUCAAUUCAAUUGUUUAUGUUGCUUAUGGCUUCUUCUUCUCGAAACAACAAGAAGUAUGAUGUUUUUGUUAGUUUCAGACGAGAGGACACCCGCGACAACUUUACUAGCCAUCUCUGUUCUGCUCUGUGUCAACAAAAUAUCCAAACUUUCAUUGAUGACCAACUUAACAGAGGAGAUGAAAUUUUGGAGUCACUUGCGAAUGCAAUUGAAGUAUUAGCCAUUUCAGUUAUUGUCUUCUCAGAAGGGUAUGCAUCUUCCAGAUAGUGUCUCGAUGAACUUGUAAAGAUCCUUAAGUGCAAGAAAGAGUAUUCACAAAUUGUGAUUGUUGGGAAAUUAAUGGGUGAAGUAGGGCCACAGAUAAAAUGAAAUUGGAAGAAAAUAAAGAACAACCUCAAAAGAGGACACUAGAAAUUACGUGGUUCGGCUUUUAACCUACGUCCACGGGUGAAGACAGAAAGAAAAUAUUUUACUAGUGAAAAGGAAUUACAAGUAUUGUGGUAUUUUAACUCACUACCCAAAAUCUCAAUACACCCAAACUCUCAAAUCACAAAUCAUUCAAGAGUUUGUUAAAACUUUUAAAAUACUCUCACUUUCUCUCUAAAGAAGAAGAAAUAAAACUGAAAAAAUUGGAUGCUCUAAGCCGAUGGGAAACUCCUCUUUUUAUAGCCAAAAUUGGCUAUUAAAAUAAUAAUUUUUUUUCUUGGGCGGCACCCUUUCUUCUUCUUUCAUUUUCUUCUUUCUUCUUUUUCUUCAUUCCAAAUUUGAUGCUGCCAAAUUCUUCUUUUUUUCUUGAACAAUUUCAGCAUUCAAAAUGGGCUGCAUCUAGAACGGUUGGCUUCUAGAUUUGCAGCAUCCAUUUUUUACAGUGAUUACGGUUUUCUAUCGAGUUGAUUCAUCAGACGUGAGAAACCAAACAGGGUGUUUUGGCAUUUCAUUUUCGAAGCUUGAAGAAAGAUUUAAGGAGAAUUCAGAGAAGCUGUAGACUUAGAGGAAUGCUUUGAAGGAAGCAGCAAGUCUGUCUGGCUUUCAUUCUCAGAACAUCAGGCGAAAAGUUACUUUUAAUUUCGCAUACUAAUAUUUAACACUGUAAAUAAAAUUCACGCAGCACUUUUAGUUAAAAUUUCCAGAUACUAAACGACACUUUUAAAUUUUUUUAGGCAUCAAAUUCUAGGCUUCCCGACUUCCCGACUUUUGUGCUCUCAUAAUUAUAAAAUAAUUUUGACAAAAUUAAUAAUAAAAGUUGGAGAAUUUUAUAAUAUAUAUCUAACAAAAUUAGUGGUGGGCUGUCGUUUUGUAGGCAAUUUCAACCGCUCACUCAUAUACCAACACUAGGAAAUAGAACCGCACUUCGUGCGGCUUUAAAAAAGAAAUUAGUAUUAUUUUUUUAUUACUUUACACUUGAUAAAACUGAUAAAAAAUAUGAAUUGAUUUUUUUUUAAAGAUGACGCAGCCUUAUAAAACUAAUGUUAUUUAUGAAAGUUAUUUUUUUUUUUAACUUUAAAAAUAUAUAUUAAUGUGUAUAGUUAAGUGUACACAACCUUUUCAUCAAUAAAAAUUAUGUUCACACUAAUCAACUCUCCAUUCUUCUUAGUAUUAACAAACUCCCACAUUUUACAAAGCCUAACCCUUAUCAUCCAACUAUCUUUAUUAUUGUUUAACUCAUGAAGAAAAGAAUACUACAUGAAGCACACAAUGCAAAAAAUUUAAAUAAGUCAAAAAAUAAAAACACAAGAACAUUUCUAAAGAGGAUGUUGGUUAAAUAAUAAAAAAAAACCCAAACAUAACAAAUCUUAAAUACUUAAUAUUUAUAUAGUUUGAAGAAGCCAAAAGACGCUAAAUAAAAGGUUGCAUGAUUAAAUAUGAAAUUAUGACAUUAAAAUUCGGUCCUAGUGGUAUUGGUGAGGGAAGAUGAAAGAACCUUCCUUCCUAUAUUAAUUAAUUGAUGUAUUUUAAACCACUAAAGUUUAGUUGUUGGCUUAAUAAAAUAAAUGAAUGUUUCAAAACUAUAAUUAAUUUAUUAUUAAUAGUUACAUAUUGUUGAAUUUAAAUAGAAAGAAGAAGAGACAUGUAAUCUUUUAUAAUCUACUAAUUAUUUUCUAUUUUUAAUAUUUUGUAAUGUAAUUAUUUUUUAAUCUCAACCAAUAUAUUAGAUUAUAGAGAAUAUAAAAAGAUGAGAAAUAAUAAUGCCACAAAUCUUAACUACUUAAUAUUUAUAGAGUUUGAAGAAGUCAAAAGGCACUAAACAAAAGGUUGCAUAAUUAAAUAUGAGAUUAUAUCAUUAAAAUUAGACCCUAAUGGCAUUAUUGUGGGAAGAUGAAGGAACAUUCCUUCCUAUAUUAAUUAAUUGAUAUAUUUAAGCCACUAAAGUUUAAUUGUUGGCAUAAUAAAAUAAAUUAAUGUUUGAAGACUUAUAAUUAAUUAUUAUUAAUGGUUACAUAUUAUUGAAUUUAAAUAGAAAGAGGAAGAGACAUAUAAUCUAAUAAUUAUUUUUUAUUUUUAAUAUUUUGUAAUGUAAUUAUUUUUUUAAUAUCAACCAAUUUAUUAGAUAAUAGAGAAUACAAGAAGAUGAAAAAUAGUGAUGCCACAUCACCUCAUCUAGUCCCAACUUUAUAUAUAUAUAUAUAUAUAUAUAUAUAUAUAUAUAUAUAUAGAUUGUUAAUAUUUUGUAAUGUAAUUAUUUUUUAAUCUCAACCAAUAUAUUAGAUAAUAGAGAAUAUAAAAAGAUGAGAAAUAAUGAUGCCACAAAUCUUAAAUAUUUAAUGUUUAUGGAGUUUGAAGAAGCCAAAAUGCACUAAACAAAAGAUUGAAUAAUUAAAUAUGAGAUCAUGACAUUAAAAUUAGGCUCUAAUGGCAUUAUUGAGGGAAGAUGAAGGAACCUUCCUUCAUAUAUUAAUAUUAAUUAAUUGAUGUAUUUUAAGCCACUAAAAUUUAAUUGUUGGUAUAAUAAAAUAAAUGAAUGUUUCAAGACUUAUAAUUAAUUAUUAUUAAUGGUUAUAUAUUGUUGAAUUUAAAUAGAAAGAGGAAAAGACAUGUAAUCAUUUAUAAUCUAAUAAUUAUUUUCUAUUUUAAUAUUUUGUAAUGUAAUUAUUUUUUAAUUUCAACCAAUUUAUUAGAUAGUAGAGAAUAUGAGAUGAUGAGAAAUGGUGAUGCCACAUCACCUCCUCAAGUCCCAACUUUAUAUAUAUAUAUAGAAGAUUAGGGAAAAAAAACAUAAAAAAAAACUCACACAUAUUCCUGUAAUUUAAGAGUUAUUAAUUUACUGGGAGAUUGUAGAUUAGUAGUGGUGUAUAUUGUAGACUAGUAGUGGUAUAUAUUAAUCUCCCUUAUUUCAUAUUCAAUGCAAAUUCCUCCUAUUAAUUUGAAGUUAUUGCGGCUAAUUUUAAGCAUUUACUAGGCGUGAGUCAGAACUUAUAAAUGAAGUUGUCAUUUUGAAGAGAUUGGAUGAAGUGUUUCGGCCGCGUGAUAACAAAAACCAGCUGGUUGGAGUGGAAUCAACAGUUGAGGAAAUUAAAUCUCUAUUAGGUGUUGAGUCGAAAGAUAUUUACGCUUUAGGGAUUUGGGACAUUGGUGGUAUAGGCAAAACAACAAUUGCUAGAGCUAUUUUCAACAAAAUCUUGAAUGAUUUUGAAGGUACUUGUUUCCUUGAAAAUGUUAGAAAAGAGUCACAAAGAAUGGGAGGAUUAGCUUGCUUGCGACAAAAACUUCUUUUAAAUUUGUUGAAGGAUGAAAAUAUGAUUCCUCAUAUUGACCUUAAUUUUAGAAGGCUCAGCUGCAUGAAGGUUUUGAUUAUUUUUGAUGAUGUGACUUGCUUCACCCAAUUAGAAUCCUUAAUAGGAAGUCUUGAUUGGUUGACGCCCGUGAGUCGAAUCAUAAUAACCACCAGAAAUAAACAAGUGCUUAGAAACUGGGAGGUGAGGAAAAUAUAUGAGAUAGAGGCUUUAGAAUAUCAUCAUGCUCUUGAUCUUUUCAGUCGACAUGCCUUCAAACGAAACCAUCUUGAUGUUGGUUACGAGAAACUUUCAAGCAACGUAAUGAAAUGUGCUCAAGGAGUCCUUUUAGCUCUUAAAGUUUAGGGUUGGUUUCUAUGUAAAAGGGAAAAAAAGUCUGGGAAAGUGCAAUAAAUAAAUUCCAAAGAAUCCUCCAUCCAAGUAUUUGAGAGGUAUUAAAAAUAAGUUAUGAUGGUUUAGAUGAUAAAGAGAAAAAUAUUUUCCUUGAUGUUGCUUGUUUCUUUCAAGGUGAGGAUGUAAAUCUAGUAAUGAACUUCCUUAAUGCAAGUGGCUUCUACCCAGAAAUAGGAAUAAGUGUUCUUGUUGAUAAGUCUCUUAUUCUCAUAUCAAAUAACAACAAGAUAACUAUGCAUGAUUUGAAACAAGAAUUUGGUCAGGAAAUUAUUCGAGAAGAAUCAAUUAAUCCUGAAAACCGCAGUAGGCUGUGGCAUCAUAAAGAUACCUAUGAAGUUCUUACAUAUAAUACAGUAAGCAUUUUGUUGUGGAUUAUAUUUUGGAAUAUUAUAGCAUUUACAAACUUGAUAUGAAUAUACUUAUAUACACUCGAACUGAUGAGUCUUAGAAUUAAUAGAAGUGUGACAAUGAUUAGAAAAAAAAAUAGUGGUUAAAUGAUGUAACAAUAAAUUAUAUAUGCCAUGACAAAUUGUGUGAUCGUUUGUAUGUUAGUAAUAUGCCCUAAAGGCCAAUCAAAUGGUGUUUGUUUGUUUAGGGAAUUAUUGUAUUUGAAUAGCAUUUUGACAUUUAUAAAAUGGCAAAGUUAUCAACAUUCAUAAAUUAAUUUAAUGAAUAUAGUCCAAGAAGUAAAAUAGUUAAGGAACACAUUCUCGAGUUUGUCGAGAAUAUGAAACGUGCAUUCUUUGUACUAUACUUCCAAAAUAGUUCCUAGUGGUGGAUUUAUGAUUGGACAUUAUAAAUUCCUAUAAACACUGGUAUGUGUUAUGACUCCUUAUGGUAUGUGAUACUAAAAUGGAUGGUGAGUUUCAUAUCAUUGACAUGAGAUGUCAAGUCAAACACAUAGGUACUUGUUGAGAGAACGAGUUUACUGAACUUGACCAAAUAUAGUAAGCCAUAUGGUUUUGAGUGUUAAUGGCUUAUUAUACAUUGUGAUAGACACUAUGUUUAGUAAUGGUCUUUAGACCUGAGGCACAACAGAUGUCUUAUACAUAGACAUCUCUGAUAUGUGAAAGCAUAAUGAUUGAUUCCUAAUCAAGGAAGAGAUCUAGCAAUAACUGUCAUGGUUGGCUAUGUAUGGAGACAAGUGUAUGGCCAAUAUGGAAUUCAUCACUUUGUAAUAUACAAAAAGGAUGUCCCUGUGAGAUAAUAUGAAUUGGCAUGAGAAAUCCUUGGCCAAGGUGAAAUGUGUUUGAAGGAGUUCAUAUUAUAUUUUCAUGCCAAGUUCAUUUAGAUUUAUUUUGAGAUAAAGCAUAAUUGCUUAACAUAAUAAACCAUAAGCCGUGUUUUUCUCUGGACAUGGAUGAUGAAGAGACCAAGACAUAGAGAUACAAUGGAAUAGGUUUUAUAGAUCCAACAAUUCUUGUUAUUUGGAUGGUUGUGAAAUACUGCUAGGUGUCACUCAUAACUUGUAGAAACCUUAAGAUUAAUAUUGGUAAAGCGUAUUAGCAAUGCAUCUUAAGGUCAUUAGAAAAGUUCUACUUGAUGACUAAAGAGUUUAGCAUCAUUUAAUGAAUAAAGAGUUAUCAUUAAAAUAGUUCUACUACCUUAUAACAAAGAACCUAAAAGGUCACACACCAAAUAGAAAUGAAAAAGGAGUUACUAGAAAAUGAGAAGUUAAAUUUCUUAAUUUUAGAAAAAUCGAUAUUUAUAUUAUAAUUAAUUAAGAAUGAAUAUAUAUAUAUAAAUAUAUCUUAAAUAUGAUUUAAGAUAGAAAUUUAGAUGUUCCAUAAAUAGUUUAAGGAACAAAAUAAAUUUCAUAAAUCCUUAAUUAAACAUUAUGUAUAAUAUCAAACACGUAAAAUGACCAUUUUAGACAUGUUCCGAUUCAUAUAUGAUUAUGGACUUCUAGACCAAUUUUGGGUUUAGAAUUUUGGGCUUUUAUUGGACCUAAUAUGGAUUAAGAGAAAGCAUUAGAACAUGUCACAAAAGAAGCCCACAUUGAACCAUUUGAUUUGAUCAAAAUGGGAUUAAUUAAUUAAAGACAAAAUUAAUUAAUUUAGCUAUUUAUUUAUUUGAUUAAAUAAAUUAUUGAAGUGAUAAGAUCACAUUCAAUAAAUAAUGGCUUAGUGGGUGGGUCUAGACAUGAUAAUGUUUGGUGCCAUUAUUGAAGAUAAUGGUGGCUUUAUUUGGUGGAAUGAAUUAUCAUGAACUAGCAUUCAUGUUUCUUCAUUAUCUCUCUCAUUUCUAAACGAAAUUUCGUGAUUCCAAAUCCUAUGAACUCCUAGAAAAUUUCUAAGUGUGUACUAACUAGAGGCAUCACAAUUGGGGUGCCUUAAGGAUCUCAAAUCGUGGAAAAACAGAAGCUGUUCGUGCAGAGGUUUAUUUUCUGGACAGUGUUCAUAGCUUGCUGUUUUCAGUCAUUUUCUCCUACUUCACGAAGUCUUUUUUGAAACUAAAAGUGAGGUAAUUAAACUUCAAUCUUUCCUCUUGAUUUUCGUUUUUGAAUGAAGCCGAUCCGAGGUUUCUAGAGCUUCCGCCAUGCGUUUUAAUUUUACUGCACAAAAGUUGCGUUUUUAAGAACCUCAUGGACAAAUGUUGUCUUUCAUUGUAAGCAUAAUUUAUAUGUCAACUUGUAGACUAUACAUACAGAAUUUUUAUGUUAAAUAUUACGUGUAUUAUUAUGUUUCUUUGUGCAUUUGCAAUUAAGAGUUUAGCUGCCUAGCAAUAACCAUAAACAUGAAUUAUUGAAAUUUGAUUGGUGUAAUGUCAGAGAGCCGCACUCCAACCCACCUCAACUCUGCACAAGAAUAAUUAAAACUUGAAUUAAUAACUAAGCUACCUCUAAUUGUGAAUUAAUGACAUGCUUGCCCCAAAAAAUUGUCUUGGUUGGGUUAUCAUUUUUCUUUGAUUUUAACUUUAUUUUUUUAAUUGAAUUUUAGGGGACAGAAAAAAUUGAGGGCAUUUGUUUGGAUAUGUCAAAAGUAAAAGACAUCUAUCCAAAUCCUAGUACUUUCACAAAGAUGCGUAAGUUGAGAUUUUUAAAAUUCUAUAGCUCAUCAUUCAAUGGAGAGAACAAAUGUAAGGUGUCUUAUUUGCAAGACCCUGGAUUUGCUGAAGAGAAGUAUUUUCACUGGCAUGGAUAUCCGUUGAAGUCAUUGCCUUCAAAGCUUAGUGCAGAGAAGCUUAUAUUUCUUGAAAUGCCUGGUAGCGACAUUGAACAACUUUGGGAUGGUGUGAAGGUAUGUAUAUCUUGAUAUAUAUGUGCAAUCAUGGUAAGUUAAACCGGAUAAUCCAUGAUUCCUGCAGGAAGCUAAUUGCCAAAAUUCCAAACCCCACGUUGAUUCCACAUCCGAACAAGCUAGUUAUCUUGAAUCGAAGAGAUAGCAAAAGCCUGAAAAGUCUUCCAGCUAGAAUAUUUAAUUUGGAAUUUCUUACCAAACUUGAUCUUUCUGGUUGUUCAAAACUGAAGAAGCUUCCAGAGAUCUCAUCUAGUAACAUAAGCCGGCUAUAUUUAAGUGGAACUGCAAUUAAAGAACUUCCCUCAUCAUUUGAGCUUCUACUUAGGCUUUGGUGGCUGGACCUUUCAGAUUGUAAAAUGCUUAAGAGUCUCCCAAGCAUCCUAUGCAAGCUGAAAUCUCUUGGAGUUCUUAAUCUCCGUGGUUGCUCAAAUCUUCAGUGAUUGCCCGAACGUCUUGGCCAAUUAUCGUCGCCAAUAAUAUUGAAUCUAGUGAAAACCAAUAUUGAGAAGAUACCAAAAAGCAUUAUUCAACUUUUUGUGUUGCGAUACCUCCUCUUAAAUUGUUGUGAGGGGCAUGAAUCCUUACCAAAGCAUCCAUUCCUUGUACGAUGGUUAGAUGGCGAUCGUUGCCCGGCAGGGCAACCAUUGAUAGGUUUAUUCUCUAAGUUCUGAAUCUUAUAGGUAGUCUUUUUUUUACCAGAGCAAUAAUUUGAAAUCGCAAGGUAAUUCUACUGCAGGAAUUAUUGAAGAUGCCAUGAGAAUUGAGCAUAUGGGCCAUGUGGUAGCUGCCCGUUGGAAACAAGUACGGGAAAAGGUGUGUCUUAACUCUCUCUCCUUACAAUUUAUAGUUUUUUUUUUUUGGUUUAAAAUUAUGAUUUUUUGGUACAGAGAGGUUUUCCCAUGGAAAAAAGUCAUGUCGUACUAGCUAGGAAUGAAAUUCCAAGGUGGUUUAAUUUUCAAAGUGAGGGAUCUUUUAUAACCUUGGAGAUGCCCCCAGAUUUCUUCAAUAACAACAGAGUACUGGGCUUUGCAUUUAGUGCUAUUUUAGCAUUUUCAGACCGUCAUGUAGAUUGUGGCAGAUGGUUUUCAUUUUCUUGUGAGCUAAAAGUGAAGACCACCAAAGAUUGUGAUCUGCAUGACACACGGUUAUUUCAGAGCAGCGUUAAUUAUGUAGAAUCAGAUCACUUACAUUUUGGGUACUAUUUGUUUUGUGAAGAGGAUUUUAAUGGUUUUUGGAAAUGCAAUUCCAUUCCUGAGGCAGUCCACUUUAAUGUUUUUCCGCCUUUGAAGUGUGAGUGCUGCGGGGUGAAAAAAUGUGGGAUCCAUUUAGUUUGCUUCCCCGACUCUACGAAUUCAAUGAAAGAUCCAAGCACAUGUUUCAACUAUAACGAAGAAGACUGAGAUUUUCAUGAAUGUAUUUUUUUUGCUUUCCUUUUUCUAAUCACUAUUAAUAAUAGGAGAAAAUGUCAAAAUUAGUUCUUGGAACAAAACAUUCAUGUAAUAACUUUCGAGGGAUCUGGUGCAUGUAACACAAAUUCACACUAGAGCAUUGAACUUUACCUUAUUAGAUGAAGAGUAUGUUGUAUGAAAAGCACAUGGUGUAUAUUGUAAAAUUAAAAUUAUUGGCCUAUUUCCUGCUUUGCACACGCAACCCAUGAUGAUUUUGUUAUUAAGUUUUGUAACCCAAAACACAUCUACUUAGUUAGAAGAGUACGUGACUUAUAAACUAGUAAAAAAAUUCACUUGCUAGUGAUGUGAGAUAUUUCAUGACGUGCAGCAAGUUCUUAUUUGCAGAGCUAUGUUGUGGGCCCAUAUCUCUAUCAAUGAAAACAUGUCACUCACCCCGUUGGCGCACUAUAUCAACUCUCAUGUAUAUAACACAAUCACAUUUGAAAAUUUUCUACUUUCAUCAUUGGGAAGCAAAAGCCAUAAAGAGGGAACAGUUAAAACACCAUCAAAUCUUAUAUAUUUUAAAAAAUAUAUUUGUAUACUGAUUAAAAAAAGAAGAAAGAACAGGAUAGGUGUCAUUUUGACUCAACUCAUUUGUGUUGUGAAUCCAUUUGCUUAAACAUGUAUACUUUUUCAAGUAUCUAUGCCAAUUCCAUAAUCGGAAUGGUGCAUUUGAUUCCAUAGUUGACAUUGUAUCGUCUAUGGCUAGAAUUUACCUUUACAAAACUGACCUGCAAGGAAAGGAUUAAAGAUACCCGUGAACUUAUAUUUUUAUUUAGAUUAUUUUAUUUUUUCCAGGUGAAAAAUUGAUUCCGAUUAACAAGAGCAAUAUAAAUUACUAAAUCAACGUUCUCUAUUCUUUAGAUUGCUGUAUCUUUUUCAUGUAAAAAAUUGAAUCCAUUCAUUCACAUAUCAUUAACAUGAGCAAUAUAGAUCACUAAAUCAUUGUUCAUUACUAUUUUGCUGAAUUUGACUUUUUGAAACGAGUUAGACUUUUUAUUGAAUAAUUUGGUAUAUUUCUUGAAUCAAUUUGGAGCUUCUGCAACACGUCAGGGAUUAGUAUCUCCUACAUUCCUUUCAGUGCCAAAAGAUAUUCAAGCAGUUGAAUAAGAAUUGAUAUGUACAAUGUAAAUACUAGUUUGUCAUUUUACAAUAGGAAUGAUAUAUAAUGCUUAUCAAAACUUGUUGAUAAGAAAGUAAAUUCCUCAGCAAUGAGAUGUUUCAGCCAACCAAUUAAGGAAGCAGCUUUCCAUGGACCAAGUCAGGUCUGUCGUCAUCAGGACAAUGUCCUACUUCUUCCAAUACAAUUAACUUCACAUUUGAGAGUUGAGAAGGCAGAGAUGAGAAGUAUUUACCAACAGGUCCAUCGACGGGUGUGAAUGGAUCCUCAUCACCCCAUAAAACUAGCACAGGUAUAGAGAUUGAUGGCAUCAAUUGCACUGGGUUCAGCCCCGAUGGGCCUGUCACGAUCAAAACAAAUGCAUCAAGUGCCCCUUCAUUAGUGGCGGCUUCUCGUAUGAUCUGUAGUUUUGAUGUCAAUUCAUGAAUUAUGAGUGGCCAUUUUUGUAAGAAAUUUAAAUGGCACAUAAGUGCAGAAUAUUAAUGCCUACUAGCCUUUCAUCCACAGAUUCAUUAUUUGCAUAGACAGUAAAUUGCUCCUCAGUCUUUACCAGCAGCACCAAUAUAUACACAUCAUAGUGUUUUUUAGUUUUGACUCUAAGUGUUUUAGGAUAAUGAACAACGGACUGAAUAGAAACAAGAGAAAGUACCUUUGCCUUGCACGCUCAAAGAACGUAAAGGUAACUGGCCUUUGCUUCAACCAAAAAUCAAUGAACCAAAGCAAUGGUAACAGUAGCUUGAUUCUCCAAUCAUCAACAAUUGCCUUGUUGUUCGUGCAGCCACCAGCACAAUUCAACAAAACAAGCCCUCGAACAAGUGUUUGACUGGAUUCUUAUGGUAGAAAAUAUAGCAGGUUUGUCGCAAACCAUAGUUACCGAAAAGGCUAAUUAAGUGCGAGUGUUUCUUUGCAAGCAAGAUGACUAAUAUCUGAUGCCCAAGAGGAAGUUAAAUUAAUAUACCUGAGGCAGCAAUAACACAAGUAGAGAUGGCCAAUACAAGGCUCAUGCGUGCUUGUGCCCGUGCCCGUGCCGUGCCGUGCCCAGUAUGUGUUUCGUGUCAUGCCGUGCCGUGCUUAAAUUUUUUUUGCUUAGGGCCGGUCUGGCAAAUGUGUCGUGCUUAUUUGUGCGGUGCCGUGCUUAAGAAAAAAAACCAAAUAAGCUUUUUUCUUUUUUAAAUUUUUAAGAGCGCAUGCUAAGCUGUUGGCGUACUUUUUUCAAGUAUAUGUACGUUUCUUGGGUCUAUGCCUUUAUUCAAAUCUAAUAGAAUUGAAAAUUCAAAAUUCAAGUCCAUAUUUAAUAAUAAUAAACUAAUAAUAGUAAGAAAAUAUAAUAUUAAUUACUAAGUUUGACCUUAUAGUAUUAGAAUUUUUUUAAUACUUAACAACAAUAAUAAUAAGAAAAAAAAUUUCUUAAAGGUUAACUUAAUUGUUAACUUGAACUUACAUAGAGUUAUAAAUUAUAGUUCACAAUAAUAUUAAUGCAUAUUUAUAAAAUCAUGAUAUUUAUAAUUUUAUUCAUUAAAAUCAUGAUAUCAAUUAUUUAUUUAAUAAAUUAUAAAUAUAAAUCAAUUAUAGUAUUUUUUAAAACUAAGAAUUAAAUGAAUUUAAAAAAUUCAAUUUCAAGUUAUUUGUAAAAUCAUAAAAUUUUAAGUUUACCUUCAUUAAAAAAUAAAACGUGUUUAUUGCAGGUUUUUUUAUUUUGCCGUGCUUAGCCCAUCUCUAAUCGUGCUGUACUUUUUAGGCUCGUGUGCCUAAAAUUCUAAACUCGGCCCAGCCCACAUGUGUGUCGUGCCCGUGCCCUACCGAAACGUGCUUGUGUCGUGCCGUGCCCGUGCCGUGCCACGUGCCGUUCGGCCCAUUGGCCAUCUCUAAACACAAGCUACGCUUCGAACCGAAUUACGUAUAAGCACAACUGGCUUCUGAGCAACUUCAUCCAAGAAAUCCAACAUUAGCUGUAUCGAUGAGUCUCACUCAAGUUAGCAAGGAAAAUAACCUAAGGUUGAGCGAUUGAUGAUAUAAGUAUAGGAGUUGUCAUAUUUGACCCUCAUUAUAUCUUAUCAGCCCCAUUAAUCACUUUUAUAUGAAUGCUUUUUACUCUUUAUCUUUAUAUGAAAUAACUUAAAAGGAAAAUAAGUAAUGAUCCUUAACGUUUGUGGAUGCCAACUAUAUGUACACAAAAGUAAAUACUAUAAAAAAAAUAGUACAUUAUAAAAAACAAUUCACUACAAAAUAAAAAUUACUUUUUGUCAUUUGUGCCUGUGUUAUUUUUACUACAUGUAAUAUUAUUGCACGGAUGCGGGAAGAAAAAAUUUGGGGUCGAUUUGUUGUAAGCCCCAAAUGCAACCGAAGAUCCAAGCACAAGUUUCAAACCAAACCAACCCAAAGUUUGCGCGGCAAUCCAACUCAACCCAACUAAAAUCAUUUUAAUUUGAUUAUAGUUUGGGUUGACUUAGGCUUUGAUAAAUUCGCAUGUUAUAUAACACAAUUAAAAUAAAAUAUCAUUUGUCAUACAUUUUAUUCAUUAAAAACAUAGUAAAAAAAAUUCAAAAAUUCAGUGGCGGCAAACGUCCUCUCUGGAAUCUUUGUGGGCAACACGUACGUGGUGUCUUCACUAAGUGUUGAAUCUUUAGCUUCAAAGGAAAGAAACAAAAAAAGGGUAGGGAUAUUUCCACCCCAUUAUUUUUGUAAAUUCACACCACUUUUACAAAAUAAUUAUAAUGAAUUCACAAUAUUUUUAAAAAAUACAAAUUAAUAAAAAAUUUGUAUAGUUAAUCAAUUAAAUCCUUCUAUUACCUUUCUUCUUAGAUUUCUUUGACUCUAUUUGAUCAUAAACUCUUAUAGAAAUGUUAUUUUUCUAUUUUAUUAUUAUGAUAUAAAACGAACAAAUUGCCUAACAAACAUGAGUUAUUGUAUCUAAUAAUUUAUGUAUUUAAUUAUGUGAACUAAGAUUUUUAAAUGAAAUCUAAUUAUUAUUUUCACUACCUUACAAAUAAAUUAUAUAAAUUUGACAAGCUAAUAAUUUACAUGAGUAUUGUGCCAUACAGACAUUAUGUUUGUUUAAUUAAUGUUUUAUAAUCAUACUAAUAAAGUAGUAUUAGAAAUAAUGAAUUGCUAUAAAAUUAGAAAAUAUUGAAGUUAAAGAAUUAGUUUUACCUUAUAAGGAUAAAAUAAUCAAUUUAGACUUAUGUCAAAGCAAUCUUUAUGAUCAAACAUAAAAAAAAAAAAAAAUUAAGUCACAAAAAGUAAAUUAAGAUAGAUUUGUUAAUUUGUUCUCCAAAGUUCUUUUUUAUUUAUUUUUUUAAAAUAAUGUGUACUUUUUGUAAUUAUUUUUUAAAAAUGGGGUGGAUUUGGAGAUAUCAUUAGCCAACAAAAAAUUUAGUCAGGAUUAAUUUGAUAAUUGCCCAUAAAAAGAAGGCAUAUGUGCAGGUGGUGAUAGGGAAGCCUUUUUCCAUUCUAAAAUUACAUGUAAGAAUCUAUUAUAAAAAAGAUAAAUGUGUAACAGGAUGUGGAUAGAAAAAUUGAUCUUCAUUUGGGGAUUCUUGAUCUUCAGUUCUUCACUCCACUAAAAUUUCCACUAAAAUUUACCAGAGAAUGAGGUGAAAAACAUGGGCCAAAUAAAAUUAUUAAAAUAUAAAAAAAUUUAAAUUAUUAAAAAUAAUAACUAAAAAAAUACAUAUUUGUUAAGAAUUUUGGAAUUAUUUUUCUUUGAGUAAUGACACUAUAAUUCAAAAGACGCUUUUUGAAUUAAAUCAGAUUUUUUAUUCAAAACGAACAAAGGGAUUAUAUUUUACAAUUGGGUAAUUUUUAGGGACCUCCCCUGAGGUUUACCGUAUUGACACAUAGAGAGAAUGUAUCCACAUAAUUACAACCACCUCCCCUCCCGUUAGUAUCCGGUUACGUAUGGCACAUAUAGGCAAAUUUUAAGCUGAAAUUUCUAGGAAUCUUGCUUAGAAAGGAAUUUUGGGCAGCAUGUAGAAGUGGAAACCAAGUAGAGUUCAACAACCAUAUGGCUGAAAUUAAUAGCAUCAGCCCUGCUGCUCAUAAGUGGCUGUUACAAAUUCCUGUGACAUGUUGGGCCAAACAUUGCUUCCCCACUCAAACCAAGUGCUCACAUGUCACAAACAAUAUGACUGAGUCCUUCAAUAAUUGGAUAGGUAGUGUCAGAGGCAUGCCGAUAGUAAGAAUGUUGGAGGAGAUUAGGACGAAGAUUAUGAUUCUUAUACACAAAAGACAUGAGCUAGGCAAAACUUGGCAUGAUGAACUGCCGCCACUUGUUAGGAGGAGGUUAAUGGAUGCAAGGGCUGAAUCUAGAUCAUUAUCUAUUAUAUUUGGGCACAAUAAUUCAUUUGAAGUCAUGGAAGAUGUCUCUAGGAGGUGUGUUGUGAAUCUAGGCAGCAAGCAUUGUGAUUGUGGGGAGUGGGCUGUUUCAGGCUAGCCUUGCAAGCAUGCUAUAUGCUGUAUUGAUGCAAUGAGAUAUAAUGUGAAUGAAUAUGUCCAUCAUCUCUUGAAAAAAAAAGCAUUCAUGAAGACCUAUCAGCACAAGUUACAUCCAGUGCCAGAUGAAAGCAGAUGGCCAUUACUCUUGCAUGAUAACUUGCUGCCACCGACUGUGACAAGAGCUGCUGGCAGGCCCCAAACUAAAAGAAAAAGAGAGGAUGGUGAAAGACAACCAUUUAAGAGGAGUUCAAGUGUAAGAUGUUCUAAUUGUGAUGAGUGGGGCCAUAAUGUAAGGAGUUGCAAAUCUGUUAUCAAAGGUGGAAAACACAAAAAAAUUAUGAAGAAGAAAUUCCAUCAGGUCUUAAUUACUUGCUUCUAUUAUAAUUUUUUCAUUGUUGUCUUCAAUCUUAGUAUGUUUUGAUUAAAAAUUAUUGUAUAAUCUAAUUAUUUAUGUGUAGGAUCAAAGAGAGACAGGAGCUUGUGCUGGAGAUGCUGCAGUAGCUAAUGAUGUUGUGAGUACUCAGAACAGUGUCCAUGAAAAUGGCAAACAUUUCAUGUAUCAUUUUUUUUAAAGUUAAUAUGUACGCAAAAAUUUAAAUGCACCAACAGUUUGUUUCUCUCAUGCCGUAAUUUCAAAUAAUAGAUAACAUUAAUUUUUUUUUAGAUUAUUAAGGACAACUUACUCAAGAAUGAGCACUGCCAAGUUAAAGCAUCCAGCAGCAUUUUGUAAUUAUCAAGUGAAGAUAUCAGGAGCCAAGUUAAUCCCUUCUAACAAAAUUUUUUGAGGGAUUAGAUGAUACAUCACCUUCAACUGUAAGCAUUGAUAUGAAGAAGUUGUCGUAUCAUCUUUUUGUCACUCAGCCGUAGAUAGAGGUUUGAGUUUUUGUACAUUUUGUUGUUGUGUGGUACAUAACGCAGCUGUUGAUGACGCCAUGUAUGCUUUCUUUGUUUUGGUCCUGUCAAGUUAAUACUGUAAUAACUGACUUGCCACUACAAGUUUAAAUACUGGCUGCUGGUAUUUGUAUUGGCUGAUAGGAAUUCAGUCGUUAAUGACAUGUGACACUUUAUUAUUGUUGGAAUGCAUAUGAAUUUAUAAUUUAUAGUCACAAGUAAUGUUUAUGUAGUUUUAUUACAUAGUUCUUUAUUGAUUUUAGUUUAUGUAGUUUCAUUACUUAGUUACUGCCGUGGUUUUUUACUUUGUGUGUUUGUUGUGCUUGCGACUGUCACUUGAAACAAUAGAAUUUACUUUGUUUGUGCUUGAUAUUACAAAGUGAGACCUGCUGUAUGUGUUUAUUGUGGCUGAUACUGUCAGUUUGAGAAUGAAUUUGUAUUGUAUUUCUACUUUUGCUCAGGGAUUUACUGGUUGUCCUAUGUGAUGGGAGUUGUUGUGUGUGCUUCAUAGUGUUAGUUUUAACAAAAGCUUGUUAUGUGCUUGAAAUUGUUAUUAUACUUUUGCUCAGGGAUUUAUUGGUUGUAAUUCUAUUUAAGGACUGAAUUAUGGACAGUAGCUUGUGUUGUGUCAUUGUGUGUGCUUGCUGAAUUAUGGACAGGAGCUUGUAAUUAUGAAUUAUUGUUAUUGUGUGUGCUUGCUGAAUUAUGGAUAGGAGCUUGUGCUGUGUUAUUGUGUGUGCUUGUUGAAUUAUGGACAGGAGCUUGUAACUAUGAAUUAUUGUUAUUGUGUGUGCUUGCUGAAUUAUGGAUAGGAGUUUGUGAUGUGUUAUUCGCUUACUAUGCUAAAUACUAUCAGUUUGUAAAACAAAUUAUUGUCACAUGCAUUAUCUUUUUUAUCCAUUAAUACAUUACACAGAAAAAUCACUAUAUUUUACACUUCACUGCAUUCUGCAAACAUAGGAUAGCUUAGGCAUAUUAGUUCUUAAGCAUAAUUAAAUUCAGCACAAACAUAACUAGGUUCAAGUACAUCAUCAUCUUCACAACACCUUCACCAAAUCCUGACCUUUGAAGCUUCUUCAUAAUAGUCUUCACUUCUUUCAGAUUUGAUUCAAUAGCAUUUAGGGUAUCAUGAUCCACAAUAGCACUUAAAUUCCCCUCAAACACAGCUCCAUUGUUGAAAUCAUCCCUUGCUGGAACCCACCAUUUGAAGUAUCCGCAUGUUGUUCUGUUCGGCAUCUAUAAUAAAGCUUGUGAGGAUUCUCAUCCGAUUCAGAUAUCAUCACCUCGACUCUCAUACGACAUCUACAGAUUCAAUUUGAAAACUUAAUCAGCCUCCCAUUAACAAAGUUCCUCCAAGCUGGCUCAUAAAUUGGUUGUGUAUUUGAUCGGCUGGAUGUGUUUGAGCUUUCAAAAUCCAUGUGGUUGAGAUAAUGUUUGAUCUUGAUUAUGUUGAAUGCUUCUGUUGGUGAGUUGGAUGAAUACUUAUAUUGAUGAGUAAAUGCUUUUGUCAAUGAGCUGAAUGAAUGAUUCUGAUGAUGCUGAUGAUGAAUGCUUAUGUUGUCGUGAACUGAAUGCUUCCCUUGAUGAGUUGAUGAAUGCUUUUGAUGAUGAUGAUGAGUGCUUCUGUUCAAGAGUUGAAUGGAUGAUGACUUAAAAUCGUAAGAAGAAGAUGAAGAUGAAAUUCUGCCAUGAUCAUUUGCUAACUUGCCUAGGCCUUUUUAUAGUUGCUGCUGCUACUCAAAAUAUUACCGUUUACUUACAACGGUAAUAAUGGCAGCUUUAAUUUAUUUUUUCUUUUUUUUUAAUAACAAAUAAUGUAAAUGAAAUCACAUCACAUAGAUGGGUAAUUUGGUCUUUUUUUAGCUUUUGUGAUUCUAGCAAGUUUAUUACCUAUCGGUUCUCAAAGUCUUGUUUUAUAACUUAUAAUUUUGGCGGGAAGGGUAAUUUAGUAAUUUCAACAGUCAACUAACAGUCAAACUAACCGGAUACUAACGGGAGGGGAGGUGGUUGUAAUUACGUGGAUAUAUUCUCUCUAUGUGUCAAUACGGUAAACCUCAGGGGAGGUCCCUAAAAAUUACCCUUUUACAAUUUAAGAAAUAACUAUAUUUAAUAGAGAUAAUUUUGGGAUAUAGUAUUUACUUUCUAUUGAGACAUUUUCAUAUAUUAGACAAAAGUUACAAAAGUUUACUUUAAAAAAAAAUUAGACUUCACACGUUUAACAAAUAACCCGAAGAAUAUGAAUAAGAAUUAUUAAAACAAAAAUGAUAAAUAAGGAUAAUUUUAAAAUUAAAUGCAAUUAAUGGAGAGAUGAUGACUGAUAAGAAAAAUUGGGGGGCAAAAAUUAAAAUAUCAACCUACUACUAAUGGUAUAGUCAUGACCCACUCAAUUUGAGAAUUAAAAGGACAAAAGCCAAGUGUUGAAAACUAUGGUGUUCAUGGGGAAAUUAAAAAGCAGUGAAAUUAUCGUGCAGUGCACGGUGCUCGGACAAUGAGAUGAAAUUGAAAAAUUAUAACGAAAACUUCAAGGAAGAGUGCCAAUAGUCCUACUCAUAACGUCGUGUCUAACUCAUAACAUAGAGUAGGAGUUCUACGAAAGUAACGGAAGAGUGCCAAUAGUCUUAACUCAUAACGCCGUGUCUAUAAUUUUAGCUGAAAAAAUCUGCCAAGUCGAAAAAUUAGGUGGGCAUUUCAAUAACCCUUGAAUAUUCCAUGAAUCAUUGUCCAGAAAGCUUGGAAAAUGAGAUAUCAGGUCAAUAUAUGCUGCAGAGUCACGCUCAUUUUGGCUUAGCAAUGGUUUUCAUCUGAUCACAAUCUCUCUCUAAUCAAUUCAACUGCUUCUGUUGAUUAUGGCUUCUUUUUCUCGAAACAAGAAGAAGUAUGAUGUUUUUGUUAGUUUCAGAGGAGAAGACACCCGCGACAACUUUACUAGCCAUCUCUAUUCAGCCCCGUCUCGACAAAAUAUCCAAACUUUCAUUGAUGACCAACUUAACAGAGGAGAUGAAAUUUCAGAGUCACUUGUGAAUGCAAUUAACGCAUCAGCCAUUUCAGUUAUCAUUUUCACUGAAGACUACGCUUCUUCCAGAUGGUGUCUUGAUGAACUUGCGGAGAUCCUCGAGUGCAAGAAAGAGUAUGCACAGAUUGUGUUACCGGUUUUCUAUCGCGUUGAUCCAUCAGACGUGAGAAACCAAACAGGGAGUUUUGGGGAUUCAUUUUCAAAGCUUGAAGAAAGAUUCGAGCAAAAUUCGGAGAAGCUGCAUACAUGGAGGAAGGGAUUGAGAGAAGCGGCUGGUUUGUCUGGAUUUCAUUAUCGUAGCAUCAGGUGAAAAGUUACUUUUAAUUUCUCAUGCUAAUAUUUAACACUGUAAAUAAAACUCAUGCAGCACUCUUUGAUAAAUUUCCGGAUGCUAAACUACAAUUUUAAAUUUUUUUAGGUAUCAAAUUCUAGGCUUCUUGACUUCCCAACUUUUGAACCCCGAUAAUUAUAUAUGAAAGAAUUUUGACAGAAUUAAUAAUAAAAGCCCGAUAACUUUACAAUAUAUUUAACAAAAUUAAUGGUGGUAUGUCGUUUUUAAGCAAUUUCAACCUCACAUACCUCCAUCAGAAAAACAAAAGUCACACAUAUUCCUAUAAUUUAAGAGUUAUUAAUUUAUAGGGAGAUUGUAGUGGUAUAUAUUAAUUUCAAUUGGAAAACUAGCAAUCUCCCUUAUUUCAUAUUUGAUGCAAAUCCCUCCUAUUUGAAGUUACUGCUGCUAAUUUUAUGUAUUUGGCAGGCCUGAAUCAGAACUUGUAAACGAAGUUGUUAAUCACAUUUUGAAGAGACUGAUGGAAGAAGUGUUUCGGCCGCGUGAUAACAAAAGCCAGCUGGUUGGAGUAGAAUCAAGAGUUGAGGAAAUUGAAUCUCUACUAAGUGUUGAGUCGAAAGAUGUUUACGCUUUAGGAAUUUGGGGCAUUGGUGGUAUAGGCAAAACAACAAUCGCUAGAGCUACUUUCGAAAAAAUCUCUAGAUAUUUUGAAGGUUCUUGCUUCCUUGUAAAUGUUAGAGGAGAGUCACAAAGAACGGGAGGAUUAGCUUGCUUGCGACAAAAACUUCUUUCAAAUUUAUUGAAGGAUGAAAAUGCAAUUCCUGGUAUUGACCUCAAUUUUAGAAGGCUCAACCGCAUGAAGGUUCUUAUUGUUUUUUAUCAUGUGACUUGCUUCAGCCAAUUAGAAUCUAUAAUUGGAAGUCUUGAUUGGUUGAUGCCUGUGAGUCGAAUCAUAAUAACCACCAGAAAUAAACAAGUGCUUAGAAAUUGGGGGGUGAGGAAAAUAUAUGAGAUGGAGGCAUUAGAAUAUCAUCACGCUCUUGAGCUUUUUAGUCGACAUGCCUUCAAACAAAACCAUCCUGAGGUUGGUUAUGAGGAACUUUCAAGUAAGCCAAUGAAAUAUGCUCAAGGUGUUCCUUUAGCUCUUAAAGUUUUUGGUUGCUUUCUAUAUGAAAGGGAAAAAGAAGUCUGGGAAAGUGCAAUAAAUAAAUUGCAAAGAAUUCUCCAUCCAAGUAUUCUAGAGGUAUUAAAAAUAAGUUAUGAUGGUUUGGACAAUAAAGAGAAAAAUAUUUUCCUUGAUGUUGCUUGUUUCUUUCAAGGUGAGGAUGUAAAUCUACUAAUGAAAUUCCUUAAUGCAAGCGGCUUCUACCCAGAAAUAGGAAAAAGUGUUCUCGUUGAUAAGUCUCUUAUUGUCAUAUCAAAUAACAACAAGAUAACUAUGCAUGAUUUGCUACAAGAAUUGGGUAGGGAUAUUGUCAGUAAAGAAUCAAAUGAUCCUGGAAACUGCAGUCGGUUGUGGCAUCACGAGGAUAUCUACGAAGUUCUUACAUAUAAUACGGUAAGCAAUUUGCUGUGGAUUAUUACUUUGGAAUAUUCUAGCAUUUACUGCCACAUAAUGANNNNNNNNNNNNNNNNNNNNNNNNNNNNNNNNNNNNNNNNNNNNNNNNNNNNNNNNNNNNNNNNNNNNNNNNNNNNNNNNNNNNNNNNNNNNNNNNNNNNUAUUUAUAUACUCUCGAAUUGAUGAAUCUAGAAUUAAUCGAAGAGUGACAAUGAUUAGAAAAAAACAAUAAUGUUUAUAUUGUCAAUUUGUAUUGUAUCCCACAUGCGUAAAUUUCAUGUUUAGUAUUACUUGUAUUAUUAUGUUCCUUUGUGCGUUUGCAAUUAAGAGUUUCACUGCCUAGCAAUAACUAUAUAAACAUGAAUUACUGAAAUUUGAUUCGAGCAAUGAUAAAAAAUUCCACUCCAAUCCCACCUCAAUUCCACACAAGAGUGAAAAAAAAGGUUGAAUUAAUAACUAAGUUACCCCUUGUUGUGAAUCAAUGCCAAACAUGCCCCAAAAAUUUGUCUUGGUGGGGUUGAGGUGCAAUUCAUUGGUGGGAUAUAAAUAUCAUUUUUCAUUUUUUUAUUGAUUUUUAGGGGACUGAAAAAGUUGAGGGCAUCUAUUUGAAUAUGUCCAAAGUGAAAGAGAUCCGUCUAAAUCCCAAUACAUUCACAAAGAUGCGGAAAUUCAGAUUUUUAAAAUUCUAUAGCUCGUCAUUCAAUGCAGAGAACAAAUGUAAGGUGUCUUAUUUGCAAGACCCUAGAUUUACUGAAGUGAAGUAUCUCCACUGGCAUGGAUAUCCAUUGAAGUCAUUGCCUUCAAACAUUGGUGCAGAGAAGCUUGUGUUUCUUGAAAUGCCAAAUAGCAGCAUUGAACAACUUUGGGAUGAUAUGAAGGUAUGUAUAACUUAAUACAUUAUGUGUGCAAUCUUUCAAUAAUAACGUUAAAUUAUCAUACAUGGCAAUGAUUCCUCUUGGCCUCUUUUUUGACCAAACAGCAUCGUGGUAAGUUAAACCAGACAAUCCAUGCUGCCUGCAAGAUGCUAAUUGCCAAAACUCCAAACCCCACGUUGAUUCCACAUCUAAACAAGCUAGUUAUCUUGAAUCUAAGAGGUAGCAAAAGCCUGAAAAGUCUUCCAGCUGGAAUAUUUAAUUUGGAAUUUCUUACAACACUUGAUCUUUCGGGGUGCUCAAAACUUAAGAGGCUUCCAGAGAUCUCAUCUAGUAAUACAAGCUGCCUUUUUUUUAGUGGAACUGCAAUUGAAGAACUGCCUUCAUCAAUUGAGCUUCUAAUUAGGCUGGGGUACUUGGACCUUUCGGACUGUAAAAGGCUUAAGAGUCUCCCAAGCAGCCUAUGUAAGUUGAAAUCUCUUGAAAUUCUUGAUCUCAGUGGUUGCUCAAAUCUUCAGAGAUUGUCCGAAUGUCUUGGCCAGUUGUCCUCUCUAGGAACAUUGCUUCUAGAGAAAACCAAUAUUGAGAGAAUACCAGAAAGCAUCAUCCAAAUUUCUGUGUUGACUUACCCCCGCUUAAGCUAUUGUGAGAGGCUUCAAUCCGUACCAAAGCUUCCAUCCCUUAUACGAUGGUUAGAUGCCGAUAAUUGCACAUCGCUGCAAUCAUUAUCAGGUUUAUUCCCAAGUUCUGAAUUUUAUAUAUAAGCAGUGUUUUCUGACUAGAGCAAUAAUUUUAAAUCGGAUGGUAAUUCUACUGCAGGAAUUGUUGAAGAUAUAAUUUUUUUUUGAGUUAUGAUUUUAUUUUUUUACCAGAUUGAUUUUCACAUGAACGGAGGUCAUAUCUUACUACUCGGGAAUGAAAUUCCAAAGUGGUUUGAGUUUCAAAGUGUGGGAUCUUUUAUAACCUUGGAGAUGCCACCAGAUUCCUUCAACAAUAACUGAGUACUACUGGGCUUUGCAUUUAGUGCUAUUGUAGCAUUUUCAGACUGUCAUGUAGAUAAUGACAGAUGGUUUUCAUUUUCUUGUGAAUUCAAAGUGAAAACUGAAGAUUGUGAUCCGCAAGUCACACGGCGUUACGAUAAUUUCACUGCUUACGUAGAAUCAGAUCACUUACUUUUGGGGUGCUAUUUUUUCACUGUGGCAGUCCGCUUCUCUUUUGAUGAUUUUGAUCGUUUUCCACCUUUGAAGUGCGAGUGCUGCGGGUGAAAAAAUGUGGAGUCCAUUUACUUUACAUCCCAGAUUCUACGGAUUCAAUGGAAGUUCCAAGCAGAUGUUUCAACUGUUACUAAGAAGACUAAGAUUUUCAAGAAUGUAAUUUUAUUUUUUUCUCUUUUGCUAAUCACUAUUAAUAAUAAGAGAAAAAGCCAAGAUCAGUCUUGGAACAAAACAUGCAUGCAAUAAUUUUCGAGGGACGUGGUGCAUGUAACACAAAUUCACACUAGACUAUUGAACCAUACCUUAUUAGAUGAAGGGUAUAAUGUACCGAAAGCACGUAUUUAGCAUUGUAAAAUUACUGGCCUUCUUUUCCUGCAGAUUUAAUCUACUUGGCGUGUUAUUUUUUUUCCUUUUUUUUUUUUUUUGAAUGCUAGUGUUUCAUUCAUGAUAUUUCUGAAUUUUUAUCCAUGAUAUAUUUUAACCUUAUUUUUAUUGAUUCAUGAUAUAUUUUAAAAAAUAUAUUUGUAUAUUGAUUUGUCAACUAAAAUAUUUGUUCUGACUAGCCUUGUCAUUUGUGUUGUGAAUCCAUUCGCUUAAACAUGUAUGCACUUGUAAGGAAAACUGACUUGUAAGGAAACUAAUAUUAGUUUAUGAAGUGAAUAUUGCGCCGAAAUAUAUGGAAAAUACAAACAGAUAGUAAUCAAUUAAUUUUGCGCGAGAGAGGCAGAUAGUUAAUUACCGUGUGCAAAUGGUGGAUAUUGGUUUGAAUAUUAUCAUUAUCAGCGUGAAUGAGGAGGGAUCGAACUUUAUGCCAAUUGAGGCAACAAGUGAGGACGCCACUCAUGCAAAACAACAUCAUCAAAAGCAGAGCUAAACCAAGAGGGAAACCUAUGGAUGGCCGAUUUGAUGAUGACGCUUCUUCAUCAUUCCCCAUUAUUUUACUUCUCGCUACGUACGUAGUACUCUAUGCUACCUUUCUUGCUUCCUUCAAGUGUACAUUUAAUUGAACACAAUCGUAUUAGUAGUAAUUUAUAUUUACAAAACUGACUUGUAAGGAAAGGAUUGAAGAUGCCUGUGAACUUACGUUUCUAUUUAGAUUAUUGUAUCUUUUUCAUGUAUAAAAUUGGAUCUUAUCAUUCUCAUAUCAUUUACAUAAGUGGAGAAUGUUAAUACCUCUACCAGUGUUUCAUCCACAGAUUUCUUAUUUGCAUAGAUGGAUAGUAAAAUGUUCCUCAGUGUUCCCCUGCAGCACCAAUAUAGACACAUCAUAGAGUUUUUUAAUUUUGACUCUAGUGUUUUAGGAUAAUGAACGAAGGACUGAAUAGAGAGAAGAGAAAAUACCUUUGUUUCACAUCCUCAAAGAUUGCAUCUGCAAUUGGCCUUUGCUUCAACAAAGGAUCAAUCAACCAAAGCAAUGGAAACAAUAGCUUGACUCUCCAAUCAUCAACAAUGCCUUGUAGUUUAUGCCGCCAGCAUAAUUCAACAGAACAAGCCCUCUAACAAGUAUUUGUAUGUAUGUAUGAUCAUCCAUUCUCAAUCAACCACCAAACUGAUGUCAACAAAGCCAUGAGGAUUGUCUCACAAGUCUUUCAUUUUCCCUCUCUUUUGGCCGGAGACCAGUAAACCAUUUGAAUAUGGAUGUGCAAACCAGUAAAUAAAUCAUGAAGUUACACACUAGUCUGCUUUCGCACUCAUUCGGAACUAUAAUUGAUACUUACUGCAGGUAUGGUGUAUAAAUUUUACUAAAGUGAAGGCUGGAUCAAUAAGAAAUUCAAAAUGUUUCAUCACAUUUUGGGCUUGAUGAUGCCAAAGAAAGACCAUACCAAUUAUCACGAACGGUAAAAUGUGAACAAGAACAAGCAUACAUUCAAGAAAGCAGAGAAGCAUCAUUAAAAUAAAGCAUUCUUCUCACUAUUCUAUAUUGUUGGAAAAUGGACCAAAAUAAAAAAGAAACCAUAUAUGGAACGUCACAACAAGAAUAUUUGUGCAUUUGGAGAUCAUAGGAUAUUGGGAAGCCAUCGGCAGAAAAGUACAAUUUUUUUUUUUUUUGGGGGGAAAGGAACAGAGAAGUGCAAGUCAAAAAGGAGAAAAAAUGAAAACAGAGAGAUGAAAAGGAAUGCAAUCUAAUUAAUCAUCUAAGGAGGCUACUAUGCUACAUUUAGCCAUUGGUUGAAUAGGCAGCUUGUCUUCUAGUACAACUUUAAAUUUACCAAGAUUGAGAAUUUUCCUUCUGAAGAAAAGUAAUUUCUAUAGCAGCUAUUACCAUCUUCAUCCCAACGGUAAGCAGCUCCAUACUAAGGAAAGAGUGAAAUAGGUGUGCUUUACUUAUAGAAGCCCGUUCCUGUCCAGAGUGAUUAGUAAGUUGUUUCACCAUGACCCCCAUUAUGGUGACUGGAAAAAGAAAAAAAAAAUAUUUGCCCAACACAGAAGUAGCACCCAAAAAGUCCUACUUAAGAGGCUUCAUACCCUGCACAAACUGGAAAGUUUUUUAAAAUUUUCAUGUUCCAAAUGAAGAUUGCCCAUUAAAAAAUUACACACAUAAUGUAUGUAAAGCAAUUAAAACAGAAAAACAAGGAUAACCCAGAAACAAUCCAACCAUCAAUAACAUAAAACUUUUCUAAUUCUGGUAAAGUGAAUGAGAAGCAGAACAUACAUUUCACGUAAUAAUGAAGAUACAUCUUUUAAUCAGUUUUUGCUCUUGCUUUACUCAUAAUGCAGAUACGUAUCUUCAAAAAUUAUAUCAUACAUUUCUCUUAUCAAUGAAGCAGGUUGCUAUUGAACAUUAUUCAUAAACAAAGAGCCAAAUAUGCUUUAAAGCUACUUGCAAAUAUGCCAUCAGGCAUUGAGACAGAGUGACAGACACUCGACAACAAAAACAGACUUAUCAGCACUUAACAACACAAAAGUAAAAAAGCAAAUACUCUUACUCAAGUAUUAUAUUUGUUGCACAAAUAGGAAAGAAGAUAACAAUUUUAAAUUAACCAACAGGUUGAGUCUUAUCGUAAUACACACUAUCAGCUAUGAAUUAGCAUACCUUAGAAGUCCUCAACUCAUUCACCGCUAUUCGAAGAGAAUCAUCCGAUAGAAUCAACCGUGACAAUGCUCCAGGGCUUAAACUGCCGCAUUUAUAAAAGAUCACCAUACGAGAGAAAUCUUAAAUUAAAAAAAAUAUCGGAAACCUAAACGCCAAUCAAACACAUUACAUAUAGCAAUUUCUCUUUUUAAAGUUCAAUUAUCGCUUGAUAGAGUAUUAAGCUUAAUGCAAUACCCCAAUAAUUUUUCAGCUUCUGAGACAGAUCCCUCGACUGCGAAAAUUAGAUCAAGCAGAUCUUGCAUUCCCUGUAGUUAACCAAAAAAAAAAAAAAAAACGAAGCAAGAGUGAAUAGAGUAAUACCAAAGCAAAUUUAGGAUUGUUAGGUCCGAUUUGUGGACCAACUUCUGAACUGCUAAUAGUAGACUUAGGAGGAAGGAUUUGAAGAAGCUGUGGCGGCGGAGAAUACGCAUCAAGAUUCACACUGCUCCUCACUUUGAGGGCCAAAAGAGUGCGACAAAGCUGACGCGCGAUUCUUGUGCUGCGAUCGGUCUUCGGCAGCAUGCGCUAUGACGCCGAUCGGUACGUGCUUGAGACGUACGGCUGAUUCGCGCUUGUUGCGGUGCCGACCGCCUGGUCCCGACGAUUUGUACGCGUCCAUUUCGCAUUCGCGAAACAGCUCAUCGUCCGUCAAUUCUAAGUAAUUCCUCGAAGAAGAAGAAGAAGAAGAAGAAGUUGAAGAACAAUUGUCAUUGGUGCUGUAAUUGCAAGACAAGAACAAUGGCUGAUAAUUCCCGCGAUGCUUGUACGAUGGAAAGUUUAUAUUUUUCCUUCCGAGUUGGGGAAUCCGAAGCAGGAAUUGAGCGGCCAACGCCACAUCAAUUUCAAUUUCCCUCUGUGUAUGUGAUAAUCAAAGCAAAGCUUCGUACUGGUAACACAUUCUUAUAGCAGGCCCAGCCCAAUCAGCCCAAUCCAAAUAAAAGAGUACAUAAUUAUCAAUAAAUAGAAGUCAAGACCUUUCUGUGAUCUAUCUAGUCUUCCUAUCGUACUCUUUUUUUCACUAGAAAAACUACAUUUGUAAUGUGUCUCGAAGCACCAUCAAUUCUUACCUAUAUUUCAAUUAAAAUAAGAGUGAAACUAUCAGCACCCCUUCAUUAUUCUUAUAAAACCCUAUUUCAAAUAAAAUUACAGUUAAGAGCAAAGAAGAAAUAAACACAUGUAGGAUUUUUUUUCCCCAACAAAUUACUUACAUUAAUAAUCAAUCCUUUUUUUUUAUUUCCUACCUAUUAUUUCUUAUCUAAGAUAAAUUGUAUAAAUUUAGAAUAAUCUAUUUUUCUUUUCCUAUUUCUUAUCGAUUAAAUAUUUUUGUACUCAAGAUUACUUUCAAACUACAAUCUAAAAUAUGUGUUAUUUAAGCUACUGAUUAGCAUUCAAACUUUAUCACCUAAAAAACUUUUUAAUUUGUAUGUAGGAUAACAAUAAGAUUGCAAAAGAGAUGAAAAAUAGCACAAUACUACUUUGAGUUUUAACAAUAAAAGAAGAUUAAAUGAAAAACUAAAAGAGUGUCUUUGAAAAUAAAAGGAAUUUUUUUGGAAAUAAAAUAAAUAUAACUAAAAAAAGGGUUUGAUGGGGAGACUAGAGGGGUGCCAAUAGUCCAACUUUUAAAAUAAAAGUUUUAUCAAUUAUUGCUCCCUUUUUCUGCAAUUAUUAUUCCCCACAGAUAUUUCUCCAACAUUUUAUUUCAUAUAUUUACUCCUACUACACUCUAACAAAGGACGCCUUUUGGACGACAUCCGUUUCUAGAUGCAUUUUAUUAAUAAAUUAAAUAAAGGCACCAUCCAUUGUUCAAUUUCUCUAAAUAACCACUUUCUGUCAACUCUCUUAAAAUUUAUUAAGGAAUCUAUGUUGAAGACCAUUUCAUCCUUAGUAUUGUGUAAAUGUAUAAAAAUAGAUUUUACACUUUGAAAUUUAAAAUGACCUUCUUUUAGCAUAAAAUUUUAAAACAAAUGCCGCUAACUAAGGGACAAAUUUUAGAAUACAUGAUCAGUACCAUGUCAGCUAUAUAAAAAGUAAAUCAUAUUAUAAUAUAUGUGCACUUAUUUUGAAAAGCUAUCAGGUAAAUGAUGGUUAUAUUGAAUCUAAGUACGUGCAUAUCAUACAUGACACAACCCGUGUUAACAUAUAUGUUUCCAUAAUGUUGAUUUUGAUGAUAACAAACAAAAUUAAGAAUGAUUAAGCUUUUAAGCUCAAAUUACUUUUUAUACAUUUUAAAUAAAUCAUUAUUUUCACAUUAUAAAGGUUUUAUAUUUAAUGGAAAAAUGAUUUUAUGAAAUUAGUUGUUUUUCAAGUUUAUGAUUUAAUUGAAAGAGUUUUGAAAACUUUGAAAUUAACAAGUAUUGCUUGAAAUUUUGGAGGACUUAUUUGAAACGUUUCAUAGCAUUUUGGGUCGUAUCAUAAUUUCAAAAAGUUUUGGGAAUAGCAAGAUUUAUUUAGAGAUUCUGAAAUUGGACCUAUUUGUAAAAUAAUAUAACGUUUUGGGCCAUAAUAUAGUUUUAUAAAGUUUUGGGGUCAAACUAUAAUUUUAGAAAAUAGUGCACGGUACCGGUUACUGUAACAAGCUGCUAACCGGAUGUGACAAACGACUAGCCAGAUUUUGGGCUGUAAGCUUCUGGAAUGAAAGCGGCUAUCCGGAUUUCGACAGCGGCUAAACGGAUUUCAAAAGCAGCUAACCGGAUAUGAAAAGCAGCAUGCCGGAUAUUCUGAAAUUGAAAUUUUUUCUGUAACGGUAACAUAAAAGUGGCUAACCAGAUUCCAUAAACGGUAAGCCGGUUAUCACCAAAAUGUGCAUAACGACUAGUUUUUGAGUUCAAACUAUAUAAACUCAAAUCCAAUUCAUUUUUGGUAAUCUUGGCAAGCAUAAACAAGUGCACACAACAUAUUUUGAGCUUCAAUUUCCUAAAUCAUCAUUUAUUAAAAUAUCUUUGUUCUUCAAUUUGUAUAUCUACUCUUUGAGAGAGUUUUGUUGUAAUUUUCAAUUCCUCAUCAAAUUUGUGAGUGUUUAAGUGUGUGAGACACUUGAGUGAAGAUAUUGGGAGAUAAUCUCUUUUUUGUAAAGGUUCAUUGACACCUUGGAAGUCAAUUGUAAGCUUUUGAAGCCUUGGAAGGCUUAGAUAGUGAAAUCCUCAAGCUUGGGUUGCUUGGUGGUGUGGACGUAGGCGGUGAUUGCCGAACCACGUAAAAAUCCUUAAGUUUGCUUUCUCUUCCCUUACUCUUUUAUUAUUGUGCUUUCAUUGAAAUUAUUGUUUUCGAAUUUAUUAAGGCAUUAGAUUGGAUUGUUGUGUGGUUUGAUUAUGAUAAGUUUUAAAAACCCAAUUCACCCCCCCUCUUGGGUUGCAUAACUUGUAUUUCAACCCGACCCAACCUCUCUGCCAGAUUCGAGGUGAAUCUUGUGAUCUUAUAUCUAAAGCUUGUGACAUAAAUUUAAUUCAUGAAUACAUAACACUAGCCUCGGCCUUUGUUAUAAACAAGUAAUAACAUAUGUACCUCAUUCAAAAAUAUAUUCAAAACUUGCGCAGUUCACAUCUUACUGUACAUACUUACACUUUAGAUAUAUACAUAUAAACACAAACGUGUUUGAAAUAUAAGUCACGCAGUAAUGCGUGUUGUGGCCCAACCUCAACUGAUUAGAAACUGAAAUGCACGAAAUCCUAUGAAAAUCUUAAAGAAAUGGGAUAAGUAGGAAAAUAAUAUACUUGUAGCUAAAUGAAUGGAUAUAAUUGUGUGUGUGUGUGUGUAUAUAUAUAUAUAUAUAUAUAAAUUAGUGCUUUAGUGCUUGUACAUAAUUAUAUGACAUAACUUCGCACUGAACACAUUACACAAGCAAAUAUGAAAUUAUAUAUAUAUAUAUAUAUAUAUAUGAUAAAACAGCACCAAAUAAUAUGUAGGAGAAAUAACUCUCAAUAUUUAUUGGAAUCAUCAUUGCACAAGUAAAGUGGGGGGAAAAUCUCUCAAUACUCAGCGGAAUUAACUACAUCACAAGGGUCGAGUAAUCUAAGUCUCACUACACAUGCAUAGAGCCUAUGGGGAAGGGUACACAUAUGGUAGCUGGCAAUCACAUCUCAUAAUUGAAUUAAUCAUAUAAUAUGCGUACAUAUAAUCAUAACAUGAUACUAAAUCAUACUAUCAAACAUAAAUACUUUGUAGAAUACAUAUAAAUAAUAAUAGUAAUCCACACACAAAACAUGUUUCACUUCGGGGUUCGUUGGAGCUCCUAUAGAUUCCUUAAUGCUUGGAUUUCUCCUAAAAUAUAGGGUUCAAAAAUUAAUUGUUAGAACUGAUAUAAAAACUUAUACAUAUGACAUAAACUAAAUCAUAAUUGUUCAAAUUUCUUAAAUACGUUACCUACUGACUUAUUGGAUAUAGGUAUAACUAUCCAAUUCUCUUUCCUAUAAUAUUUCCUCUCAAUUGCUCUUUUCAAAAUCAUUUCUCACUCUCGGUUUUUCUUUUCUUUAUUUUUUCUUCUUCAUCUUUUGUUCUUCUGUUCUUUUCCUCUUCUUUCUUCAUCUUUUCUUCUUUUGUUCUUUUCCUCUUCUCUUUUCCUUUUGUUUUCUUCCCUUCUCACCUUUUCCUUUCUUUUUCUUUUCUCUUUGAAUUGCUUUGUUUUAGUUUGAUUCAUGAAAAUGGUGACAGCUGCUUCAAUUCUUUACUUUAUAUAUAUCCAUUGCUUCCGAUCACGCAUGACAAGCACAUAGGUGAAGCAUGCAUGUGCUUUGCUUUAAGCUGACAGCUUGCUAAUUAGCCACAUGUGCGUCACAAUACAUGCAUUAAUUGAUUGUAUUAUUUUUAAUAUAUUAUAUCAUUUCUUUUAAUGAAGGAUGUAGCCAACAAUUUUAUCCAGCUAAACAUGUUCUUUGACAUAUAAUACAGUUUAUGGUCCAAAAACUCAUAAGUAGUUGAAAUUAAAUUAUUUUUUAAUAUCAAUUUUACUUUUCUCUCAAUUUUAAAAUACUUUAAAAGAUUUUCAAACACAAGAUACAGUGGUAUACAAUUGAAGCCUAAUCCAACAUAGAAAGAUUAAAUAAAAUUAAUUUUCAUCACUACGCAAGAGACUUGAAAGGACAUUAAGGUAGCGUUUAUUUUUAAUUUAAAGUAUGAAUAGGUUAGAAUUUGAUUAAAAUUUGAAUGGUUUUGAAUAUAAAUGUUUCAAUAACAUGUUUAUUUUUUUAAUAUAUAAAAAUUAAGUGGCAUCUUGUUUGCUUUUAUAAAGAAAACACAUUAAAUGUAGUUAUUUAACAUUUAUGUCCUUAUAAGUCAAAACGAAUAAAAGGGAUUAGGUUUCGUAGUUUAUGAAAUAACUAUAUUGAAUUGAAAUAUUUUUAGGAUAUAGUAUUUAUUUUCCGGGUAAAAGCUCAUUUAGUCCCUGUAUUUUAAUAUUAGUGUCCAUUUAGUCCCUGUAUUUUUAAAAAUGUCUCGAAACAUCCCUGUCGUCAAAGUAUUGAUACCCCUACCGUUACUUUUUAUUUAUUUUGGUUUACUUUUACAAUAUUACCCUUUUAUAAUAAUUUUUUUGUUUGGACAUUAAUAAAAAGAAAAUAAUUAAAUUACCAAUUUAACCCUAAAAAAAUUAUAUUAAUUUUUAAUUGUCAAAAUUAAAUUGUCAAAAAUUGUAUGCAAACUACCAAGGGUGCAAAUGGUGCUUGCAAAAAAAUUAAUAUAAUUUUUUUAUUUUCUAGGGUUAAAUUGUAAUUUAAUUAUUUUCUUUUUAUUAAUGUCCAAAAAAAAUUAUUAUAAAAGGGUAAUAUUGUAAAAGUAAGCCAAAAUAAAUAAAAAGUAACGGUAGGGGUAUCAUACUUUAACGACAGAGAUGUUUUGAAAUAUUUUUAAAAAUACAGGGAUUAAAUAGAGACACUAAUCUUAAAAUAUAAGGAUUAAAUGAGUUUUUACCCAUAAAUAAUUAAUCAAACAUGGAAAAGUAAUCGAAAUUGAAAAAUCUAUACAGAUAGGGAAAUUCUCCUUUUGGCAUCAAUGGGUCUACAUAAUUUAUUUUGCAUCAAUUAUGCACCAUCACAUUCUUCAACUGCUUUCAAUUAUUUAUGCUCCAAUAAUUGCGAAUUGUUCUUUUCAGUGCAAUCAACUUGCAACUCCCCUAAUCGCAAAAAAACUUACAACUUCCCUUUCAUAAAUAGUAGUGCCCAUUUCCCCAGUAGUCUCGCAUUAACAUUUAAACAUGAUUAUCAAACACUUGGUUUAGUGGUGACCCUUUAUUUUUAAGGUCAGAAGUUACCUAAUCUUUUCAUAUAGAUAUGGGAGUAGAUUUUUUUGUUUUUCUCCCAAUUUCACAGUAAUUAGCUAGUAAACCCCUCUAACCUUAGAGAAGAGUUGAGAAGUUAUGGAUCGAAUUUCUAAUUGAUUACAUUAAAAAUGGUUCCGUUAAUUUCCAUCAAACUUAUUUUUAUAAUAUCAAUACACUAAGGGCGUGUUUGGCGCCCCGCAUAACACUGUAUUAGAACACCAUAUUGUAUUAAGAUAUUACAAUAAAAUGUUUGGCUGCUAUGUGGUAUUGCAUAAAAAAUAAUUAAUGCAGCAAAACCCAUAUAAUGGAAUCUAGCGUGAGUGUCGAGUUGAUUUGAUUUAAUUUUUAUUUUACAGAUUAUAUAUUUAAAAUAUACUGAAAAAAUAAAUGUUAUGCUACUAAAAAUUUAAGGUCAUAAACUCAAAUCUUUAUGAAGAAUGAUGAUAUAUUUUUUAACAUUUAUAUUACAACAAUAAUGUUAAAUUUUCAAAAUUUAAGACUUUUAUAUUCAAUAUUUGUCUAAGUAUUAAAUAUUAAUAAAUAUUAUUUUCUAAAUAUGUAAUUUAAAUUAAUCAGCAAAUGAAUUAAUACAGUACAAUGCAACACCAAACAUAGUGUAACUAAAAAUUAAUACAGUAGAGCACCAAAUAUUGUACAAUAUUAUUAUAAUAUAGUGUUAAUAUAAUACAACAUAAUACAAUACACCUGCAUUAAAAUAAUAUAAUACAAUGUGUCAAACGCACCCUAAUUGUAUUGCAGUAUCUAAAAAAAAAAGAUAAUUAGACCAUUUUAACCAUGAUUAUCUAACAUUAGAUUGAAUUAAAAGAGUCAAAAUUUAUGUUAAAAUUUUAAAAUAAAAAAUUGAAGUUACAAUAUUCCGAUCCAUUAAAAAAAAAUGUAUUUAACCAUGACCAUUGACUAGUCAACACUCACCAGCUUAAAGUAGUGUACAUAUUCGGACACUCACAAAUUCUUUAAUGGAAAAGUGCCACUUACUAAUUCUUAUGUUCAAGUACAGUAGACAAAUAAGUUAAGCAUUCAUUUCUCUACAAUAAAAGUACCAGUCUUCACUCUUCACUCCAUAAUUAGAAGAGUGGGUCUGCCUACAAUGGACCCAUGCAUCUAAAUCUUCAAUUAGAUUUGAUAGGCAGCCAUAAAUCAAUUGACAUGUGUUUUGAUCUAACCGGUUACCCCGUUGAAGCCACAAUUCUCCCGCCAAGUUAAUGAUUCUAAUUGCACUCAAAAAAAAAAAAAUUUCACAAAUUUGUAAAAGAUUCCAUUUUUUCUAAGUACGCUUACUUUUGUUGGAACACAAAGGGUAAAAGUACAUUUAAUCUCUGUAUUUUUAUUCCAGUAAAAAUUGUAAAAAUUUAUUUUUUUAAUUUAAAUGUAAAUAUCUAAAAAUCAAACAUAUGUUACAAAAAAAAACUAAUUUUUUUAAAAUAAGUUAAACUUCAUAUGUUUAAAAUAAACGCUAAGGAACAUGAAUAAGAGCUAUUAAAACAAAAAAAGAAUAAUUUUGAAACUAAAUACAAUUAAUUGAGAGAUGAGGACCGAUAAGAUAAAUUCAUAGAUAAAAAUUAAAAUAUCAACCUUACUUAUUGCCGGCAGUUAUGAGCAUUAAAGCACAGAAGCACGUGUGUUGAAAAGUAUGGUGUUCGUGUGGAAUUUUCAGCUAGAAGUGGACGGUGGCUGGACAAUGAGAUGAAAUUGAAAGAUUAUCACGGAACUUGAAGGAAGGUUCAUGGCAUCGAUUUAUUCUAAAGAGUCACUACAUUUGGUUCAAUAAUUGUUUUCAUUCGAAUCAAAAUCUCUCUCUAAUCAAUUCAACUGUUUCUGUUGAUUAUGGCUUCUUCUUCUCGAAACGACAAGAAGUAUGAUGUUUUUGUUAGUUUCAAAGGAGAGGACACCCGCGACAACUUUACUAGCCAUCUCUGUUCUGCUCUGUGUCGACAAAAUAUCCAAACUUUCAUUGAUGACCAACUUAACAGAGGAGAUGAAAUUUCGGAGUCACUUGUGAAUGCAAUUGAAGCAUCAGCCAUUUCAGUUAUUGUCUUCUCAGAAGGGUAUGCAUCUUCCAGAUGGUGUCUCGAUGAACUUGUCAAGAUCCUCGAGUGCAAGAAACAGUAUGCACAGAUUGUGAUUCCGGUUUUCUAUCGGGUUGAUCCAUCAGACGCGAGAAACCAAACAGGGCCUUUUGGGAUUUCAUUUUCGAAGCUUGAAGAAAGAUUUAAGGAGAAUUCAGAGAAGCUUCAGACUUGGAGGAAAGCUUUGAAGGAAGCAGCCAGUUUGUCUGGCUUUCAUUCUUUUAACAUCAGGUGAAAAGUUACCUUUAAUUUCUCAUUCUAAUAUUUAACAAUAAAUAAAAUUCACUCAGCACUCUUAGUUAAAUUUCCGGCUGCUAAACUACAAUUUUAAAAAUUUUUAAGCAUCAAAUUCUAGACUUCCUGACUUCCCCACUUUUGUGCUCUCAUAAUUAUAAAAUAAUUGUGACAGAAUUAAUAAUAAAAGCUCGAGAAUUUUACAAUAUAUAUGUAACAAAAUUAGUGGUGGUCUGUCGUUUUUUAAGCAAUUUCAACCCCUCACUCAGAUACCACCAUUACCAAAAAGAAAAGAGAAAUUAUCAUUGCACCACCUCUCUUUUACCUUAUGUUCAUCCAACCAUCAUAAAAUUUUAACAUGUUCUUUGCACCACAUUUCUUUUUAAAUUUGUAUUAAUUAGUUACUUUUGAACUAAUAUCGUUAAAUAANNNNNNNNNNNNNNNNNNNNNNNNNNNNNNNNNNNNNNNNNNNNNNNNNNNNNNNNNNNNNNNNNNNNNNNNNNNNNNNNNNNNNNNNNNNNNNNNNNNNGUAUUUUCUAGGUGUGAGUCGCAACUUACAAAUGAAGUUGUUAAUAACAUUUUGAAGAGAUUGGAUGAAGUGUUUCAGCCGCGCGAUAACAAAAACCAGCUGGUUGGAGUGGAAUCAACAGUUGAGGAAAUUGAAUCUCUAUUAGUUGUUGAGUCGAAAGAUGUUUACGCUUUAGGGAUUUGGGGCAUUGGUGGUAUAGGCAAAACAGCAAUUGCUAGAGCUAUUUUCGACAAAAUCUCAGGUGAUUUUGAAGGUUCUUGCUUCCUCGAAAAUGUUAGAGAAGAGUCACAAAGACCAGGAGGAUUACCUUGCUUACGACAGAAACUUCUUUCAAAUUUAUUGAAGGAUAAAAAUGUGAUGCCUUAUAUUGACCUCAAUUUUAGAAGGUUAAGCCGCAUGAAGGUUCUGAUUGUUUUUGAUGAUGUGACUUGCUUCAGCCAAUUAGAAUCUUUAAUUGGAAGUCUUGAUUGGUUUACGCCUGUGAGUCGAAUCAUAAUAACCACCAGAAAUAAACAAGUGCUUAGAAAUUGGGGGGUGAGGAAAAUCUAUGAGAUGAAGGCAUUAGAAUAUCAUCACGCUAUUGAGCUUUUUAGUCGACAUGCCUUCAAACAAAACCAUCCUGAUGUUGGUUAUGAGGAACUUUCAAGCAAAGUAAUGAAAUAUGCUCAAGGUGUUCCUUUAGCUCUUAAAGUUUUGGGUUGCUUUCUAUAUAAAAGGGAAAAAGAAGUUUGGGAAAGCGCAACAGAUAAAUUGCAAAGAAUCCUCCAUCCAAGUAUUCUAGAGGUAUUAAAAAUAAGUUAUGAUGGUUUGGACGAUAAAGAGAAAAGUAUUUUCCUUGAUGUUGCUUGUUUCUUUCAAGGUGAGGAUGUAAAUCCUAUAAUGAAAUUCUUUAAUGCAAGCGGCUUCUACCCAGAAAUAGGUAUAAGUGUUCUUGUUGAUAAGUCUCUCAUUGCUAUUGAUUCACACAAAAAGAUAACAAUGCAUGAUUUAUUACAAGAAUUGGGUAGGGAAAUUGUUCGACAGGAAUCAAUUAAUCCUGAAAACCGCAGUAGAUUGUGGCAUCAUGAGGAUAUUUAUGAAGUUCUUACAUAUAAUAAGGUAAGCAGUUUGUUGUGGAUUAUUAUUUUGGAAUAAUGUAGUGUUUAAAAACUUGAUGCCAAUAUAUUUACAUACGGUCGAACUUAUGAGUCUUAGAAUUAAUAGAAGAGUGGCACUGAUUAGAAAAAACAAUAGUGGUUAGAUGAUGUAGUAAUAAAUUAUAAAUGCGAGACAACUUGCAUAACCAUUUGUAAGCAUAAUUGAUAUGUAAAUUUGUGUAGUACCUGUGUUCUUAUGUUUCUUGUGCAUUUGCAAUUAAGUGUUUAACUGCCUAGCAAUAACUAUAAACAUGAAUUAUUGAAAUUUGAUACGAGUAAUGACAGAGAGCCCCACUCCAAUCCCACAUAAACUCCAUACAAGAAUAAAUAAAAAUUAAUAACUAAGCUACCUCUAAUUGUGAAUUAGUGACAAAAUUGCCCCAAAAAUUUGUCUCGGUGGGGUUGAAGUUUGAUUCAUUAGUGGAAUAUACAUAUCUUUCAUUUGAUUUUAACUUUAUUUAUUUUUAUUUAUUUUUAGGGGACAGAAAAAAUUGAGGGCAUCUGCUUGGAUAUGUCAAAAGUAAAAGAGAUCCGUUUAAAUCCCAGUACUUUCACAAAGAUGCCUAAAUUGAGAUUUUUAAAGUUCUAUAGUUUAUCAUUCAAUAGAGAGAACAAAUGUAAGGUGCCUUAUUUGCAAGACCCUGGAUUUGCUGAAGUGAAAUAUUUUCACUGGCAUGGAUAUCCGUUGAAGUCAUUGCCUUCAAACCUUAGUGGAGAGAAGCUUGUGUUACUUGAAGUGCCUGAUAAUGACAUUGAACAACUUUGGGAUUGUGUGAAGGUAUGCAUAUCUUAUUAUAUAUGUGCAAUCUUUCAAUAACAAUAUUAAAUUAUUAUAGUAAGUAACGAUUUUGUCUUGGCCUCUUUUUUGACCGAGCAGCGUUAUAGUAAGUUAAACCAGAUAAUCCAUGCUGCCUACAAUAAGCUAAUUGCCAAAACUCCAAAUCCCACGUUGAUGCCACGUCUGACCAAGCUAGUUAUCUUGAAUCUAAGAGGUAGCAAAAGCCUGAAAAGUCUUCCAUCUGGAAUAUUUAACUUGGAAUUUCUUACCAAACUUGAUCUUGCGGGCUGCCCAAAACUGAAAAGGCUUCCAGAGAUCUCAUCAGGUAAUCUAAGCUGGUUUUUUUUAAGGGGGACUGCUAUUGAAGAACUGCCCUCAUCAAUUGAGCGUCUACUUAGGCUUGGGUUCUUGGACCUUUCAAAUUGUAAAAGGCUUAAGAGUCUCCCAAGCAGCCUAUGGAAGUUGAAAUCUCUUGGAGUUCUUAAUCUCUGUGGUUGCUCAAAUCUUCAGAGAUUGCCCGAAUGUCUUGGCCAAUUAUCCUCGCCAAUAAUAUUGAAUCUAGCGAAAACCAAUAUUGAGAGAAUACCAGAAAGCAUUAUCCAACCUUUCAUGUCGCGAUACCUCCUCUUAAGUUAUAGUGAGAGACUUCAAUCCUUACCAAAGCCUCCAUUCCUUGCACGAGGUUGCCUGGCACUGCAACCAUUCUUAGGUUUGUUCUCUAAGUUAUGAAUCUUAUAGGCAAUGUUUUUUGACCGGAGCAAUAAUUUUAAAUUGGAAGGUAAUUCUACUGCAGGAAUUGUUGAAGAUAGCCAGAGAAUUCCGCAUAUGGACCAUAAGCUAGCUGUCCGUUGGCAAGAAAUACAGGAAAAUGUGUGUCUUUAACUCUCUCUGUUUAAAAUUUCUACAAUUUUUUUUUGGGUUUAAAAUUAUAAUUUUUUGGUACAGAGAGGUUUUUCCAUGGGCAAAGUUCAUAUCGUAAUGCCUGGGAAUGAAAUUCCAAAGUGGUUUCAGUUUCAAACUGUGGGAUCUUUUAUAACCUUGGAGAUGCCACCAGAUUUCUUCCGUAAUAACAUAGUGCAGGGCAUUGCAUUUUGUGCUAUUUUAGCAUUUUCAGACCGUCAUGUAGAUUGUGGCAGAAGGUUUUCAUUUUCUUUUGAGCUCAAAGUGAAAACCACCAAAGAUUGUGGUCCCCAUGACACACAGUUAUUUCAGAGCAGAGUUAAUUAUAUAGAAUCAGAUCAUUUACAUUUGGGGUACUAUCUGUUCCGCGAAGAGGAUUUUAAUGGUUUUUGGAAAUGCAAUUGCAUUCCUGAGGCAGUCCACUUUAAUGUUUUUCCACCUUUGGAGUGCCAGUGCUGCGGGGUGAAAAAAUGUGGGAUCCAUUUACUUCACACCUCAGACUCUACGAAUUGAAUAGAAAAUCCAAGCACGUGUUUCAACUAUAACGAAGAAGACUGAGAUUUUCAUGAAUGUAGUUUCACUGUUUUCCUUUUUCUAAUGACAAUUAAUAAUAGGAGAAAAUGCCAAAAUCAGUUCUUAGAACAAGACAUCCAUGUAAUAACUUUCGAGGGAUCUGGUUCAUGUAACACAAAUUCACACUAGAGAACUUUACCUUAUUAGGCGAAGAGUAUAAUGUAUGAAAAGCACGUGAUGUGCAUUGUAAAAUUAAAAUUAUUGGCCUUCUUUUUCUUGCUUUGUGCACACAACACAUCACGAUUUUGUUAUUGAACCUUACAACUCAAAACACAUCCACGUAGUUAGGAGAGCACAUGACUUAUACACCAGUAAUAAAACUCACAAGCUAGGCGAUGUCGGAUAUUACAGGACACACAACAGUUCUUAUUGGCGGAGCUAUGUUGUGGGCCCAUAUCUCUAUCAAUGAAAGCAUGACACUCACCCCAUUGCGCACCAUAUAAACUCUCAUCUUUAUAAUGCAAUCACAUUUGAAAACUCUCUACUUUCUCAAAUCUAAAUUGUUGUAUAUGGGAAAGUUUCAUCAUGUGGAAACAAAAGCCAUAAAGAGGGAACAGUUAAAACACCAUAAAAUCUUAUAUAUUUAAAAAAAGGUUAAUGCUAAGUUACAUGCAUGUAACUUACAACCCUCUCACAUGAAUAGCGAAUGAUGUGAGCCCACUCACUAUUCAUGUGAGAGGAUUGUAAGUUACAUGCAUGUAACUUAGGGGGAUCCUUAAAAAAAUAUAUUUGUAUACUGAUUAAAAAAAAAAAGGAUAGGUGUCAUUUUCACUCAAUUUAUUUGUGUUGUGAAUCCAUAUGCUUAAACAUAUGUGCACUUUUUCAAGUAUAUGUACCAAUUCCAUAUUCGGAAUGGUGCAUUUGAUUCCAUAGUUGACGUGGUAUCAUCUAUGGCUGGAAUUUAUAUUUAUAAAACUGACUUGUAAGGAAAGGAUUGAAGAUGCCUGUGAACUUAUAUUUCGAUUUAGAUUGUUGUAUCUUUUUCAUGUAUAAAAUUGGAUCCUAUCGUUCACAUAUCGUUAACAUGAGCAAUAUAGAUUGCUAAAUCAUUGUUCUUUAUUAUUGUGCUGAAUUUGACUUUUCAUUGAAUAAUUUGAUACAUGCCUUGAAUCAAUUUGGACUUUUACAACUUGUCGGGGAUCAGUUUCUCCUACAUUCUUUUCGGCGCCAAAAGAUAUUCAAGCGGUUGAAUAAGAUUUGAUAUAUACAAUAUAAAUGCGAGAGUUGUUUGUCUUUUUACAAUAGGAAUAAUAUAUAAUGCUCAUAAAAAAAUUUCGUUGACCAACUCGGGUCUGUCGUCAUGGGGACUGAUGGGUGUCGAAGCCAACAAAAAUAAAUUCCUACUCUAAAUAAAUUGUGUAUAGUGAUUGAGCAGGGUCGUGUCCACAGAGAUCGGUAAUUAUUUAAAUCCUUUUGAAACGUAAAACGUAAAAUGGGGGAAUUGUUGACAAUAAUAAAAAUCAAAUUAAAAAUAACAAGAAUGCAAAUUAAAGUUGUAAUUCAAAUUGGAGAAAGCUCUGGUUGAAGGAAUUAACUCAGCUUGAUUCAACUACUGAUCAUUGAUUCAAAUAUAGAUUAUUAUUACUCAUGAAUAGACCGGUUAUAGCUACUGAGACCCUCUAAUAGCCAAUCUCUCCUUAACUAGUCGAUAACCAAGGUACGACCGUUGGUUAUUUCCCUAAUCAAUAGACAACCCUAGAUACGAUCAUAGGAUUUAAUCAAUUGAUAGCCUGAAAAACCAGAGAGACCCAAAUCAUAAUCAACACAUAUGAUGAUUCAUUUAAAUUAGAUUGUUUAUUCUCACAACACAACUCUCUGAUAUGUUAUUUGUCACAAACAUUAAAUUCUUCAUACGAUGAAUCCUUUAAUUGACAAUAGAUUAAGUUGAUAAUUAAAUAGUGGCCAAUUACCUAAUUAACAAACAUAAUCAUGAAAAUAAUUCAGAGAAUAAACAAAUACUCAAAAAGCAAUAAAACAAUUAAAGCACAAGAAAGAUCUCACAGUAGUGAUGAAUCAAAGCUUCAUUAUCCUUCAACCAGAAAAAUAGGUUUAGUUCUUCAUAGAGAGAAGAGAAAAAUUAAGAUCUAGGGUUUAUUUCUUUUUCUCCAAUCCAAAAAAUCCCCCAUUUUCACAAUAGAUUCCUCCCUUAAAUACUCUCUCUCUCUUCUCUUUUAGAAUUCUAUUUAAAAUAAAAUCCUAAUAUCUGAAAUAUUAAAUUCGUAAUUACAAAAAUAGCCAAAAAUAUAAAACAUGUUAAACUAAAAACUGCAGGUCCGCAGUUGACAGCACGCGCCCACGCCUUAUCAACAAAGUUCUUCUGCUGCUCAUAAUUUCUCCAAGGGAACAAUCAUCCCUAAACAUCAUCUUGUAGCUUAAUUUUAUCACCAAUCAAUAGAAUUGCACCUACAAAAGUAAAUCACAAGUAAAUCACUAUUAUUAAGUGCAAAACAUCGAUAUUAAGGGAAGUAAACAAUGCAAAACUAGUGCAUAAAUUGCACUCUAACAAAUUCCCCCACACCAAGAUGAUGCUUGUCCUCAAGCAUAUAACUCAAGAUUAAUCUCAAAUCUCCACUAAAUUCUCAUCUCAACUCAUCCAAAAACAAUUUUAAGCAAGCAUACCUCAAGAAAUUAAGUCGUUCAAUGUUCGAGAGACAAGGAUUUUAAAGCAUAGAAUUUCGUAAGAUAGAAUAAGAACAUUCAACCACCAAGAAGAUCCAUUCAAAAUUCAAGUGCAACAAGAUUUAAUAGCCCUCUCAAUAACUUCACUCCAUGCACUCAAAGUGUUUAGGGUGUCAUUUAUCCACUCAAAUCAAAUCAAAGAAUGCUAUUACCAUAAGCUUGCUCAUAUAUCACAUCUCAAUCCACACAACAUGAAUAAAAUGCAAAAAUCUAAGGGUCUUAAAAGGGUUGUAAUGGGGUUAAAUAGGUGAAAUGAAAAAGAAAGGUCUAUGAAAGAAAAAUAGAUAAAAUGAGAAGAAUGAACUCAUUGAAUGAACUUAUGAUAUCAAAAUGCUUAUUUCUACUCAAGUCACCAAGAAUGUAAACUUUUUUUUUCGAUUUUUCUUUUUCUUUUUCUUUCUUUUUUUUUUCUUUUUUUUUCGUUUUUGUUUUGUUUUUUUGAUUGAUUUUUUUUUAAUCAAACAAAAGAAACGAACCUUGCACAAUUUAAUUCAAGCAUAAUGCUUGUUGAUCUAAUUGAGAAACUUUAAUACAAGGUAGAAAAAGCAACAAAAUAUAACCACACAAUGAGUUCAAAAAUCUCCUUAAAUUGAGGCUCAAAAAGAAGAAAAAUGGUUAAGUCAACGGAGAGAAUUAGAUGGGUAAUGGUUAAGGCUCAAACAAAGGUAGCAAAUAAAGGUCUUCGGGUAGAGAAAAAAAAUGCGAGAAUAGAAAAAUGGAAUAUGGUUUGCCCUUAUCAUUUUAAUGCAUAAAAUCCCGUAAUGUGGCUUCAACAUGCAUAACAAAGCAAGUUCUAGAAUAAACAAACUAAGAUUGAUAUUCACAUAACAAAAUAUUAGAGCAAAGUGGUUGCUUAUAGGCUCAAAUCCUCACAAAGUUGGUAAAUUUGCCAUCAAAUCAUGUACACUCUUCAAAUGAAUCAACCAUCAAUAAUGGUGUAGAAUGAGAAGAAGGUAUGAGUGAUAUAUAAAAGAAAAGGUAAAAAUGAUAAGAAGUGAGAAAGACGUAUGUAGUAAUAUGAAAAGUGAAAGAUAAAAUGUGAGUGAUGAAAGAGUAUGAUAGAAUAAAAAUAGAUGUAAAUAAUUUGAGAUAGAUGGGAAAAGAGUAGUGAGAAAGAAAAGAAAAGAAAAAAAUAAUAAUAUAUGAAGCAUACUAACUCCAAAAUCAUUUAAGGAUGAGUAGAGUGAAAAUAGAUGAGUAGAGUGAAAAUACUACUUCUAGACAUCAAUAAUGCAAAAAUCCCUCCCCCACACCAAGAACUUACAUUGUCCCCAAUGUAAGAUAAUCAAAGCUCACAUUAAAAUUAAAGCGUAAGAAUAAAAGAUUAAAGGCAAAAAGAAACUUCCCUGAAUUGUGAGCUUUGAUCCAUAUAACGUCUAUGGGCUUGGCGGAAAUGGUGGGGUAAAUCCCACACUCUCGAAGUAUGCGGCCAAAUUAUGCUCCAUCUUGUUCAGCUUGUGCUCCAUUUUCUCUAACUGAAUGCUCAAAGGUGGUGCGGAUGUAGAAGGAGUAAUUGGCGGGGCAGCAGUGUCGUCGUCAAACUCGUCAUCAGAGGUAGCACCACUCCUAGCAUAAAGUUUCUUCGGAAGUUGAGUGGGUCUUGGUUCAGUAAACUGAAAUCUCCCCUCCUUGAAUUCGACCACACCUAUUCUUUCAAACACAGACAUAUCCAAAAAUUCCUUUUUACAAGCAGGAUGCAAAUCAUUAUUGUCGGGAUCAAGCACACAUAGGUUUAUAGCUAACAUAGUAAUGUAUGGACCAAGAAAUAAAGUCCUAUACCGUUUAAGCACACUUUGAAAUUGAUCCGCUAACCAAAAACCUAAAUUAGGCCUCACAUCAUUUAACAUGCACCAGAUAAAAUAAAAUUCAGUUUUAGAGAAAACUCCUGAGUGAUCUUUCUUGCCUAAAAAAUUAUAUGCUAAGAAUCGAUGCACACAUUUCAAAACAGGAUCACGUAAGAAAGAACUCUUUGAUUUACUCGGGUCAUAGGCAUUGUGAUCAACAGAUAAAUUAAGCCAAAGACCAUAAGGCUCAAAAUUUUCACUAAAGUCACAAGUUUUUCCUAAAUAUGCAUCACUAGAAGAAUAAUCAUCAUUAAUGAAUCCUAAAGCUAGGUUAAAAUCCGUGAUAGAGUGUGAAAAAUUUCGUCCCAUUAACCUAAACUUAAUGACAUCCGAGGUAUGCAAAGUAAAAUCAUUCGGCAUAUGAAAUUGAAAAGUAGCAUAAAACUCCCUAAUCAACUCAACAUAACCCAAACAAUCAACAUCAACAAAUUUACGCAACCCAAUCUUAUCUAUCAAAGAAUCAAAAUUAUCCUUAACAUUCAAUUUUUCAAGAGUCGGGUAAUGAAUAUACUUAGCUGGAAGUAUUUUGCGCAUGGAAAUAUCUUUGUACCUCUCUUUCUCUUGUUGAGUCGCGAAUGCGAGGCACCCUCCGAGAUUGGAUUCCGCAAGUGGCAAAACACUCAUGCCUUUUCCAUGCUUCAAUCUUUGUCUCACGGCUUGGCGUGAAUCUGAAAUUGUGUUCCAUGGAACCGUAGUGGGAGCGGCAAUCUUAGAUUUCUUGGCGACGGGUUUUUUUUUCGAUGACUUGGAAGUAGAUGCUUUCCUCUUCGGCAUUGUUACAAUAAUUGCACUCACGGAUUUCGAUUUACCCGGCUGGAAUACAGGGCGUAGGCUGGUUGCGUUGCGUUGCUGCGUUGUGGGCUUGCGUUGCGCGCUGCUGAGGCUUGCUUUGCGGGUGCUGCGCUGUGUUGCGCGCUAGUGAUUCGCGUUGCGUUGCUGGGCUGGAUCUACGCACUGCUGCGUUCGCGUUGUGUUGCGCGCGAGAGCUGGUUCGCGCUGCUGAUCCGUUGUGCGCUGGUGGGGCUUCGUUGCGCACGGCUGGAGCUAAGAAUCUGCGUUGCUGGGGCUUGCGUUGCGCGCGACUGAUGCUGCAUUCUCCGGCUGGCUGGUUUGCUGCUGGCGUGCUGCAAACGGCUGGAGAAGAAAACAAUUUCUGGAAAAUUAGGGAUUUUGUGAACAGUAAAAUUUUUUUUUUUUGAACAAUGAUUUUUUUUUGAUUUUUUUAAAUAAAUAAAAUAUAUAUAUAUAUAAAAGAAAGAACAAAAGAAAUAAAUCAAUAAAAAAAUAAAAUAAAUUAAAAUUAAAAAAAAAUUUAUUUUUAUUUUUAUUUAUUUAUUUAUUUUUUUAGUGAUGAAUCACUUUGAGACACUAAAAAUUUCAGAAGUACUUUUCUAAUAAGCACGUGGGCACGCCUUAAAACUAUUUUACUUUAAAAAUUACAGAAGUACUUAUUAGUUAAGACGUGGGCACGCCUUAUCAAAAAUUUUCUUCUGACCAAAAUAAGCAAACACAUUAUUUAAAAAAAAAAUCUGAAUCAAAAUUAAAAGAAGAUAUAACAAAAACCAAAAUAAAUAAAUCACUUGGGUUGCCUCCCAAAAAGCGCCUUUGUUUUAUGUCUUUGGCUAGACACAUUUAUGCAUCAAUCUCCAUAAUUUGGACUCUCGAGAGCCACAUCCUCCACAAUAUUCACCGAAAAACCUUCAUAAAAAGGUUUUAAGCGAUGACCAUUAACCUUAAGAACUCUGUCAGAGGUCGGACUCCGAAUCUCAACUGCACCAUGAGGAAAAACAUUAGUAACAAUAAAAGGUCCAACCCAGCAAGAACGUAAUUUACCCGGAAAAAGUUUAAGUUUAGAAUGAAAAAGAAGAACUUUUUGACCAACAGAGAACUCCUUUCUCAAAAUCAUUCUAUCAUGAAAUGUCUUCGUCUUUUCCUUGUAAAAAACUUCCUUCACUAUAGGGUUAAUAACAUCCACAGAAAAUACCGAAUGUUCCUCACUAGGAUAUUUCAUGGCAUCAUUCAUAUUGAAUUCUAUAACCUCUCCAUCAAACUCCAUAGUGAGAGUCCCUUUAUGUAUAUCCAUUUUAGUCCUAGCAGUCUUAAGAAAAGGUCUUCCUAGCAAAAUUGGGACAGAAUUAGAGGAGUUAUCAUCUUCCAUAUCAAGUACAUAAAAAUCAGCAAGAAAAACCAACUCAUUAACUUGUACUAAGACAUCUUCUAAUACCCCAUCAGGAUAUGCAUUAGACCUAUCAGCUAGUUGAAUUAUCACACCAGUUUCUUUUAAUGGUCCAAUAUUCAAAGAUGAAUAAAUGGAACGAGGCAUGACAUUAAUAGAAGCUCCUAGAUCUAACAAAGCCUUUUCAACUCUAACACUACCAAUUUUACAAGGGAUAGUAAACAUACCUGGAUCCUUGCACUUAGGAGGUAGUUUCUUUUGGAGAACUACUGAAACAUUCUCCCCCAUGUGAACUUUUUCAUCUCCUCUUAAUUUUCUCUUGGAGGUGCACAGUUCCUUAAGGACUUUAGCAUAUCGAGGUAUUUGUUUUAUAGCAUCUAAUAAAGGAAUAUUUACCUCAACCUUGCGAAAUGUCUCAAGGAUGUCUUUCUCUUGUUCCUCCUUCUUGGAUUUUGCAAAUCGGCUUGGAAAAGGAGGAGGUAUCACAAUAGGUAGGGGUUUCGCUUUGGUGGGUUGUGCAUCUUGAGAUUGAGGCAUCAAUUCAUUCUUCUCAAGCUCAUCUUCUACAUGCUUUGUCACUUUCUUACUAGGCUCUUGCAACUCCGUCCCACUUCUAAGGAUGACAGCACUAACGUUUUGCUUUGGAUUCACCUCAGAUUGUGAAGGCAAUCUCCCUAAUACUUGAGACUCCAGACAGCUCACUGUAGUCGCCAAUUGACUCAUUUGGUUCUCCAAGUUCUGAAUGCUUACUGUAGUUGCCUGCUGAAAUUGUUGAGUGUUAGUCGCAAGCGAUUUAACAAUUUCUUCAAGAGAUAUACCUGACUUGGAGUUUGACUGUGGAGGUGCUGGUUGUCUUGGUGGAUACUGUUGUGGGAAUCCUGACGGCCUAACUCCAUAGCUGAAGUUGGGAUGAUCCUUCCAUCCCGGAUUGUAUGUUUGUGCAUAAGGAUCAUACCUCCUCUGAGGCAUGCCUGGAAAUCCUCCAACUACAUUGGCUUGUUCAACGGGUUCUUCUUGAAGUGUAGGACACAUAUCGGUUGAAUGACCCAUAUUGUAACAAAUGCCACAAGUCUUCACCUGUUGCACAUUACCUACAACAAACUUUUCCACAAGAGAAGUAAGUUUAUCUAAACGUUGUUCAACAGAAGAAAUAUUUACCUCAUUCACCUUCUUUGAAAUGGGAUCUUGCCUGCUGCCAAAUUGUUGUGCGUUGGCAGCCAUAUUUGAUAUCAACUCCCUUGCUUGCGUAGGGGUCUUGUUCACCAACACGCCUCCACUAGCAGCAUCUAUCAUACUCCUAUCCAUCAAUGAUAGUCCUUCGUAAAAAUAUUGAAUAAGAAGUUGAUAAAAAAUUUGAUGCUGAGGACAACUGGCACACAAUUGUUUGAAUCGCUCCCAAUACUCAUACAAAGUCUCUCCAGGAAGUUGUCUGAUCCCACAAAUAUCUUUUCUGAUGUUGGCAGCUCUUGAAGCAGGAAAGUACUUCUCAAGGAAUUGCUUCUUCAAAACCAUUCCACGUUGUAAUUGAUCCAGGAGGCAAGUAGUACAACCAAUCUUUAGCUAGCCCAUCUACAGAGAACGGAAAAGCACGCAGCUUAAUCUGCUCUUCAGUCACACCUUGUGGUCUCAUACUUGAGCACACAACAUGAAACUCCUUAAGAUGUUUAUGAGGAUCUUCACCUGCAAAACCAUGAAACUUGGGUAAUAAAUGAAUAAGACCAGACUUUAAUUCAAAAUUUACCUCCAAAUCUACAUAUUGAAUGUAGAGUGGUUGUUGAUUCAAGUCUGGUUCAGCUAACUCUCUAAGAGUUCUUUCUAUAGGUGCAGGUCUAUCCAUCACUUGUUCUUCUAAAUCGCUAGAUGAUUCAACUGAAUUAGGCACUAUAUCUGUUUCAGAAAGCAAAGGCGACGAGGAUCGUUGCUUAGCUCGCUUCGUCUGCUGUCUCAGCUGGCGAUCUGUCUUCUCAAUUUCAGGAUCAAAUGAAAGUGUACCUGUACGAGAAGAACGAACCAUACACCAAGUAAAACGUAAAAAGGAUUAAAUAAAUGACACCAAUCCCCGGCAACGGCGCCAAAAUUUGAUGGUUGUCGAAGCCAACAAAAAUAAAUUCCUACUCUAAAUAAAUUGUGUAUAGUGAUUGAGCAGGGUCGUGUCCACAGAGAUCGGUAAUUAUUUAAAUCCUUUUGAAACGUAAAACGUAAAAUGGGGGAAUUGUUGACAAUAAUAAAAAUCAAAUUAAAAAUAACAAGAAUGCAAAUUAAAGUUGUAAUUCAAAUUGGAGAAAGCUCUGGUUGAAGGAAUUAACUCAGCUUGAUUCGACUACUGAUCAUUGAUUCAAAUAUAGAUUAUUAUUACUCAUGAAUAGACCGGUUAUAGCUACUGAGACCCUCUAAUAGCCAAUCUCUCCUUAACUAGUCGAUAACCAAGGUACGACCGUUGGUUAUUUCCCUAAUCAAUAGACAACCCUAGAUACGAUCAUAGGAUUUAAUCAAUUGACAGCCUGAAAAACCAGAGAGACCCAAAUCAUAAUCAACACAUAUGAUGAUUCAUUUAAAUUAGAUUGUUUAUUCUCACAACACAACUCUCUGCUAUGUUAUUUGUCACAAACAUUAAAUUCUUCAUACGAUGAAUCCUUUAAUUGACAAUAGAUUAAGUUGAUAAUUAAAUAGUGGCCAAUUACCUAAUUAACAAACAUAAUCAUGAAAAUAAUUCAGAGAAUAAACAAAUACUCAAAAAGCAAUAAAACAAUUAAAGCACAAGAAAGAUCUCACAGUAGUGAUGAAUCAAAGCUUCAUUAUCCUUCAACCAGAAAAAUAGGUUUAGUUCUUCAUAGAGAGAAGAGAAAAAUUAAGAUCUAGGGUUUAUUUCUUUUUCUCCAAUCCAAAAAAUCCCCCAUUUUCACAAUAGAUUCCUCCCUUAAAUACUCUCUCUCUCUUCUCUUUUAGAAUUCUAUUUAAAAUAAAAUCCUAAUAUCUGAAAUAUUAAAUUCGUAAUUACAAAAAUAGCCAAAAAUAUAAAACAUGUUAAACUAAAAACUGCAGGUCUGCAGUUGACAGCACGCGCCCACGCCUUAUCAACAAAGUUCUUCUGCUGCUCAUAAUUUCUCCAAGGGAACAAUCAUCCCUAAACAUCAUCUUGUAGCUCAAUUUUAUCACCAAUCAAUAGAAUUGCACCUACAAAAGUAAAUCACAAGUAAAUCACUAUUAUUAAGUGCAAAACAUCGAUAUUAAGGGAAGUAAACAAUGCAAAACUAGUGCAUAAAUUGCACUCUAACAGGGACAAUGUCCUACUCCUUCCAAUACAAUUAACUUCACAUUUGAAAGUUGAGAAGGCAGAGAUUAGAAGUAUCUACCAACAGGUACAUCGAAGGGGGUGAAUGGAUCCUCAUCCCCCCAUAAAACUAGUACAGGUAUAGAGAUCGAUGGCAUCAAUUGCACGGGGUUCGGCCCUGAUGGGCCAGUCACAAUCGAAACAAAUGCAUCAAGUGCCCCUUCAUCAUUGGCGGGUUCUCGUAUGAUCCGCAGUUUUGAGGUUAAUUCAUGAAUUUUGGGUAGCCAAUUUUGUAAGAGGGUAAAAUGGCACAUAAGUGGAGAAUAUUAAUACCUCUACCAGUGUUUCAUCCACAGAUUCCUUAUUUGUAUAGAUGGACAGUAAAAUGGUCGUCCCUGCAGCACCAAUAUAUACACAUCAUAGAGUUUUUUUAUUUUUGACUCUAGUGUUUUAGGAUAACGAAAAAUGGACUGAAUAGAGAGAAGAGAAAAUACCUUUGUUUCACAUCUUCAAAGAUUGCAUCUGCAAUUGGCCUUUGCUUCAACAAAAAAUCUAUGAACCAAAGCAAUGGAAACAAUAGCUUGAUUCUCCAGUCGUCACCAAUGCCUUGUUGUUCAUGCCGCCACCAUAAUUCAACAGAACAAGCCCUCGAACAAGUGUUUGACUGGAUCCUUAUUGUAGAAAAUAUACCAGGUUUAUCGCAAACCUUAGUUACAAGAAGGCUAAUUAGGUGGUGCAAGUGUUUCUUUCCAAGCAAAUUGAAGAAUAUCUAAUGUCCAAGAGGAAGUUAAAAUAAAUAUACCUGAGGCGACAAUAACACAAGCUAGGCUUCCAACAUAAUUACCUAUAAGCACAGUUGGCUUUCGAACCACUUCAUCCAAGAAAUCCAGUAUUAGUUCUAUCAAUGAGUCUUACUCAAGUUAGCAAGGACAAUAACUAAAGGUCAAGCUAUUGAUAAUAUAAGUAAAGGAGUUGUGAUAUUUGACCAGUAAUAUAUCUCAUCAGCCCUAUUAAUCACUUUAUGUAAAUAUCUAUUUUAUCCUUGUAUGAAAUGAAUUAAAAAGGUAAAUAAUUAAUGAUUUUUAACAUUUGCGGAUGCCCACAAUUAUAUGUACACAAAAAUAAAUAGUAUAAAAAAUAAUACAUUAUCAAUAAAAAAAUUCACUAAAAAGAUAAAAAAUAUUCUUUAUCUUUUGUACUAAAUUUUGUUUACUUUUUUUUUUUUAUCAAUAAUGGGCUCUAAAAGAGCUAAAUCACCACUAAACGGGAUUGGGCAACCCCAGCUAUGUCGUUAUUAAGAAUGCUCUGUAAACUAGGAGGAGCAUCAGUAAGUAAUUGCAAGCCUAAAGGAAAGGACAAACUAAAUGAGGCCAGAAAAUCUGCCGCUAUGUUCGCUUCUCUAUAGAUGUGGUUCACUCUCACGAUCCAGUCCCUGCUAAGCAGCUCCCGAAUGGCAAGGAUGAGAGAGUGAUGCUCAUUAACAGGAGUGGUCGGAUUCUCCAAAAUUUGAGUAACAGAUUUGCUAUCAACUUCCACCCAAAUCCUUCGAAACCUUCUUUGCCAAGCCAUGCAAAGCCCGUGGUACAAGCCCCAUAUUUCCGCAGUAAGAACAGAACAAGCACCAAGGUUGAUGCAGAGCCCAAAUUGCCAAACUCCCCUGUAAUCCCUAACAAGACCUCCCACUCCUGCAACACCCGAUUCCUUCCUAGCACCAUCAGUAUUCAAUUUCACCCACGGCCAGGUUGGAGAGCUCCGACGGAUCCACUUCUCAACAUGUCUCUUCCCAACACCGAUAGAACUGUUGAAGCAUCUUUGAAUUUCAGCAACCCGCGAAUAAAUAUCCAGCAUGAUACGAUCACUUUCCCACUUCUCAUGAUUAAACAUGAGCUUAUUUCUCCAGAACCACAGCCUCCAAAUUACAACCCCAAAAGUUAACGACCACCCUUGUGAAUCACCAUGAGAGCUAGCCAUAUGAAGGUUAGUAACCAACCAAUCUGUGAGGCCAUCCAAAAAGAAACUUUGGUGAGUUCCAUUAAUCAAAAGACGCUUCCAAAUUACCAUUGAAUAGGGGCAGUCACGCAACACAUGUAGCAUAUCCGCCCGGACAAAUCCACAACGCUCACAAGCUGCAUCCAUGGCUAUUCCCUGAGAUGCAAGCUCGCAAUUAGUCUUCAGUCUGGAAUGAAGGGCUUGCCAAAUAAAAACUCUGAACCUCUGCGGUCCUUUCCAAGACCAAGCUAGCUUCCAAACCGAACUCUCCUCAGAUAGCCACGGCUUAGCAAGGAGCAUAUAAGCUGAACGAACAGUGAAGUGACCCGAAGGGGAUGCAGCCCAAUAAAAAAUGUCAGUCCCAUUGCUCGAAGACGGAGGCAUGAUGGACGCAAUCCGUAACAAAACGUGAUGGGGCAAGAGAUGACUAAAUUUGUUCCAGUUCCAGGAGCCAUUCAAAAGCGUAAACUGAGCAAUCGGUUGAAGACUUAUAUCACUGGGAAUGCUAGAGAGAGCUAAGUUCGCCAAAGGUUUAUCAUCGAUCACCCAACAGUCCCACCAAAAUCUGACAGUCAUUCCAUCACCAAUAGACCAGCACAGACCCCGUCUGGUAGGCUCCCAAGCUCUCCCCACAGCCUUCCAGAGAGGGGAACUUGCACUUGUACAGAAGUUAUGGUGGGUAUCAGUUGGGGAAAGACCAUAUUUAGACAACAAAACUCUAACCACAAGCUUUUCAGGUUCGGUCCUAAUAAGCCAUGCAAUUUUCAUUAUAAAAGCUUUAUUCAUGAGAGCAAGCUUCUUAAAGCCAAGACCACCAGCAGAUUUUGGUUGACAUACUCUAUCCCAACCAAUAAGGCUCAUUUUCCUAUGCUCCCCAUUACCACUCCAAAGAAAUCUUCUACACAUUUGUUCAAGCUUAGAAGUAAUACUUGUCGGCAGGUAAGUUGAUUGCAUUGCAUAGAUGGGAGCAACCUGUAGAACAGUCUGAGAUAGGGUGAUUCUACCUGCCAGAGAUAAAUGAGAGGCACUCCAACCCGAAAGCCUCUGAUCGACUUUAUCCAAAAUCUCCUGAUACGUGGAUUUUGUGAUACGCCCAUGGAGAAGAGGCAUUCCCAAGUACUUACCCAAAUCAGAGGUGGCAGUAAAUCCAAGCUCAUUACUAAGGGCAUGAACGGUAGGCCCUGGAACAUUAUGGGAGAAGAAAACUUGAGUUUUAGUUUUAUUCACCUUAGCACCAGAGCUAAGACAAAAAGAAUGCAACACUUUCGUGAUAAAUUGAGUUUGAUCUUUGGAAGCUUCAGCAAGAAGAAGCAAGUCAUCCGCAAAGAACAAGUGACUCAAAGGGGGACCCGAGCGAGACAACCGAAUUGGCCUCCACCUAUUCUGAUGAAUAGACUCAUAAAUCCCAUGACUGAGACGCUCUAUGCAGAGAACAAAAAUGUAGGGGGAUAAUGGAUCACCUUGACGAACACCCCGGCUAUGUGAAAUGUCCUCAGUAAACUCCCCCUCCCAUAAAACGUUCAUUCGAGCAGUUGUGAGACAACUCAUAAUUAGCUGAACUAAAGAUGUUGGUAAUCUCAACUCCAUAAGAGUAUCCGAAAUAAAGCUCCAGUUUAGCUUAUCAUAAGCUUUUUCCAAGUCAACCUUAAUAGCCAUUCAACCUUUCUUACCUUUUUUACGUUUCAUAGAAUAAUCUCCUAAGCAACGAUUAUAUUCUCAGUGAUAUGUCUUCCUAGUACAAAACUAGUUUGGUGAGGUCCAAUCAAAUCCGGUAAGAGGUGUUGCAGUCUAUUCACAAUGAGUUUAGUGAUUGUUUUGUAUGUCACAGUACAAAGACUUAUGGGACGAUAGAACUUGAAGGAACUUGGAUGAUCAGUUUUCGGGAUUAAAACAAGGAGAGUCUUGUAUACCAUCUCUGACACCACUCCAUCUUUGAACAUAGAUUUUAUUGUCUCACAAAGCGAAUCUCCAACAAUACUCCAUUGUGUUUGAUAGAAGCAAGCUGGCAAACCAUCAAUCCCCUGAGCUUUAAACGGGGUCAUCUGAAAUAUAGUACUACGAAUCUCCUCAUUAUCAACCGGCACACCAAGGCUAGCCAACCUAGUCUCUUCAAUCUCUGGGAACCGAUCACGCAAUGGAUACAAUUGAUGCAGCACCUGAUCAGGGGCAUACAACUUCGAAAAGAAUUCCACAGCUUCUCUUUUAAUCUCUUGAGGGUCAUAUAACCAAGCUCCACAGCUAUCCUUGAUUACUUUAAUCCGAUUACGGGCUCUCCUAGUGAUUGUCUUUUGGUGAAAAAAUUUAGUAUUUCUAUCCCCAAAAGCAAUCCAGUCUCGUCGGGAUUUUUGGAACCAAAAAAAUUUCUUCCUGUGCCAAUACCGUCUCCAACUCCUUCCUCAACUUCAACUGUAGCCGAAUAAGACUCUUGUAAGGUCUAUUCUCCACUGCUUUUUACACUCCCCCAAUCCUGGCUAAUAAAGACUUUUUUCGUUUAAAGAUGUUGCCAAAAACGUUUCUGUUCCAAUCUGAAACAUUCCUAACAAAAUCGGUGGUAGCUUGCCCAUAAGACUUAGAACGAUCCUAGCUUGUCUUUAUGAACUCGUUAAACCGAGAAUCCUUUAGCCAUGCAGCUUGAAAUCUAAAAGGUUUUUGAUCCACAUUCCGAUGAAUAUAUCGCUCAAACCGAACAAGCACGGGUCUAUGAUCAGAGGCAACAUGGGGAAGAUGCAGGACCAAAUAAUUCGUAAAUUUUACCAACCAAUCCUGGUUACACAUGGCACGGUCAAGCCUUUUGGAUAGACCUCCACGUGACCACGUGAACUGGGGACUGCUAAACUGCAAGUCAACAAUACUGUUUGAGUGAAACCAAGAAUUAAAAAGAUGGCAAAUACUCGUGUUGGACUGAGACCCCCCACGUUUCUCAUUAGCAUACAAAAUAGAGUUGAAGUCACCCCCCACAAUCCAAGGGCCCCUCAUGUGACGUGCAAUCUCUCCUAGCUGAGACCAGAGUUCUCGACGGGUUGUUGACACAGAACUAGCGUAAACUGCUGUCACCCAUGACUACAUUACAUUCUGAUUCAUGACUCUAAAAUGAAUGAAUUGUUUGUAAGUAAGCACCAUCUCGAUGUCUAAAUAAUUUUUCCAUAAUAUCCAGAUCCCUCCAGUAAAACCCACGGCUUCAACCCGAUGAGAUCUAUCAAAACCACUCCCCUUUAUGAAAAGAUCAGCUUUCUUGCCACUAAUACGCGGUUCAGACAACACCACCACUGAAGGCUUAUAGCUUGAGAUUAAAGAAUUAAAAGAGAGCUUAAAGCUCGCCGAGCCCGCUCCCUGUACAUUCCAAAACAUUACAGAUAUCAUAAAAAAAUAACCAGAGAGAGAAAUGCCUUACUGGCGGGUACCCCUGGGCGAUGUCUCCUGCAAACCAAGAGUCUCAUUGACAAAAGAAGUAUCAACAUCAGAUGUGGUGUCAUCAACAUUAUUCAUAAUAUCAUCCUCUUCCCCCACCCCACCACUAUUAGGGGGAUCAUUUAAAUGUUCAAAAGGAGGUUGGUGCCCUGGGUUCACUUCAUGAACGAUCUCCCUUUGGGCCCCGCUAGUUUCCCCAACAAAGAUGUUAUGUAGGUAAGCGAAGGAAACUACUGUGUGAUAUUUUGGGUUAAGGGUUGUAUGCACUGUGGAGGGACCACGGGAACUAGCAGAUGGGGGGUUGGCUUGCUUUGAACUGGGGGUUGUUUGGGGGCAUGGAAGAAAGUUUGCAUGUAUGACUUUAGAGGUUCCAGUUAUUGUCUAUUUAGGUUUGGGCGGUUGGGGCUUGGCAAUUUGUUUGCCCUUCAUAUUAGGUCAUAGGGUCUGUGAUUUAGGGUUAGCAAUGGGAUUAAGAACAGGUUUAGGCUUACUCAUAGUACGGGAGUAGAUGGAUGGGUUGGGCAAUUGAUGUAGCUCCUUCGGGGAUUCAUGGAAGGCCACUCCCACAGUCUCAACAUAAUCAACAGCAUCAGCAAGAACAGUGAAGCGUGACAUGCCAGCAUUAUGAUUUUGGUUUUGCAUGCUGCUACUCACAUUCUCCUUACCAAGAAUUGGCGCAGCCCUUCUUCUCCUUGGAGCAAUCAUCCAGGGGCCAAAAAUAUAUUCUCUAUUUCGAUCCUCCUUUCCGGCAUUAGUGUGAAUGGUUGUGGGAGGUAUGAAUGCGACCUCAGUUCCAAUAGGUGCCUCCAAUGCAACCUCCUGUGUAGCUCCAUCUGUACACCCAUUGCUAGAAUGACCAUAGCACCCACAUUUGAAGCAUAUUAUUGGCAAUCCCUCAUAUUCAACUUUUUGAACACUGCCAUUAAUUUUAAACUGAGAAACCAUAGGCUUAUUGAGCGAUAUUCACACCGCCAACCUUGCGAAUUUUCCUCUUUCAUUGGAUGCAGUGUUCACAUCAAUUUUGAGGACAAACCCUACAAGCUGGCCAACUUUCUUCAGGAUACGCUUAUCGUAAAGAUGCAUGGGCAAUCUAGGUAACCGGAUCCACGCAUUAACUGUAUCUAAUUUAGUCACCAUGCUGUCAAAUUGUGGAGACCAUGGUUGCACAGUUAAAUAAUGCCCCAUAAUGACCCAUGGCCCCUCCGUUAAAGCAUAUUCAACAUCCUCAUAAGACUGUAGCCGAAUCAGGAAAAAGUUAUUCUCCAAGUCCACCACCGAAAACUCCCCAAUCUUUUUCCACAUCAAUUUCAAUCUAUUGUACAGCACUCGGUACCCAAUAUCUCUACCCAGAAGUUUAACCACGACUGAGUUUUUCCAUGGUUUGAUUAGCUUCUCUUGAAUGCGUUCCGAAAAGUCUAUUGCUGGCAUAGCUCCAUCAGAACUUACCAUGACAUCUCCUGGCUCAAAAUCCCAAUCAUCGUCGUGAAAUUCCUCUCCCUCAGUCAUCCCAUGGACACUAUUCUUCCCUUGGCCAAAAUCUCGAAGUGCAUCUCUAUAAGAUGCUGGAAGCGGAUUAUUGGCAUCGUCCAUUCGCCCUCCAGCGGGCCUUUUUACUUGAUCGAUUGUCGACAAAUGGCAGCGGAAAAGUCCCAAAAAAAACUAGAGUUAUCGUUUGUUCCAAUGUUCUCAUAGGGUUCCGACAUACUCGGAGAACUUUUAAAGUUUAAAUUUUGUUUACUUUUUAGUACAUAUAGAAUUAUGCUACGGAUGCGAGGAGAAAAAAUGUGGAGUCCAUUUAUUGGAAGCCCCAAAUUCUAACUUACGAUCCAAGCGUGAGUUUCAAACUAAACCAACCCAAAGUUUGUACAAAGUCCAACUCAAUGCAACUAAAAUCAUUCUAAUUUGCCUUCUCAAAAAACAAAAUCAUUCUAAUUUGCUUUUGGUUUUGGCUGACUUAGCCUUUAAUAAAUUCACAUGUUAUAUAACAUAAUUGAAAAAAAAGGAAAAUGAUAUUCUCACAACACUUAAGCACAACACUGAGCACACAAUAUAAAAUCUAAAUUUUGGGAGAAAAAUUGCCACGCACGCGCAUGCAACAAACUCUCUCACGCGUAUCGCUCUAUUCAACAGCCAGCGUUGCUCGAAUUUUCCCAAGUUUCCCAUCGCACAGUGUCGGCUCUGAUCUCCCACACCACUUAGUAGCCAGCAAGUCUCAGCUCUCCUCACGCAGUGUCGGCUCUGAUCUCCUUUACGCACCAAUAGUCUUGUCCCCAACAGCUCCCGUAAUCGUCUUGUUAAGGUAACUUGUGUAGGACAUUGUGCUGUUUAUGAGUUGACUGUUAGGGAGUUAAAGCUCAUUGUCCUGUAAUUGCAGUCUUCGUGAUAUUGAGGAAAGCUUAUCCUGUAAUUCCAGCCUCCAUGUUUAUUUCUUUCAAAGAAAGAGUGGCUUUAUAUCACUCAAAUCUUUAUGCUCUGUUAAUAAAUUAUAUUCCCCAUUGUUUCUAUAGAAUUAAAACGGCAACUCAGAUUUAAGUUCCCUCGAUUUGUAAUUAACUUCAAUUAAUUGUAUGUGUUACUCAAUGUGUGUUGAGCAUGUACUUGUUCUGAGAUUCCUUUUGUUUCUUUCUUGGUUUAUAAAUACCUUGUUGAGGAUUGCAAAUAAGAGAAGCUGAUAUAUUAAGCCCAAUUGACACUAUUAUUGCAAAUAAGGGAAGCUGAUAUAUUAAACUCAACUGACAUUAUUAUUGCAAAUAAAAAAGCUGAUAUGAUUAUAAAUAAGAGAAGCUAAUACAACUUAAAUAUAAUGCAUAUCAACAAAUGUUCAACCACCACAAUCUUGCAUCUGCAUUUGUCUACCCACUCUGCAGACUGUCAACAAAUGUUCAACCACCAAAAUGAACAAAUGAAACUUGAUUCUUGUCUAACCAAUUACAGGCCAAACAGGAUUUUGCACAAAUAUCCUACCAGCAAAUUCUAAUUCCUCUCUAACAUAAUCCAUCUCAGAAUAAUUGCUCCUUAUUUCAUCUCUGAAUCCAAAACUUUUAGCUCUUGCUUUUCUAAUAGUUUGUAGGCCUUUUUAGUAGAUUCCCCAUGGAAGGAUCGGCUAGAGUGUAAACAAGCAUUGCCCCUUCCUUGGCUGCUGGCUUUAUUAUCUCCAUCAACUGCUCUAGAUCAUUAAAUUAACAAAAUUGUAGCAACAACAAUAUGUCAGUGCUCACAUUUUAGCUGAUUAAAUUAAAUGAGAUUUCAACAUUAAGCAAACAAUCCAGAUUAUAAUAAAAAUGCAUUUCCUCUAGUACACCAGCAGCAAUUAUUGUUUCUGUGAUCAAAUCACAUGCAGAAAAAUAACUAAUUUGACAAGAGUUUUUUUUUUUUUUAAUCUAGGAUCAAGAAUAAUAGCUUCUCAAGCUCCAAUUACUUGGUGCACGAAAGUAAUGAAUUGAUUUGCAUUCUUACCUCCAAAAUCAUUUCAGGGGAUAAAGUAGCAAGUUGAAAUAUGUCAAUACUUUCACCAGACUCGGCUCCUGAAGAGGAAGAAAAACACAUAACCAAAUUAAUUACAAAAAAUUCGUAAUAUUUUUUAAAAAAUACAAAUUAAUAAUGGUUUUGUAUAAUUAAUCAAUUAAAUCCUUCUAUUAAUUUUUUCUUAGAUUUCUUUGACCAUAUUUGAUCAUAAAAUUUAAUAUAAGUUUUAUUUUACUAUUUUAUUAGUAUAAUAUAAAAUGACCAAAUUAUCCAAUAAACAUGAGUUAUUGUAUCUAAUAAUUUUGGUAUUUAAUUAUGUGAACUAAAGUUUUUAAAUGAAAUUUAAUUAUUGUUUUCUCUACCUUACGUGUAAAUGAUAUAAAUUUGACAACCUAAUAAUUUACAUGUAUUCCGCCAUAGAGAUGUUAUAUUAGUUUAAUUAAAGUUUUAUAAUCAUACUAAUAAGUAGUAUUAGAAACAAUGAAUUUGAUAUAAAAUUAGAAACAUAUUGAAGUUAAAGUAAAUUCAUGGUACUUUUACCUUAUAAGGAUAAAAUAAUCAAUUUAGAAUUAUGCCAAAGCAAUCUUUAUAAUCAAAUAUAAUAAAAACAAUUAUGUCACAAAAAAAUAAAUUAGGAUAGAUUUGUUAAUUUGUUUUCCAAAGUUCUUUUUUAUUUCAAUUUUUUUUUAAAAAAUAAUGUAUACUUUUUGUAAUUAUUUUUUUAAAAAUGGGGCAGGCUUACAAGAAAUAUGGGGUGAAGAUAUCAUCACCCAACAAAAAAUUAAGUAAGAAUUAAUUUGAUAACUGCCCAUAAAAAGAAAGCAUAUUGUCACGGGAUCAGUGUUUUGCGCAGCAAACCCGUGCGGCACUUAGACAACCUUUGCCGAAUAUUGCUAAGUAAGCCUUGAACUUCUCGACUAGCUAAACCUAGAGGUUUUGGAAGAGCUAGAGAGAAGAGAGCAAUGGAGCCGAAUAAGGAAACUUGUAUUGCUAACAAGAGAGAUUACAAGAGAGCUUACAAGUGUUUGAUUUGCUUGUGCUAAGCUUGUUGUUGUGCAAAUGCUAAAUGCCAUCCCAUAUUUAUAGGGGAGGCUUGCCAAGCUCUAGAGAUUCUAGAGAAAUCUACCAACUAUUUAGAAUUUACAUGUGCUGGAAAUGUAUAGAGAAUUCUAGAGUAUUUACAAGCUCAAAUGUGCUAGAGUUGCCUAGAAAUUUCUGGAAUUGGGCCAAGCUAGCACUCUUGGCCUUGUCUUGGGCUCUUGGUGGGCAAAUUGGGCUAACAAAAUGGGCAGUCCGCAACAUCCUCCCCACCUAAUCUCGCGGCGUCCUUGUCGCGCUCUCGUGCCUGAAAUUCUGGAUGUGCUCAACGAAUUGCCACAAAUUAUCUUCACAUUCCCAAGUGGCUUCGCUUUCGGGGAGGUUUUUCCACUUCACCAAGUACUCGUUGUGUGCUAGCACGCCUCUCCUCGAGACCACAUGAUCCGCAAGGAUGUAGUCCACAUCUUUGUCGAAUGCAGUGACAACGGCGGUUGGCGCGCGCCUUGAUUCUCCGUGACUUGGGUGUUCCACAUCUCCAUGAUAUGGCUUGAGAAGGCUCACAUGGAAGAUUGGAUGGAUCUUGAGUCUUGGCGGAAGUUGAAGUUCAUACGAGAUGUUGCGCACUCGUCGUACAACUCAGAAGGGUCCCUCAUAGUGGCUCACUAACCCCUUGUGGACUUUCCGCAACGUCUUGCAUUGUUCGGAUAGGAGCUUGAUCAUGACUUGAUCACCUUCCUUGUACUCAACAUGCCGUCUCCUUGUAUUCGCCAACUUUUUCAUUUUCCUCGCGGCCUUGUCGGCUCGUGUGAUGUCCCGCUUCCUCGUUGACACGACUUAAAAGUGUUUGAUUUACUCUCAAGUAUAAGAGUGCCUAGUUAUAAUAUAUCUCGGUGAGUCCGAGGUCGAUCCACAGAGAAAAGAUUUAAUUUGUUUAUUUUAUUUUAUCUAAAAUUUGAAAAUAAAACUUAAAUAUAGACAACUUAAUUUAAAUAAAACUAUGAAAUUGAAUUAGUUAGGGUUGUGGAUUCACUCUUAGUAGUAAAUAAAACUUAAUAAAUUCUUUUUGCCAUUUUUUUAGAUUUAUUGCCCAAAAGAUUAAUUAUAUAAAUUAUUAUUAUUUUCCCUUUAAUUUUAUGAUGGAUUAAGUAUUCAUUGUGCCAAAAUUUAAUUUGUCUACAAUAAGACAAAAUACCAUUUUACCAUACCUUAUAUUUAGAUAAAAAGAAUUUAUUGUGCCAAACUCCCUUGUUUGUCUACAAUAAAUCAAAAUCUCAUAAUAUAAAAUAUGUAUAAAAUUAAAUAGAAAAUAAUUUAAUUUAUAAAAUUAAAAAUAGAAUUUGAUUAAAUCAUAUUUAUUUUCUAAGAGUUUCACCUUCCCCUAACUAUUAAUAUUUAGCUAAACAUUUUUUUAAUAAAGGAAAUUACUAAAAUUGAAAAACACGACUGAUAUUUUCAUCAAAUCGAUAAAAUUAUAAGUUUUAAAAGGCAAAUCACUUCUUUUACUCAAAAACAAUGGAGAAACAUUACACCAAUGUUGGGAUAGGUUUAAAGAAUUGCUUAACAUAUGUCCACACCAUGGUUUUGAAACUUGGCGAUUGGUCACUUAUUUCUACGAGGGCUUAAUACCACAAACUAGACAAGUUGUAGAAAUGAUGUGUAAUGGUGAAUUUAAAGAUAAAAGUCUUGAAGAUGCACUAGAUUACCUUGACCAAUUAGCUGAAAAUGCACAACCCUUCGAAUGUAGUACAAGAGGGUGUUGUUGGUGUGGAUGUUCCGCCGGAACCAAGCCGCGGCCGUGAGGGAGAGCGCGCCCAAGGCAAGACUCGCGGCAAGUCCAAGGUCCCAUCCGUGGAUGCGUUGGAGCCUCACAUAGCCACUCUCGAAGUCGCAUUGUCCGCCACUCAAGAUAGCCUCGAUAGUUUAGAGGAAAGAGUGGACGGUCUCAAGGGAGAAUACGCCGAGUUCACGGUGGCAACAAAAGCCCUCAUCCAAGAGCAAGUGAACACUCUCCGAGGUGAGUUUCGUUCAAUCCAUGAUGAGUUGCUAAAAUUUCGUAGCUUUGUUCAGGAUGAACUACGCGCUGUCCGUGCGGAAGUGGAUGAAGUCCGCUCAGAUUGGGCAUGGCACAAGCGCACACUCUCUGCUAGUCUAGCUUCCGCAAGCACGAGUGAUGCGCAGCGCAUUGACGUGUCAAAUCCCGACACCUACGAUGGCACACGCAACGCCACAAUCGUGGACAACUUCCUAUUUGGGCUUGAUCAAUACUUCAAUGCCAUGGGUGUUCGAGAUGAGGCAUCGAAAGUGGGCACAUCACCCACCUAUCUUCGAGGCGCUGCACAACUAUGGUGGCGUCGCAAGCAUGGCGAGAUGGGAGAGGGCAUUUGCACCCUCGACACUUGGGCCGACUUCAAGCAAGAACUCUGAAAGCAGUUCGCCCCAAGCAAUGUGGAGAAGGAAGUGCGAGCACGCCUACGUCACCUCAAGCAAUCGGGUAGCAUUCGGAACUACAUCAACGAGUUCACUACCCUUAUGUUGGAGAUAAGCGACAUGUCCGACAAAGAUUCGCUCUUCUACUUCCAAGAUGGCCUCAAGGAUUGGGCCAAGACCGAGCUUGAUAGGCGUGGCGUUCAAACACUUGACGACGCCAUCGCCAUUGCGGAGUCGCUCACCGAAUACUCUACCCAAUCCAAGGAUAAAAAGGCCAACCAAGGCAAAGGUGGGGGAGAGAGUCGCAAGGACAAGGGCAACAACCGCAAAGAUUGGGGGCAGAAAAAGUCGUCUAGCAACAAAAGCGGGCAAGGAAAAUCAGAGGGCAAGAAGGAGGUGCCAAAGCCACAAAGCCCAUGCUUCAUAUGCAACGGUCCUCAUUGGGUACGCGACUUUCUGGAGAAGAAGUCGCUCAACACUCUCGCAGCCCAACUCAAGAGCAACCCCACAAUAUCCUCGGAGGAACCCCAACUCAGCAUGGGUUCUCUCCAACUCCUCGGCGCACUCAAUCGCCAACAGCCCACACUUGUCAAGAAAGGGCUUGUGUAUGUAAGAGUGAAGAUAAACGACCAGUCCGUCCGCGUGCUGCUGGACACGGGAGCAACGCACAACUUUGUGUUCGUAGACGAGGCCAACCGCUUAGACCUCAAGGCAACCAAGGAAGGAGGCACAAUGAAAGUGGUAAACUCACCCGCCAAGCCAAUUGCGGGUAUCGCACAAGGCGUGCACAUAACGCUUGGAACAUGGAGCGGAAAGCUUGAUUUCUCCAUCGUUCCCAUGGAUGACUUUAAGAUGUACAUUAUUUUGGAAUAAUGUAGUGUUUAAAAACUUGAUGUGAAUAUAUUUACAUACGCUCGCACUCGUGAGUCUUAGAAUUAAUGGAAGAGUGGCAAUGAUUAGAAAAAACAAUAGUGGUUAGAUGACGUAGCAAUAAAUUAUAAAUGCGAUGACAAUUUGCAUAACCGUUUGCAAGCAUAGUUGAUAUGUAAAUUUGUCUAUGACACAUGCAGAAUUUUUAUGUUAAUUAUUACUUGUGUUAUUAUGUUUCUUUGUGCAUUUGCAAGUAAGAGUUUAACUGCAUAGCAAUAACUAUAAACAUGAAUUAUUGAAAUUUGAUUCCAGUAAUGACAGAGAGCCCCACUCCAAUCCCACAUAAACUCCAUGCAAGAAUAAAUAAAAAUUGAAUUAAUAACUAAGCUACCUCUAAUUGUAAAUUAGUGACAAAAUUGCCCCAAAAAUUUUUUCUUGGUGGGGUUGAAGUGCAAUUCAUUAGUGGAAUAUACAUAUCAUCUUUCAUUUGAUUUUAAGUUUAUUUAUUUUAUUUAUUUUUAGGGGACAAAAAAAAUUGAGGGCAUCUGUUUGGAUAUAUCAAAGGUAAAAGAGAUUCGUCUAAAUCCUAAUACUUUCACAAAGAUGCCUAAAUUGAGAUUUUUAAAGUUCUAUAGUUCAUCAGUCAAUGGAGAGAACAAAUGUAAGAUAUCUUAUUUGCAAGAUCCCAGAUUUGCUGAAGUGAAAUAUCUUCACUGGUAUGGAUAUCCGUUGAAGUCAUUGCCUUCAAACCUUAGUGCAGAGAAACUUGUGUUACUUGAAGUGCCUGAUAGUGACAUUGAACGACUUUGGGAUUGUGUGAAGGUAUGCAUAUCUUAUUAUACAUGUGCAAUCUUUCAAAUUACAACAUUAAAUUAUUAUACGUGGUAACGAUUUUGUCUUGGCCUCUUUUUUGACCGAGCAGCAUUAUAGUAAGUUAAACCAGAUAAUCCAUGCUGCCUGCAAUAAGCUAAUUGCCAAAACUCCAAAUCCCACGUUGAUGCCAAGUCUGAACAAGCUAGUUAUCUUGAAUCUAAGAGGUAGCAAAAGCCUAAAAAGUCUUCCAGCUAGAAUACUAAAUUUGGAAUUUCUUAUCAAACUUGAUCUUUCGGGCUGUGCGGAAGCUAAACUAGCAGAGAGUGUGCGCUUGUGCCAUGCCCAAUCUGAGCGGACUUCAUCCACUUCCGCACGGACAGUGCGUAGUUCAUCCUAAACAAAGCUACGAAGUUUUAGCAACUCAUCAUGGAUUGAACGAAACUCACCUCGGAGAGUGUUCGCUUGCUCGUGGAUGAGGGCUUUUGUUGCCACCGUGAACUCGGCGUAUUCUCCCUUGAGACCGGCCACUCUUUCCUCUAAACUAUCGAGGCUAUCUUGAGUGGCGGACAAUGCGACUUCGAGAGUGGCUAUGUGAGGCUCCAACGCAUCCACGGAUGGGGCCUUGGACUUACCGCGAGUCUUGCCUUGGGUGCGCUCUCCCUCACGGCCGCGGCUUGGUUCCGGCGGAACAUCCACACCAACAACACCCUCUUGUGCUACAUUCGAAGGGUUGGCCAUUGCUCGUGAGCUAACUUGCGUGCGUGCAAACCUUAGCUCUGAUACCAUUUUUCAUGGGAUGAGUGUUUUGCACAGCAAACCCGUGCGGCACUUAGACAACCUUUGCCGAAUGUUGCUAAGUAAGCCUUGCACUUCUCAACUAGCUAAGCCUAGAGGUUUUGGAAGAGCUAGAGAGAAGAGAGCAAUGGAGCUGAAUAAGGAAACUUGUAUUGCUAACAAAAGAGAUUACAAGAGAGCUUACAAGUGUUUGAGUUGCUUAUGUUAAGCUUGUUGUUGUGCAAAUGCUAAAUGCCAUCCCAUAUUUAUAGGGGAGGCUUGCCAAGCUCUAGAGAUUCUAGAGAAAUCUAUCAACUAUCUAGAAUUUACAUGUGCUAGAAAUGUAUAGAGAAUUCUAGAGUAUUUACAAACUCAAAUGUGCUAGAGUUGCCUAGAACUUUCUGGAAUUAGGCCAAGCUAGCACUCUUGGCCUUGUCUUGGGCUCUUGGUGGGCAAAUUGGGCUAGCAAUUGGGCGGUUCGCAACAAUAUGCAUGGUGGUGGUGGGGAAGCCUUUUCCCAUUUCCCAUUUCCUUUAAAAUUUGACCGUUAUUUUUCACCUAAUUCUCUAAGAAAUUUUAGUAGAGUGAGGAUGAAAAAUCCUCACGUGAAGAUCAAUUUUUCUAUCUACAUCCUGUUACACAUUUAUCUAUUUUAUAAUAGAUUCUCACAUAUAAUUUUAGUGAAACAAAAAUUAAAAUGACUCAAAUAAAAUCAUCACUAACAUAUCAUAAAAAUAUUUAAAUUAUUAACAAUAAUAAAUAAAAAAUAUACAUACCCACAAAUAAUUUUGGAAUCAUUUUUGGGUAAAAGCCCAUUUAGUCCCUAUAUUUUAAGAUUACUGUCCGUUUAGUCCCUGUAUUUUUAAAAAUGCCUGAAAACACCCUCGGCAUCACCUCCGUUACUGUUAAUUCUAGAUUCAUGAGGGUAAAAAUGUAUUUUUCUUGGUAAAAUUUAAAAUUUUAAAAAAUUAUUACGAUAACCUAGAUCCAUAAUGGUAAAAAUGUAUUUUAACCCUAAUAUUCUUUAAAACCCUCACUUUAAGAACUUAAGUGACUUGCUUUUUUAAAACUCAUAACAAUUUUCUUACUAUAAAAUUUUUUCUAUUGGAAACGUAGUCUUGCAGUAAAUGUCAAAACCGACAACGAAGGAAAUUGGCCUAUUCUGGUACGUCUCACGUUGGUCUUGUUUAUUUAUUUAUUUUUUUAAUCUUCCAUUUGUUCAGUGAAAAGAAAUUAUUUUUCUUUUCACUUGAAUGGGUAUUCCAUUUGAAGUAGACUAAAAGUUGAACGGUUUUUGUUUUGCAGUAGACUAAAAGUUGAAUGGUUUUUAUUUUCUUUCUUUUUUUUAACCCUUUCAUGGUUGUUUCGUAGCUUAAUAUUGGUAGUGGAAUGGAUUUGUAAUUGAAAAGAAAUUAUUUUAACUUCACUUGAUUGAGUAUUUUUUUGUAAAAAAAAAUCAUAAUCAUAUAAAGUUCUAUAAUGUCGAUUUUGUAUUUUAUGAAUUCGUAUGUAAUAGUUUUAAGUUUCUGAUAUUUUUUGUUCAUCUUUAUGUUGGCAGAUUCAAAUGAGUCAAAUCAGCAUUUCAGUUCGAUUUUUAGGCAAAGAUGUAGAGGAUGCUUAUGAUCCUGAUUGCUUGAGUCUUGUAUCCCUCAUCAACGAUGUCUUGAAUAAUGUCUUUGGAAGGCACAAGCAUUAUGAUGAGAGCUUUAAGCUUACUGGCAUUGUCCCAUGGUCCAAUGAAGGGAUUGAAUUGAACAAUGAUAAAAACUUCCAGAAUUUGGUUAACUUAAUUCAAGCCAAGGGUCUUAAUUCUAUUAAUUUGGAGAUGGAUGCGUUAUCCUUGGCCAGCUUGUCACCCGUUUUAGCUCAAACUCGCCCUAAAGAUAAUCAUUUUGCCUCAAAUGCAGUUAAUGUUGAUAUUUUAGAUGGUGAAAGUGAUGAUGCAACCAGUGUUGAGUCUAUUGACUGGUCUGAUGAAGAUAUUGGUGAUACUGUUAAGUCUGAUAGUGAACCUAAAGUUGAUUUAGGGUUUGAUAUUAAUGAAUUUGAUGGAGAUGAUGGCAUGUCAGAUUGUGAGAGUGAUAAUGAAGAUGUAUCUAUUGCAAGUGAUGAAGAAGAUGAUGCUGUAAUAUUGAAGAUGACAAGGGAUUUAAGAAAAAAAAGGUUCAAGAAACCCGAUGGUGAUGAUGAUAUUGUUUUGGGAGUUGGGCAAACUUUUAGUUGUGCUCAAGAGUUUAAGAAUGUAUUGAAGGAUUAUGCUAUUCAAGAGUCAAGAGUUUUGAAAAGGAAAAAGAAUGACAAAUGUAGAGUUACAACCGUGUGUGCUGGGAAGGACAAAGAAGGAAAGGAAUGUCCAUGGAGAAUCCAUGCAUCUUUAUUGGUUGACAAAGUUACAUUCCAGAUUAAAACUUUAAAAGGUGGUGAACAUAAGUGCAAAGAGUUGUUUAAGAAUCCUGAAGUAACUAGUAGAUGGAUAACUCAGAAAUUGUAUGGUUUUAUUAGUUUUAAUCCUGAUAUCGGUUGUGAAUCCAUGUCAGAUGAAUUGAGGAAGAGGUUUUCUUGUUCAACUACAAAGAAAAGGUUGUAUAUGGCCAAAAAAAGGGUUCUAAAAAUUGCUGAUAGUGACUACACAAAAUCUUAUGCAAAGUUACAUGACUAUGCCAACGUUCUUCUUAUAAAGAAUAAAAGGGCAAUGGUGAAAAUUCAAUAUGAAAUGCAAGGUGUAGAGACGUACUUCAAGAGGAUAUUCAUAAGUUUUGACGCACUAAAAAAUGGAUUUAUACGUGGAUGUAGAAGGUUCAUUGGAGUUGAUGGCUGCCACCUUAAGACAUCAUUCGGUGGUAUCUUGCUGACAGCCGUUAUACUUGAUGCCAAUAAUGGCAUAUUCCCAUUGGCAGUUUGCAUUUGUGAGGUUGAGUGCAAGGACAGUUGGAAAUGGUUUCUUGAAUUGUUGAAGGAACAUCUUGGUAUAGUGAAUGAGAUGGCUCUUACUAUAAUGUCCGACAGACAAAAGGGUUUAAUUCAGGCAAUUGAUGAAGUUUUGCCUGGGUGUACCAUAAGACAUUGUGUAAAAGUAAGCCAAAAUAAAUGAAAGAUAACAGUAGGGUAUCAAUACUUUAACGGUAGGGAUGUUUUAAGGCAUUUUUAAAAAUAUAUGGACCAAAUGGAUACUAAGCUUAAACUAUAGGGACUAAAUGGGCUUUUACCCAUCAUUUUUUAUCGUUCUUCAAAAACUUAUCAAAAUUUGGUGCGUGGGACCUGUGAACCAUCUCUAGUCGGCCACAUUGGACUUCUUACUGUCGGUCUUCAAAGAACUUUUGAGAAAGGCAGUAGACAAUGAGUUGAAUGAAAUUACUACGAAACUUCCCUGAAGAUUCAAGGGAGUAGUGGAGGAUACAUAUCAAGCGCACAGACACAUUCAAUUCAGUUGAACUGUUUUUGUUAUGGCUUCUUCUUUUUCUUCUUCUUCUUCUUCUUCUUCUCAUUGAUCCACCAGUCUGAGGCUGAUUAGACCACGAAAGUAUGAUGUUUUUGUCAGUUUCAGUGGAGAGGACACCCAUGACAACUUUACUAGCCAUCUCUAUUCGGCUCUGUCUCGACAAAAUAUCCAAACUUUCAUUGAUGACCAGCUCAACAGGAGAUGAAAUUUCACAGUCUCUUGUAAAUGCAAUUGAAGCAUCAGCCAUUUCAGUUAUCAUUUUCUCUUAAUCAUAUGCUUCUUCCAGAUGGUGUGUCGAUGAACUUGUAAAGAUCCUCGUGUGCAAGAAAGAGCGUGCACAGAUUGUGAUUCUGGUUUUCUAUCGGGUUGAUCCAUCAGACAUGAGAAACCAAACUGGGAGUUUUGGGGAUUCAUUUUCGAAGCUUGAAGAAUUCAAAGAAGCUGCAGAGUUGGAGGAAUGCUUUGAAGGAAGCAGCCAGUUUGUCUGGCUUUCCUUCUCAGAACAUCAGGUGAAAAGUUACUUUUAAUUUCGUAUACUAAUAUUCAACACUAUAAAUAAUAUUCACGCAGCACUCUUAGUUAAAUUUUCCAGAUGCUAAACUACACUUUUAAAUUUUAUCAGGCAUCAAAUUCUAGACAUCUUGAACUUCCCCACUUUUGAACUCCUAUAAAAGAAUUUUUGCAGAAUUAAUAAUAAAAGCUCCAGAAGUUACAAUAUAUUUUAAAAUUAAUAGUGUUCUGUCGUUUUUUAAUCAAUUUCAAUCUCUCACUCAUAUACCAUAAGGGAAAAAAAAUCUCUUCCACCUAUAACAUAUUCGUGUAAUUAAAGAGUUAUUAAUUUAUAGGGAGAUUGUAAAUUCCCUUACUCAAAUCAAUAGAUAUCACUUAUUCUGACUAUUUUUACAAUAUUUAAUAACUCUCCUGGUACCAUUAUUUUACAAUAUUAUCCUUAUGAAAAAAAAUAAGUGGUAUAUAUUAAUUUCAAUUGAAAAACUAGCAAUCUCCCUUAUUUCAUAUUUGAUGCAAAUCCCUUCUAUUCGGAGUUACUGCUGCUAAUUUUAUGUGUUUGAUAGGCCUGAAUCGAAGCUUAUAAAUGAAGUUGUCAAUCACAUUUUAAAGAGACUGCUGGAUGAAGUGUUUCGGCCGAGUGAUAACAAAAACCAGCUGGCUAGAGUAGAAUCAAGAGUUGAGGAAAUUGAAUCUCUUCUAGGUGUUGAGUCGAAAGAUAUUUACGCUUUAGGGAUUUGGGGCAUUGUUGGUAUAGGCAAAACAAAAAUCGCUAGAGCUAUUUUCGACAAAAUCUCUAGUGAUUUUGAAGGUUCUUGCUUCCUUGAAAAUGUUAGGGAAGACGCACAAAGACCGGGAGGAUUAGCUUGCUUGGGACAAAAACUUCUUUCAAAUUUAUUGAAGGAUAAAAAUGUGAGCCUUGAUAUUGGUCUCAAUUUUAGAAGGCUCAGCCGCAUGAAGGUUCUGAUUUUUUUUUAUGAUGUAUCUUGCUUCAGCCAAUUAGAAUCCUCGGCCUUUGUUAUAAACAUCUAAUAACAUAUAUGCAUCAUUAAAAAAUAUAUUCAAAACUUGCAUAGUUCACAUCUCAUUGUACAUACAUACACUUCAGAUAUAUACAUAUAAACAUGGAUGUGCUCAAAAUGUAAGUCAUGCAGUAAUGCGUGUCAUAGCCCAACCUCAACUGAUCAGAAACUGAACUGCACGAAAUCCUACGGAAACCUUAGAGAAAUGGGAUAAAUAGGAAAAUAGUAAGCUUGCUGCUCAAUGAAUGGAUAUAAUUAUAUACAAAAAUAAAUUAGUGCUUUAGUGCUUGUAUAUAAUUGUAUGACAUAACUUCACACUGAAUGCAUUACAAAAGUAAACAUAAAGUCAUAUAUACAUACAUGACAAAACUGCAUUGAAUAAUAUCCAGGAGAAAUAACUCUCAAUACUCACUGGGAUCAUCAUCGCACGAGUGAAAGUGGGGGAAAAACCUCUCAAUACUCAGUGGAAUUAACUGCAUCACAAGGGCCGAGUAAUCUAACUCUCAAUAUGCAUGCGUAGAGCCUAUGGGGAAGGGUACACAUAUGGUGCUUGGCAAUCACAUCUGAUGAUUCAAUCAAUCAUAUAUUGUACGUACAUAUAAUCAUAACAUUAUACUAAAUCAUACUAUUGAACAUAAAUGCUUUGUAGGAUACAUAAUAGUAAUAAUAAUAAUCCAUCACAUAUCUUGUUUCACUUUAGGGUUCGUUGGGGAUCUUGUGGAUUCCUUAAUUCUUGGAUUUCUCCUAACAUAAAGGGUUAAAAAAUUAAAUGUUAGAACCAACUGAUAUAAAAGCUUUUAUGUAUGAUGUAAACUAAAUCAUAAUUGUUCAAAUUUCUUAAAUAUGUUACCCACUGACUCAUUGCAAAUAGAUCUAACUACCCAAUUCUCUUUCUGUAACAUUUCCUCUCAAUUCCUAUUUUCAAACUUAAUUUUCACUCUCGGUUUUUCUUUUCUUUAUUUUUUCUUCUGUUCUUUUCCUCUUCUCUUUUCCUUUUGUUUUCUUCCUUUCUCUCCUUUUCCUUUCUUUUUCUUCUCUCUUUGAAUUGCUCUUUUUCGGUUUGAUUCAUGAAAAUGGUGAGAGCUACUUCAAUUCUUUACUUUAUAUAUAUCCACUACCUCCAAUUAUGCUUGACAAGCACAUAGGUGAAGCAUGCAUGUGCUUUGCUUUAAGCUAACAACUUGUUAUUGCUUGUGAAAUAAAAUACAACAAUACUUGUAACUCUAUACAAUUAGUAAAAUACUUCCUAUCAUUUUCUCUCAUGGACGUAGGCCAAAAAGCUGAACCACAUAAAUCCUCGUGUCUCUUGUGUGAUAUUACUCUCAANNNNNNNNNNNNNNNNNNNNNNNNNNNNNNNNNNNNNNNNNNNNNNNNNNNNNNNNNNNNNNNNNNNNNNNNNNNNNNNNNNNNNNNNNNNNNNNNNNNNNNNNNNNNNNNNNNNNNNNNNNNNNNNNNNNNNNNNNNNNNNNNNNNNNNNNNNNNNNNNNNNNNNNNNNNNNNNNNNNNNNNNNNNNNNNNNNNNNNNNNNNNNNNNNNNNNNNNNNNNNNNNNNNNNNNNNNNNNNNNNNNNNNNNNNNNNNNNNNNNNNNNNNNNNNNNNNNNNNNNNNNNNNNNNNNNNNNNNNNNNNNNNNNNNNNNNNNNNNNNNNNNNNNNNNNNNNNNNNNNNNNNNNNNNNNNNNNNNNNNNNNNNNNNNNNNNNNNNNNNNNNNNNNNNNNNNNNNNNNNNNNNNNNNNNNNNNNNNNNNNNNNNNNNNNNNNNNNNNNNNNNNNNNNNNNNNNNNNNNNNNNNNNNNNNNNNNNNNNNNNNNNNNNNNNNNNNNNNNNNNNNNNNNNNNNNNNNNNNNNNNNNNNNNNNNNNNNNNNNNNNNNNNNNNNNNNNNNNNNNNNNNNNNNNNNNNNNNNNNNNNNNNNNNNNNNNNNNNNNNNNNNNNNNNNNNNNNNNNNNNNNNNNNNNNNNNNNNNNNNNNNNNNNNNNNNNNNNNNNNNNNNNNNNNNNNNNNNNNNNNNNNNNNNNNNNNNNNNNNNNNNNNNNNNNNNNNNNNNNNNNNNNNNNNNNNNNNNNNNNNNNNNNNNNNNNNNNNNNNNNNNNNNNNNNNNNNNNNNNNNNNNNNNNNNNNNNNNNNNNNNNNNNNNNNNNNNNNNNNNNNNNNNNNNNNNNNNNNNNNNNNNNNNNNNNNNNNNNNNNNNNNNNNNNNNNNNNNNNNNNNNNNNNNNNNNNNNNNNNNNNNNNNNNNNNNNNNNNNNNNNNNNNNNNNNNNNNNNNNNNNNNNNNNNNNNNNNNNNNNNNNNNNNNNNNNNNNNNNNNNNNNNNNNNNNNNNNNNNNNNNNNNNNNNNNNNNNNNNNNNNNNNNNNNNNNNNNNNNNNNNNNNNNNNNNNNNNNNNNNNNNNNNNNNNNNNACAUGAACUUAUCAUUAAUUCAUUUGCUAGCCCAUUUUUCAAAUCUAUUUUUAAUUUAAGAUUUACUAUACAAAUAUAAUCAACUUUGUUAUAAUAUGGUGUAAUGUCUAUAUUGCUACAUAGUGUGAUAGGCCAUUAAUGUAAUAUAUAUGGUAUUUAUUUUCACUUGACCAAUUUGCCCAAAUUUAUAUUUUAUAAGCAGUUUUAAUCCUAGAUUCAUCAGGUCGUGAUUUUUAAUUUGUGGGUCGAACCAAACUUGUUACAAACUGACUCAAAUCGAGUCGAUACGGUCAAGUUGGUUCGAUCUAACUGGUUUCGUUUUGAAAUGCCCACCCCAACGAACAACUUUUGAGUUUUCCAUUAUUGGCCUAUUGCAGUUUUUUCCAACAUUCCUUGUUUAAUUGAUAUAUACAUUUGUCACUUUAUUUAUCAAAAAAAAAAAUUAAUAUCCAAGGAACAUAGGAAUUAAAUAUGGGAAUAUAGGAAGCACAAAACAACUAAAAUCCCUAGAUAAAAAGUAAGUUGUCUAUAAGUAUCUUAAUGUUCUUUUCAUUCCUUUUGUCAAAAUUUUAUAAUCUAUUUUUUUAUUUUUGUCAAAGUAUCAUUGUUCUUUUAAAAAAUAUAUAUAUAUAUAUACAAAGUAUAAAUUUAUUUUUUAGUCUAUUAAUUUCUCUAAAAUUUAAAUAUAAAUGAUCAACUAAAUGUUAGUUUGUUGAAAACACUCCUACCGUCGAUGCUGACCGUUACUCGAAAUGUUAUCAAUAAUAUGUGAUUUAUGCAACUGAACAUAUAGCAUUAGUUAGGAAUGAACUUUGCAAUAAAAACAGAAAUUGAGCUAGAAAAGACAACCGAGUGAGAUCAACAAAUGUAGAUCCAAGACAAAUAGUUUUGUAUAUAUUAUUAAUUUGAUUUCCCGUUUGAAGAAGUUUUCAACCGUAACGGAAUGUGACACGUGGCGCGUGCAUCUGACCUCAUACUACCGGUGACCAAUAACCAAUAGCCAACACUCGAUCAUUUUUUAAAAAUUUACCCGCACAGAGAAAACGACGUCGUGAGCGACCCUCGCACGUACCAUUUGAAAAAAGAAAAAAAUGCAGUUGUAUGUAUCAUCAUCAUUAUUGCUCUCCUUAAUCAUGUACAAGAACGUGUCCGUGUCUAUCGUCUCACUUUGAUUCAUUUUCUCACCAGACACCCACUUUAUUGCUCCUCUUCAUCUUUUAAUUUAAAAACCAAAUAUUAUUUUUUCUUUUUCUUAUGAUUAAGAAAUGGCUGCGAAAAUUGGAUCAUUUAGACACAGUUUUGCAGAAAGGAGCAAAGAAAGAUUGCUAUCUAGGAAGGGCUAUUCAGACUUUGGCCUGAACAGCACGGAUGACGAUGGCAGCGAAGAUGGAAUCAAAUGCAGAUGUUUCCGUUGGAUAUCAGACGGAGUCACCAAUUUUUGGACCAAUUUGCAAAACAUUUUUAUUCAAUUCUAUGACAUGGGUCGUAAGGAUCCUCGUAAAGCCGUUUUUGCUGCCAAGAUGGGCUUGUCGUUGGCACUUGUGUCAUUGGUUGUCUUUUUCAAAGAGCCACUCAGUAAUGUUAGCCAAUAAUCGAUCUGGGCAAUUCCUACUGUUGUUGUAGUUUUUGAAUUCAGCGUAGGUACUAGUUUACAAUCAUGCGAUGCGACUAAAACAAGCAAAAUCGUAUUGAGAUUUGGAUAUGGAAGUGAUUUUGUAAUGUUAUUGAAUUUCAUGUAGGUGCAACGCUUAACAAAGGAUUCAAUCGCGCUUUAGGGACGUUUUCUGCUGGUGGCCUUUCUCUGGGCAUUGCAGAGCUCUCUCUGUAUGCAGGGGCUUACCAGGAAGUUAUUUGUCAUCAGUAUUUUUAUAGCAGGUUGGCAUCUUGUUAGCAAUUAAUAUCUAUCAAUCAUUGCCUUGGAGCCCAUUUCUUGAAUUGUUGCUCUUAUAUUUUUAUUUUGUCCUUUUCAAGAUUCUGUGCAAGUUGUGCUAAAUUGUACCCCAAAUUGAAACCAUACGAAUAUUUCGAGUCUUCUUGUUGACAUAUUGCAUUGUACUUGUGUCUGGAACUUCAACAACAUUUUUCCGCACAGCAUUUUAUCGGUUAGUGCUUAUUGCAGUUGGUGCUGGGAUAUGUUUGGUUGUAAAUGUGUGCAUAUAUCCCAUCUGGGCAGGGGAGGAUCUGCACAAGUUGGUGGUCAAAUUUUCAAAGGCCUCGCUACUUCCUUGGAAUGUUAGACAUUUGCUUCUUAGAUAUUCGGUUCUCUUUGAUUUGAGCUGAAUUCUGAUGAGUAGUUGAUUGAUUUAUCAUAUUGGACUUGGAUUUAGGAUGUGUUAGUAACUACUUGCAGUGUGUUGAAUAUGAGAGAGUCCCUUCGAAAAUUCUUACAUAUCAGGCUUCUGAUGACCCAGUGUAUAAUGGUUAUGGAUCGGCUGUACAGUCUACGAGCCAAGAGGAAUCUCUGGUAUAAUCAGUAUAACUUUGCUGGUUCUUUCCUCAACUCCAUCAUCUUUGAUUUCUUUUUCUUUCCUGCAAGGCCUGUCCUUUUGACAGACCAGAAAGUUUGGAUCGCUUGUACUCUUGUACUCUGCAGAUGGAUUUCGCAGUAUGGGAGCCACCUCACGGCCCUUACAGGUCAUUCAAUUAUCCCUGGAAAAAUUAUGUUAAAGUAAGUGGUGCAUUGAGGCACUGUGCAUUCAUGGUCAUGGCUAUGCACCGAUGUGUACUUUCUGAAAUACAGGUAAGUGGCUUUUUUCCUAUUGCUUUAGCUGCUGUUUUAGCAACUUAGGCUUAUGGUCAAAUCUGUACUUGGAGAAUGAAAGUGUCAUUCAAGGAUCCUUUUAUUAUCUCAAAUAUGUCUAGUGAACCAUAUUUCUCUUGGAGUAAUGGUAGCCCAUCUAGGUAAGUCGUUUCAGUCAUUAAUAGUGAGUUUCUGAGCUUCAAUGUACUAAUGAAGUUUAGCUCUAGUCCCAUCUUUCCAAUCUUUUGCUGGUCCUUCUUCUUGAUAAUUGGUACAAUCCAGCUCUUAAUCGGCAUAUAUCCCCACCAGAUUUUUCUCAAUCAGAAGCACUUGAAUUGCGAUCCUUGAACUCCUUUCACAAACUAAUAGUUUCAGCUUUGUGGGCACAGCUUUGAUGGUCUCAAAUGCCAAAACUCCCCUUUUCUUCUCCCCAUUCACUCUGCAAAUUGCCAUCAAAUUUGGUUAAUUGGCAUUUUAUUUAUUUAUUUGUUCCCGUAUUGCAAUUCAAAAGAAUAGUAUAUAUUCAUGCAUGCUGGUUUGGUAGCAUUAUUUUGUUCUUCUUAAUCUUAAUUAAAUUUUUUAUAUAUACGCUAUCACUUUCCAAAUAAAUGAGAAUUACAUGGUAUGUGAAGAAAUAAAUUGAAAAAAAAAAGAAAAUUUCAGAUGCAAGGCACUUAAUUAAAGAGUGCAGUUAAUGAAUCAAAUUUCCUUGAAACUUUAUACUUCAGGAAACAUUAGCAAUAAAGCUGAAGAAGUCUGGAUCAAGUCGAAGUUUGUAGAAUUUAUGAGUAUUAUAUUUAAUUUAGGUUUAUUAAAAUUUACUUUCUUUCAUAGUGGUUUAUUUAAUUUAAGUUUAUAAAAAAAAUGAGUGAGAGGUAGGAAGGGUAUGAAAAAGCACAGAGAACAAACAACAAAUUGUGAUUGCCUUGUCACGGACCUCUUUCUAUUAUAUGGCCCUCAUUCCAUGUCUAAUUUCUGUGAGAAACAAAGGUCUAGAUUCUAGAAAUAAGAGAUGAAAAGAGAAGAUAAAACAUCCUUAUAAUCUACUGAAUGUAUAAAUCUGCAUCUGCAUAUUAUAUAGCAAACAAAAUUAAAUAGUUUCCGUCUUACGAAGUUUUGAAAUUGAUUUACCUUUCUUUAGCUGUUGCCAAGUCAUUUCCAUGUGAUUUUGUUGUUCUUAACCAGUAAUUUUUCUCUCCACUCUUGUGUAUUAGCAGCAGAUGUCUUGUGGUGAUUCCUUUUUGUAAGCUCCAUUUCUUUGUUUCAUUCUUGAGUGAGUUAAUAAAAUAUGUAGCAAAAACAUUCAGGAUUCUAAAUUUUGUGUUAGGCUGCAAGUAUUUGGAGUCUGGAUUUAGAUAUAUGUUUGGUUUGCAAAUUUUAAUGUGCAGGCACCACCAGAGAAGAGACAAGUUUUUGCUAGUGAGCUCCAAAAUGUUGGCAAUGAAGGAGCUAAAGUAUUACGCAAGCGUGGAGACAAAGUUGAGAAGAUGGAAAGGUUAAGCCCUGAAGGCAUACUAUUUGAAGUUCAUGAGGCGGCAGAAGAGUUGCAAAUGAAGAUAGACCAAAAAUCAUAUCUUCUGGUCAAUUCAGAAAGCUGGGCAGCCAUAGCGCAGCGCAAGGAACUGCAAGAUUCUGAGAACUUUAAUGAAGUCAAAGAUGAUGAAAACAAAGUGAUUAACUUGAGCGAAGUGUGUGUAAGAAAAUUAACAGUGAGAUAACAAUUUAAUACAGUAGCUAAUUUAAACAACAACGAAAAACAGCAACUGGAAAUCACGAAUGAACAACUGGAAAAACAGCAGGGAAAAGAAAACCGAAAUAGAAAAUAAACCCGAGGCUUGCAGCACGGUUUCCUUAAAACAGAUUUACCACCUACUGUAGUGCUUUAGGCUUGCUGGUAAUUGUUUCCCAGGAUACAACAGGCACGAAUUAUCCGUCAAGUACAGAUUGAUAAUUCUGGCGAACCACAACAGUGUUCAAAGCUCGAUAAAAAACAUAACGUUAGGAGGAAAGAAAUUUUGAAGUGCUCUCUGUGUGCUGGUUGUUCUUGUGUGUGUAAAAACAAAAGAGGAAUGUGUCUUUUUAUACUCAUGUGGGUACGUAACAGCAGCAUAAAAAUUGAAUUUCAAAAUUCAAUAUAUGCUAUUUAAUUGCUGUAACAACCAUUGAAUUUAAACAAUUCAAUUCAAAAAUUGAAUUGCAUAACAGCCCAAAAAUAAUUGCAAAGUUGUUACAAAUCUUUUGAAUUCAAAAGGUGUGAAACUGUUAACAAAAAAAAUUAAAAGGAAAAUAAAAACGUACCAUGCAAGCUUGGGUGAUUUUGGGCUGACAUUCGCGUACGCACAUGAGUUCAACCAAAUCGGUCAUGAAUUAUUUUGGGUUGACAUUCACGUACGCACAUGAGUUCAACCAAAUCGGUCAUGGGAUUCACACCCCCUGUGAACACACGUGUGGAGAGAGCCUCUAUUAUUAAAAUUCUUGUUCAUGCAUGGUUAAGUGUUUAUAUAUAAACACUAAUCCCUUGGCUUCUUUUUCCCAUGUGGGAUAAGCUUCAUUUCCAUUCAAAUUUCCAACUUCAAAGGUGAACUUUGAGAGACAAUUUCUCAUUCACCCAAACACCAUUUUGAGAAAAUAAAAAUACACUUUUGAAGUAUUAACGGAGUAGAAUCCGAACCUCACAAGAUUUUCCACUUUCAGUAAGUGGGACCUACUCAAAAUGUGCCCUCAAAAUAGCAUAUUGAUAUACUAUUUUUUCAACAGUGUGGGAUGCUCAGAACCCAAACAUGGGCAUGAACUAUCCUAUGCAAGAACGGAUUUCCUCAGAAAAUAUGUCGAGAAAUCCAAUCUCGUGGCCACGGAUGUCGUUUCAUAAUAUUGAGUCCACGCUUGGCUUACAGGAAUCAAAAGUAUUGCUUCACUCUUGAUUGAAUUUGUUGCGAGGCUCCAAAAUCUUGUUGAUGCCUUUGAAGAACUAUGUGAAAAAGAAAAUGUCAAGGAACCUGUUGAGCCGCCAAUUGGGAAAGGGGAGGUAGGAUUUUGGAGCAGGCUUAGCAGAUGCUUUCAGUUGAAGCGCUGAGAUAGCUUUAAAGAUCAUUUUUUCCGAUCCAUAAGUUGAAUACAUGUCGUUGUCAACUGAGACAGUUUGAUAAGCUGAUGCUUUGUGACUUGUGAAUAUGAUGGCUUUAGCUUGCUCUGCCCCCCAUAUACAUAAAAAAUGUAGUAAUGCAGUGGAGAGGUUUUGUCAUAGAAAUUCUUAAUAGCAUAUGGGGUUUAGAAAUCAAUGCAUAUAAAAUCCAUUUUCAAAAAAAAAUUAUUGAGACAUUAGUCUACAGUUUUUUUUUAAAAAAAUUAUUUUUUUAUUUUUAUAAUUUUUAACCAAAUAUUUAUAUUUUAAGUGUAAAAAUAAUUUUUUCUUAGUAGUUACAGUAGCUGCAACAUAAAAUCCACAACACUUCAUUAUCAAAUAAGCCGUACGUUUGAAUCAUCUAAACAACUUACUAGGAUGCCAUGAUUCACAUAAAAUUAUCAGCACUUAACAACACAAAAGUCAAAAAGCAAAUACUCUUACUCAAGUCUUAUAUUUGUUGCACGAAGAAGAAAGAAGAUAACAAUUUUAAAUUAACCAACAGGUUGAAUCUUAUCCUAAUACACACUAUCAGCUUUGAAUUAGCAUACCUUAGAAGUCCUGAACUCAUUCACGGCCACUCGAAGAGAAUCAUCCGAUAGAAUCAACCGUGACAACGCUCCAGUGCUUAACCUGCCACAUUUUUUCCUUCCGAGUUGGGGAAUCCGAAGCAGGGAUUGAGCGGCCAGCGCCAUCAUCAAUUUCAAUUUCCCUCACUGUGAAUGUGAUAAUCCAAGCAAAGCUUCGUUCUAGUAACACAUUCUUAUAGCAGGCCCAGCCCAAUCCAGCCCAGUCGAGCAAGUGAGCAAUGUUAUUAUUUUAUUAUUUUUGAACUUGCGGUGGCUCUGUAUUAUUUGCAAAAUACUCAUGUAAGGCAGAGAAUAUAUUUUAUAUUGGAAUAUUUUCAAAAUAAAUGGUGCUUUAAACAGGUUUUCGAUUGUAAAGAUAUGUCAUAUGCCUAAUUAAACAGUGUCGGGUAUAAUAAAAAUAUAUCUUUUUAUUUAAAGAUGUAUCCAUUCACGGUUUUAUACUUCAAUUUAAAAUGGUAAUGAUUUAUUUUGGACCGGUGAUGAUCUAAUUCAAAUUUUGAUUUAAUAACCAUAAAUGAAAAACUACAUUUGUAAUGUGUCUCGAAGCACCAUCAAUUCCUACCUAUAUUUCAAUUAAAAUAAGAGUGAAACUAUUGGCACCCAUUUAUUAUUCUUAUAAAACUUAUUUCAAAUAAAAUUACAGUUAAGGGUAAAGAAGAAAUAAACACAUGUAGGAUUUUUUCUUCCCAACAAAUUACUUACAUUAAUAAUCAAUCUUUUUUUUUAAUUUCCUACCAUUAUUUCUUAUCUAACUAAGAUAAAUUGUAUAAAUCUAGCAUAAUCUAUUUUUCUUUUCCUAUUUCUUAUUGAUUAAAUAUUUUCGUACUCAAGAUUACUUUCAAACUACAAUCUAAAAUAUGUGUUAUUUAAGCUAAUGAUUAGCAUUCAAACUUUAUCACCUAGAAAACUUUUUAAUUUGUAUUUAGGAUAACAAUAAGAUUGCAAAAGAGAUGAAAAAUAGCACAAUACUACUUUGAGUUUUAAGAAUAAAAGAAUAUUAAAUGAAAAACUAAAAGAGUGUCUUUGAAAAUAAAAGGAAAUGUUUGGAAAUAAAAUAAAUAUAACUGAAAAAAGGAUUUGAUGAGGAGACUAGAGGGGUGCCAAUAGUCCAACUUUUAAAAUAAAGUUUUAUCAAUUAUUGCUCCCCUUUUCUGCAAUUAUUAUUCCCCACCCAUAUUUCUCCAACAUUUUAUUUCAUAUAUUUACUCCUACUACACUCUAACAAAGGACGCCUUUUGGACUACAUCAGUUUCUAGAUGCAUUUUAUUAAUAAAUUAAAUAAAGGCACCAUCCCUUGUUCAAUUUCUCUAAAUGACCACUUUCUGUCAGCUCUCUUAAAAUUUAUUAAGGAAUCUAUGUUGAAGACCAUUUCAUCAUUAGUAUUGUGUAAAUGUAUAAAAAUACAUUUUACACUUUGAAAUUUAAAAUGACCUUCUUUUAGCACAAAAUUUUUAAACAAAUGCCUCUAACUAAGCGACAAAUUUAAAAAUACAUGAUAAGUACCAUAUCAGCCAUAUAAAAAGUGAAUCAUACUAUGAUAUAAGUGCAUUUAUUUUGAAAAACCAUCUCGUAAAUAAUGGUUAUAUUGAAUCUAAGUAAGUGCAUAUCAUACAAGACACAACCUGGCCCAGCCUCUCUGACGGAUUCAAGGUGAAUCAUGUGAUCUUAUAUCUAAAGCUUGUGAAAUAAAUUUAAUUCAUGAAUGCAUAACACUAGUCUCGGCCUUUGUUAUAAACAUAUAAUAACAUAUGUGACUCAUUCAAAAAUAUAUUCAAAACUUUCACAGUUUACAUCUUACUGUACAUACAUACACUUUAUAUAUAUACAUAUAAACAUAAACAUGCUCAAAAUAUAAGUUAUGCAGUAAUGCGUGUCGUGGCCAACAUUAACUGAUUAGAAACUAAACUGCACAAAAUCCUAUGAAAAUCUUAAAGAAAUGGGGGUAAAUAGGAAAAUAGUAUACUUGUGGCUAAAUGAAUGGAUAUAUAUAUAUAUAUAUAUAUAUAUAUAUAUAUAUAUAUAUAUAUAUAUAUAUAUUAGCGCUCUAGUGCUCGUACAUAAUUGUAUGACAUAACUUCGCACUGAACGCAUUAUACAAGCAAACAUAAAAUCAUAUAUUUAUACAUGAUAAAACUGCACCAAAUAAUAUCUAGAAGAAAUAACUCUCAAUACUCGAUGGAAUCAUCAUUGCACAAGUAAAGUAGGGGAAACACCUCGCAAUACUCAGCGGAAUUAACUACAUCACAAGCGCCGAGUAAUCUAACUCUCAAUACACAUACAUAGAGCCUAUGGUGAAGGGUACACAUAUGGUAUCUGGCAAUCACAUCUCAUUAGUCAAUCAAUCAUAUAAUAUGAGUACAAAUAAUCAUGACAUGAUACUAAAUCAUACUAUCAAGCAUAAAUACUUUGUAGAAUACAUAUAAGUAAUAAUAGUAAUCCACUCACAAAACAUUUUUCACUCCGGGGCUUGUUGGAGCUCUUAUAGAUUCCUUAAUUCUUGGAUUUCUCCUAAAAUAUAGGGUUCAAAAAUUAACUGUUAGAACUGAUAUAAAAACUUUUACAUAUGACAUAAACUAAAUCAUAAUUGUUCAAAUUUCUUAAAUACGUUACCUACUGACUUACUGGAUAUAUAUAGAUAUAACUAUCCAACUCUCUUUCCUAUAAUUUUUCCUCUCAAUUCCUCUUUUCAAAAUUAUUUUUCACUCUCGGUUUUUCUUUUCUUCAUCCAGUUAAACAUGUUCUUUGACAUAUAAUACAGUUUAUGGUCAAAAAACUCAUACGUAAUUGAAAUUAAAUUAUUUUUUAAUCUCAAUUUUAAAAUAUUUUAAAAUAUUUUAAAAGAUUUUCAAACAUAAGAUACAAUGGUAUACAAUUGAAGCCUAAUCCAACAUUGAAAGAUUAAAUAAAAUUAAUUUUCAUCACUACUCAAGAGACUUGAAAGGACGUUAAGGUAGCGUUUAUUUUUUAUUUAAAAUCUGAAUAGGUUAGAAUUUGAUUAAAGCCGAAUGGCUUUGAAUAUAAAUGUUUCAAUAACAUGUUAAUUUUUUUAAUAUCUAAAAAUUAAAUGGCAUCUUGUUUGUUUUUAUAAUAAGAAAACACAUCAAAUGUGGUUAUUUAACAUUUAUGUCUUUAUAAGUCAAAACGAAUAAAAGGGAUUAGGCUUCGUAGUUUAUGAAAUAACUAUAUUGAAUUGAAAUAUUUUUAGGAUAUAGUAUUUAUUUUCUAUUCAAUCAUUUUUUUCAUUUCGGCAAAGGUCACAAAAAUUUACUUUUUUAAUUCAAAUGUAAAUAUCUAAAAAUCAGACAUAUGUUACAAAAAAAAAUAAAUAAUUAACUUUUUUAAAAAAAGUUAAACUUUAUAUGUUUAAAAUAAACGCUAAGGAACAUGAAUAAGAGCUAUUAAAACAAAAACAAAAAGAAUAAUUUGGAAACUAAAUACAAUUAAUUGAGAGAUGAGGACCGAUAAGAUAAAUUCUAGAUAAAAAUUAAAAUAUCAACCCUACUUAUUGCUGGUAGUUAUGAGCAUUAAAGCACAGAAGCCGUGUCUUGAUAAGUAUGGAGUUCGUGCGGAAUUUUCAGCUAGAAGUCUACAAAGCAGUGGAAUUAAUCAAUCAUCGUGGAGUGCACGGUGGUUGGACAAUGAGAUGAAAUUGAAAAAUUAUCACGGAACGUGAACGAAGGUUCAUGGCAUCCAUUUAUUGUACAGAGUCACGCACAUUUGGUUCAAUAAUUGUUUUCAUCCGAAUCAAAAUCUCUCUCUAAUCAAUUCAACCGUUCCUGUUGAUUAUGGCUUCUUCUUAUCGAAACAACAAGAAGUAUGAUGUUUUUGUUAGUUUCAGAGGAGAGGACACCCGAGACAACUUUACAUUGAGAUGNNNNNNNNNNNNNNNNNNNNNNNNNNNNNNNNNNNNNNNNNNNNNNNNNNNNNNNNNNNNNNNNNNNNNNNNNNNNNNNNNNNNNNNNNNNNNNNNNNNNNNNNNNNNNNNNNNNNNNNNNNNNNNNNNNNNNNNNNNNNNNNNNNNNNNNNNNNNNNNNNNNNNNNNNNNNNNNNNNNNNNNNNNNNNNNNNNNNNNNNNNNNNNNNNNNNNNNNNNNNNNNNNNNNNNNNNNNNNNNNNNNNNNNNNNNNNNNNNNNNNNNNNNNNNNNNNNNNNNNNNNNNNNNNNNNNNNNNNNNNNNNNNNNNNNNNNNNNNNNNNNNNAGCAUCAGCCAUUUCAGUUAUCGUCUUCUCAGAAGGGUAUGCAUCUUCCAGAUGGUGUCUCGAUGAACUUGUAAGGAUCCUUGAGUGCAAGAAAGAGUAUGCACAGAUUGUGAUUCCGGUUUUCUAUCAGGUUGAUCCAUCAGACGUGAGAAACCAAACUGGGAGUUUUGGGGAUUCAUUUUCGAAGCUUGAAGAAAGAUUAAAGGAGAAUACUGAGAAGCUGCGGAGUUGGAGGAAAGCUUUGAAGGAAGCAGCCAGUUUGUCUGGCUUUCAUUCUCUUAACAUCAGGUGAAAAGUUACUUUUAAUUUCGCAUACUAAUAUUCAACACUGUAAAUAAAAUUCACGCACCACUCUUAGUUAAAUUUCCAGAUGCUAAACUACAUUUUUAAAUUUGUUUAUGCAUCAAAUUCUAGACUUCUUGAACUUCCCCACUUUUGAACUCCUAUAAAAGAAAUUUUGCAGAAUUAAUUUUUUUUGUCUUAACCACGAGGUAUCCUGGGAAGGGCCCCAACUUGGGAGGCACAACAAAGGCGAGUUCUCUGCGACUUGAACUGGGGAGCAAACCCAGUCAAGCCACUUAAGGGGACUCCAUUGUCAGUAGAGCCAAUACUUUGUUGGUUAUUUUUACAGAAUUAAUAAUAAAAGCUCCAGAAGUUUACAAUAUAUUUUAACAAAAUUAAUGGUCUUCUGUCGUUUUUUAAUCAAUUUCAAUCUCUUACUCAUAUACCAUUAGGAAAAAAAAAAAAUCUCUUCCACAUGUAACAUAUUCCUGUAAUUAAAAAGUUAUUAAUUUAUAGGGAGAUUGUAAAUUCCCUUAUUCAAAUCAAUAUAUACCACUUAUUCUGACUAAUUUUACAAUAUUUAAUAACUUUCGCGGUACCAUCACUUUGCAAUAUUAUCCUUCUGAAAAAAAAAUAAGUGGUAUAUAUUAAUUUCAAUUGGAAAACUAGCAAUCUCCCUUAUUUCAUAUUUCAUGCAAAUCCCUCCUAUUUGAAGUUACUGCUGCUAAUUUUAUGUAUUUGGUAGGCCUGAAUCGGAACUUAUAAACGAAGUUGUUAAUCACAUUUCAAAGAGACUGCUGGAUCAAGUUUUUCGGCGGAAUGAUAACAAAAACCAGCUGGUUGGAGUAGAAUCAAGAGUUGAGGAAAUUGAAUCUCUACUAGGUGUUCAGUCGAAAGAUGUUUACGCUUUAGGGAUUUGGGGCAUUGGUGGUAUAGGCAAAACAACAAUCGCUAGAGCUACUUUCGACAAAAUCUCUAGCGAUUUUGAAGGUUCUUGCUUCCUUGAAAAUGUUAGAGAAGAGUCACAAAAACCGGGAGGAUUAGCUUGCUUGCGACAAAAACUUCUUUCAAAUUUAUUGAAAGAUAAAAAUGUGAGUCUUGCUAUUGGUCUUAAUUUUAGAAGGCUCAGCCGCAUGAAGGUUCUGAUUGUUUUUGAUGAUGUGACUUGCUUCAGCCAAUUAGAAUCUAUAAUUGGAAGUCUUGAUUGUUUGACGCCUGUGAGUCGAAUCAUAAUAACCACCAGAAAUAAACAAGUGCUUAGAAAUUGGGGGGUGAGGAAAAUAUAUGAGAUGGAGGCAUUAGAAUAUCAUCACGCUCUUGAGCUUUUCAGUCGACAUGCCUUCAAACAAAACCAUCCUGACGUUGGUUACGAGAAAUUUUCAAGCAAGGUAAUGAAAUAUGCUCAAGGUGUUCCUUUAGCUCUUAAAGUUUUGGGUUGCUUUCUAUAUGAAAGAGAAAAGGAAGUCUGGGAAAGUGCAAUAAAUAAAUUGCAAAGAAUCCUCCAUCCAAGUAUCCUAGAGGUAUUAAAAAUAAGUUACGAUAGUUUGGAUGAUAAGGAGAAAAAUAUUUUCCUUGAUGUUGCUUGUUUCUUUCAAGGCGAGGAUGUAAAUCUAGUAAUGAAAUUCCAUAAUGCAAGCGGUUUCUACCCAGAAAUAGGAAUAAGUGUUCUUGUUGAUAAAUCUCUCAUUGCUAUUGGUUCAUACAACCAGAUAAGAAUGCAUGAUUUACUACAAGAGUUGGGUAGGGAAAUUGUUCGACAAGAAUCAAUUAAUCCUGGAAACCGCAGUAGGUUGUGGCAUCAUGAGGAUAUCUAUGAAAUUCUUACAUAUAACACGGUAAGCAGUUUGUUGUGGAUAAUUAUUUUGAAAUAUUCUAGCAUUUACAAACUUGAUAUGAAUAUAUUUAUAUAUGCUCGAACUGAUGAGUCUUAGAAUUAAUAGAAGAGCAACAAUGAUUAGAAAAAACCAUAUCCGUUAGAUGACGUAGCAAUAAAUUAUAAAUGCCAUGACAACUUGCAUAAUCGUUUGCAAGCAUAAUUGAUAUGCCAAUUUGUAUAGUACACAGACGGAAUUUUUAUAUUAAGUAUUACUUGUGUUAUUAUGUUUCUUUGUGCAUUUGCAAUUAAAAGUUUAACUGCCUAGCAAUAACUAUAAGCUACCUCUAAUUGUGAAUUAGUGAGAAACUUGCCCCAAAAAUUUGACUUGGUGGGGUUGAAGUGCGAUUCAUUGGUGGAAUACACAUAUCUUUCAUUUGAUUUUAACUUUAUUGCUUUUUCACUUCCUUUUAGGGGACAGAAAAAAUUGAGGGCAUAUGUUUGGAUAUGUCAAAAGUAAAAGAGCUCCGUCUAAAUCCCAAUACUUUCACAAAGAUGACUAAAUUGAGAUUUUUAAAGUUCUAUAGUUCAUUAUUCAAUGGAGAGAACAAAUGUAAGAUGUCUUAUUUGCAAGACCCUGGAUUUGCUGAAGUGAAAUAUCUUCACUGGCAUGGAUAUCCGUUGAAGUCAUUUCCCUCAAACCUCAGUGCAGAGAAGCUUAUGUUACUUGAAGUGCCUGAUAGUGACAUUGAACGACUUUGGGAUUGUGUGAAGGUAUGCAUAUCUUAUUAUAUAUGUGCAAUCUCUCAAUAACAACAUUAAAUUAUUAUACGUGGUAACGAUUUUGUCUUGGCCUCUUUUUUGACCGAGCAGCAUUAUAGUAAGUUAAACCAGAUAAUCCAUGCUGCCUGCCAUAAGCUAAUUGCCAAAAUUCCAAAUCCCACGUUGAUGCCACGUCUGAACAAGCUGGUUAUCUUGAAUCUAAGAGGUAGCAAAAGCCUGAAAAGUCUUCCAUCUGGAAUAUUUAACUUGGAAUUUCUUACCAAACUUGAUCUUUCGGGCUGCCCAAAACUGAAAAGGCUUCCAGAGAUCUCAUCAGGUAAUAUAAGCUGGUUAUUUUUAAGGGGGACUGCAAUUGAAGAACUGCCCUCAUCAAUUGAGCGUCAACUUAGGCUUUCGUGGUUGGACCUUUCAAAUUGUAAAAGGCUUAAGAGUCUCCCAAGCAGCCUCUAUAAAUUGAAAUCUCUUGGAAUUCUUGAUCUCCAAGGUUGCUCAAAUCUUCAGAGAUUGCCCGAAUGUCUUGGCCAAUUAUCCUCGCCAACAACAUUUAAUCUAGCGAAAACCAAUAUUGAGAGAAUACCAGAAAGCAUUAUCCAACUUUUCGUGUCGGGAUACCUCCUCUUAAGUUAUGGUGAGAGGUUCGAAUUCGUGCAAAAGCCUCCAUUCCUUGAACGAGGUUGCUUGGCACUGCAACCACUUUUAGGUUUGUUCUCUAAGUUAUGAAUCUUAUAGGCAAUUUUUUUUUACCGGAGCAAUAAUUUUAAAUUGGCAGGUAAUUCUACUGCAGGAAUUCUUGAAGAUACCCUGAGAAUUCAGCAUACGAACUUUAUGCCAGCCGUACGUUGGGAAGAAAUAUGGCAAGAAGUAUGGGUAAAUGUGUGUCUUUAACUCUCUCUACUUACAAUUUCUACAAUCUUUUUUUUGGGUUUAAAAUUAUGUUUUUUUGGUACAGAGAGGUUUUUCCAUGGGCAAACUUCAUAUCGUACUGUCUGGGAAUGAAAUUCCAAAGUGGUUUGAGUUUCAAAGUGUGGGAUCUUUUAUAACCUUGGAGAUGCCGCCAGAUUUCUUCAAUAAUAGCAGAGUGCAGGGCAUUGCAUUUAGUGCUAUUUUAGCAUUUUCAGACCGUCAUGUAGAUUGUGGCACAUGGUUUUCAUUUUCUUGUGAGCUCAAAGUAAAAACCACCAAAGAUUGUGGUCCGCAUGACACACGAUUAUUUCAGAGCAGAGUUAAUUAUGUAGAAUCAUAUCACUUACAUUUGGGGUACUAUCUGUUCUGUGAAGAGGAUUUUAAUGGUUUUUGGAAAUGCAAUUGCAUUCCUGAGGCAGUCCAGCGGGGUGAAAAAAUGUGGGAUCCAUUUACUUCACACCCCAGAUUCUACGAAUUCAAUGUAAGAUCCAAGCAGAUGUUUCAACUGUAACGUAGAAGACUGAGAUAGGUGUCAUUUUCACUCAACUCACCUGAGUUGUGAAUCCAUUUGCUUAAACAUGUAUGCACUUUUUCAAGUAUCUCUACCAAUUCCAUAUUUGGAAUGGUGCAUUUGAUUCCAUAGUUGAUGUGGUAUCGUCUAUGGUUAGAAUUUAUAUUUACAAAAAUGACUUGUAAGGGAAGGAUUGAAGAUGCCCGUGAACUUAUAUUUCGAUUUAGAUUAUUGUAUCUUUUUCAUGUAUAAAAUUGGAUCCUAUCAUUCACAUAUCAUUGACAUGAGCAAUAUGGAUUACUAAAUCAUUAUUCUUUAUUAUUGUGCUGAAUUUGAUUUUUUAUUGAAUAAUUUGAUAUAUUUCUUGAAUCAAUUUGGAGCUUCUACAACAUGUCAGAGAUCAGUUUCUCCAACAUUCCUUUCGGCGCCAAAAGAUAACCAAGCGGUUGAAUAAGAAUUGAUAUAUACAACAUAAAUACAAGAGUUGUUUUGUCUUUUUACAAUAGGAAUAAUAUAUAAUGCUCGUUAAAACUUGCUGAUGAGAAAGUAAAUUCCUCAGAAAUUAAAUGUUUCAGCCAACCAAGGAAGCAGCUUUUCGUGGACCAACUCAGGCCUGUCGUCAUGGGGGCAAUGUCCUACUCCUUUCAAUACAAUUAACUUCACAUUUGAGAGUUUAGAAGGCAGAGAUGAGAUGUAUUUACCAACAGGUCCAUCGAGGGGUGUGAAUGGAUCCUCAUCAGCCCAUAAAACUAGUGCAGGUAUAGAGAUUGAUGGCAUCAAUUGAACUGGGUUCGGCCCUGGUGGGCCUGUUACAAUCGAAACAAAUGCGUCAAGUGCCCCUUCCUCAUUGGCGGGCUCUCGUAUGAUCUGCAGUUUUGAGGUCGAUUCAUGAAUUAUGAGACGCCAUUUUUGUAACAGGUUAAAAUGGCAUAUAAGUGGAGAAUAUUAAUACCUCAACCAGUGUUUCAUCCACAGAUUCCUUAUUUGCAUAAAUGGACAGUAAAAUAUUCCUCGUUGUUUCCCUGAAGCACCAAUGUAUACACAUCAUAGAUUUUUUUAAUUUUGACUCUAGUGUUUUAGGAUAAUGAACAAUGGACUGAAUAAAGAGAAGAGAAAAUACCUUUGUUUCACACGCUCAAAUAUAGCAGAAGCAAUUGGCCUUUGCUUCAACAAAAAAUCAAUGAACCAAAGCAAUGGGAACAAUAGCUUGAUUCUCCAAUCAUCAACAAUUGCCUUGUUGUUCAUGCCACCAGCACAAUUCAACAGAACAAGCCCUCGAACAAGGGUUUGACUGGAUUCUUAUGGUAGAAAAUAUAGCAGGUUUAUCGUAAACCAUAGAUACCAAAAAGGAUAAUUAGGGACAAGUGUUUCUUUGCAAGCAAGUUGAAGAAUAUCUGAUGUCCAAGGGGAAGUUAAAAUAAAUAUACCUGAGGCAGCGAUAACACAAGCUAGGCUUCCAACAGAAUUACCUAUAAGCACAGUUGGCUUCUGAACAACUUCAUCCAAGAAAUCCAAUAUUAGCUGUAUCAGUGAAUCUCACUCAAGUUAGCAAGGAAAAUAACUAAAGGUCAAGUGAUUGAUGACGUAAGUACAUAGAAAGAUCCAACUUCUGGGUAGGGAACAUUGCACACCUGAGCCCAUGCCUCCAUGGUAUAUGAAUAACCAGCUGGCUUAUCUGAAGCACCAAAUCCAAGGUGGUCAAUUGCAUAAACCGUGUAGCUCUUCGCCAGGGUGCCGAUAUUCCUGAAAUUACCUCAGAGAUAACAAGAAAAAUAUCAAUUCCUCACAUUAUUUAAUAGGAUAAAGGAGUAGUGAACACACAAAUUUUCAUUCCCCUCUUCUACGGAGCGGUAAAAUGAAUACUUUUUCACUAGAUUAAGAAUUGGAAAAUGGAAGAAGCCUAUACCCAUAAAAGGGUAAUAUUAAAUGGAACCCUGAAAUUCAGAUCACUGGUUUGUCAUCAUCUAGGUGCAAGGAAUAGAACUAAGUGUUAAUGCCAAUGCACCAUGAAAUAAUGAAUAGACUUUACUUUCAUUAUUCUUUUGCUUCAUUGAUCUUAAUUAAUUAUUAGAAGUAUAACACAUAUAAAUGCAUCCCUGGAGUUCAUAAUACAUAACAGAGUCAGAGAUAUUACAUACAUAAGGUAAAGACAUGCUCCAUACAAAAAAAAAAUAUUACAGUCGAAAAUACCCAGAACAUAAUUUGAAUUGAAUUCACAAUAAAGGAGCUACAUUUUUGUGCACCCAAUAAUCAACCCGCUAGACAAUUCACAACAAGAAAGAGCAAUCUUAUCUCGCUAACCUGCGCCAGUGAGGAAUGGAGACACCAAAGCCAUGGACAAGGAGUAGAGGAGGAGAAUCGGGAUGUGAAUUUGGAGUUGAAGAAACCAAGUAAUUGAUGGAGUACUGACCCUUCCAUUUCCACAUUUUGCAACUCUCCCUUAUCUCAUUAACCUCCAGUUCCAGUGCAGCAGAAGCAGAAUCCCCUCCACUGCUACUGUUAGUAUAACUGAUGGUAACAUUUUGUCUCUUCUUCUUCUCCUUAUUCCUCUGCUGCAACUCCAACUGCAACUGAAACUGCCAACUCUUAUUGCUCAAUAGGGGCAAGCGCAGGCCUUUUACAUCUCCAUUUCCAUUUCCAAUCCUGAGCGUUGUUAUUGGAAUAAUGAAAGAGGGAGCCCGAGCCCUUACCAUCCACACGCUCAUUCUUUUCUUGCUUUUUCGAUUGAAUAUUUUCUGUGGCCUGGCUUGGCCUGCUCCUCCCCUGCUUCCACCUCUAUGAGACUGUGGCUAUGACAAAAACUUUUUAUGUACUUAUUUAUUUAUUGGGCUUAUUCCACUAUUUUAUGAAAAUUUUACUGAUAUUCCUCAAAAAUCAAAAUGAUAAUACUUCGUCUAAAAAAUAAUUAUAAAACAUACAUGCUAUGUUUUAAAAUUUUCAAACAAAGAAGAACUUUGUAGAGUUAAUUAACUCGAUUUAUUUUAGUUUACUUUCAUGUGAUUUAGAUUAUUUUAUUAUAUUUAGCUACAAAGAUUGUUUUGUCAUAAGUUUAAAUUGAUUAUUUUACCCUUAUAAGGUAAAACUAUUGAGAAUUUACUUUAAUUUCAAUAUUUUUCUAAUUUUAUACCAAACUCAUUGUUUCUAAUACUAUUUUACUAGUAUGAGUUUUAAUCUUUAAUUAAACUAAAAUAGUAUCUUUAGGGCAUGAUACUCAUGUAACUUAUUGGGAUGUCAAUUUUAUGUUAUUUACACAUAAAAGUAGAGAAAAUAACAAUUAGAUUUUAUUUUAAAAUAUUAUAUUAUAAGCCACAAAAUUAGAUACAUAAAUUAUUAGAUACAAUAACUCAUGUUUAUUAUGGUAAUUUAGUCGCUAUAUAUCAUAAUAAUAAAAUACUAAAAUAAAUCUUGUAUUAAACUUUAUGAUUAAAGAUGGUCAAAUAACCGAAGAAGAAAAUCAAUAGAAGGAUUUUACUGAUUAACUAUACAAAAUUUUUAUUAAUUUGUAUUUUUAAAAAAAUAUUGUGAAUUCAUUACAAUUAAUUUCUAGAAGUAGGGUGGAUUUAUAAAAUAGUGGGGUGCAAAUACCCUUACCCAAAUAUUCCAUAAAAAGUGAAAACUAUUACCUUUUUCGAUGUACUUCUCUUGAAUUUUUUAUUCCUACGGAUAAACUUUAAUUCAUCCCCAAAUAAAAUGAUAAUCUCUAAUUUGCUCUCAAUGUAAAUCUCAAUUUAUUCUUCAUUUCCGUCCAAAAGAUGAGGGGCAAAUAAGGAAUGUGUUGAUGGGUUUUUUUUUUUUAAUCUUCUUAACAAUAAAUGGGGUAAAUUGAUAUUUUUAUACUUUUAGGUGAUAAAUUAAAGAUUUUCAUUCUGAAUUGGGGGCAAAUUAAAAUCUAUCUUAUUUCUAAAGGCACCACGUGAUUUGGCAAAAUAACUAAAAAGACAUUUUAUUUUUAGAAAAGGUCACACAUGUCUCUUUUGAGAUACACAAAUUCUCUUUUAGAUAAAACAUUAGGAUUUGUGUGAUUAUUUCUUAACCAAAAGGGUUUGUGUUUCAAAAAAAUGAUUAUGUAAUUAUUUUGCCUGACCGAGAGAGUCAUUAUUCAAACACCAAUCACAUUUUUGUUUUAACAAACACCCUUUCAUUUAUUCUUUAAGCUUUUUUUGUUUUUUCCCAAAAAAUGAUGAAUACAUAUUGAAAAUUUUGUUUUCAUUUUUUUAUUGAAAAAAUGAAAAACAACAAAGAUUACUGCUUCCUUGUCCAUACUUUUUCGUCCUAUAUUACCUUAAUUUUAUAUCGUUUUCUCUAUUUUUACUUUUAUAGUCCAAUUCUGAAAAUACACUAUUAGACACAUUUUUAAAUUCAAAAACACAAAACAUAGUGCAUCAUUUUCAUUAUAGGCAUUAACACCUGACGUACACAUUCUCCAAAUGGGAUUAAUGGAAAAAUAUAUAUAUAAAAAGGUGAGUCCUUCGGCCAAUCUUAUAGGUUCUAACGUUUUGAAGGUAAGUUUUAUCUUGUAACAUUCUCACAAAAUUUAAAAUCAACUGGGACGAAAAUUUUGAAAAUACUAUGAUUAGCACAGGCAUUUCAACAAUAGAGGAUGUAAUAAAAGCUCAUUGAGUUGAAACUUGAAAGCAAAAUUAGGAUCAAGGUCAUUUCUUUAAAAGAAUAAGGCAAGAUGCACGACAUGAAAUACCUGUGACCAAGCCUCAAAAGAUUCACCAAGCCCAGUAUUUUGCUUGCCCACGGCAUAAUUACACUUGGCUUCCCAAACAAAUAAUUGCUGGAGCUCGGACAAUGCAAGUAUUCAAUUUAACUUCAUAAAUAUCAGCAGGAGCAUAAUUACACUUGGCUCCCUAACAAAUAAUGCUGGAGCUCGGACAAUACGAGUAUUCAAUUUAACUGUACAUAGAUGUGCGGGGUUUUGGUGGUAAGUAAAAAGACGUGCCACUAUCAGUUGAGGAGUGCAUAAGAGGAUUACAUCUAUCAAAUACUAUCCGCCCCCCUCGGCCAAUUCUUCCACGAAAUUUGUGAGUUCGUGCUAUAGUGCCAUUCCUCGUAGAAGAAUCUGACGGCGGAACAAUACCUGCAGCGUCCAAUUUUUCUGGCACAAGGGGUUUUGUGAACAACAAAACUGGCUCGAGAGGAUCCUGAAACCCCACAGUUACAUUUUCAAAAUGAUGCACUGCUGAUAUUCAGAAAUAAAACAAGGAUAAAACAUUUUCUAAAGUUUACUUAAAUCAUUUUUCUUUCCAACCACAGAUAGGUCAAUAAGUCAAAUACUGGAGCUGACAGAGCGCUGGCAGAAUUAACUACAAACCCACCAGAUUUAUCUUGUUAAUUGAUUGUUUUCAAUUACCACGGUAACCCGGCUCGGGUGUUACCUCUGUUUCUGUCAGUGCUCUGUUGAAUAUUUCCGUUUAAAAAUCAGCAUCAUAUAUGUAAGUAGUAUGGCAGCAGCGAAAUAUCAUGUGUAAUAAUUAGGCUAUUAGGAGCAAAAGCUAUACGUACCAAUUUAUGUAGCCAUGCAUAAUAUAUUCAUUUUUGACUUGCAAAUUCUUCCUUUUCACAACAUUAGGUACAACUUUUCCUUUCCUUUUGAAGGCCCACUCCAGUAGGGGUGGGCAUUUGGUUCGGUUCAAUCUGAACCGAAUCGAACCGAACCGUAUUAUGAUAAUUUAAUUCGAUUUUGGUUCGCAGCAAAAAAAAUUAAAUGGUUCAGAAGCAUACAGAGUAGGGGUGGGCAUUUGGUUCGGUUCAGUCUGAACCGAACCGUAUUAUAAUAAUUUGGUUCGGUUUGGUUCGGAGCAAAAAACUAAAUGGUUCAGAAAUUCUGAACCAUUUGAUUUUUUAUUUGGUUCGGUUCAAAACCGAACCAAAUGGUUCAAGAAAAAAUUAAAAUUAAAAUUAAAAAAUAGUUCAGAAUUUAUCUUCUUUUUUUUAUUUCUGUUUGUUAGUUAAUACAUGAUAUUAUAUAUGUCAUUGCAUACACUUUAUUUUAUUGUUGAACUUUAUUAUUUUAAUUUAUUAUUGUUAAAUUUUAUUACAUUGGUUAUUAUUUAUGAAUUUCUAGAUUACUUUUGGAAUUUAUUAUGUUAAUUUACUAUUGUUAGAUUUUAUUAUGUUGUUUAUUGUUUGCUAAUUUAUAGACUCAAGAUUAUUGUUGUAUUAAUAGCGUAUUAUUAUAUUAUUAUUUUUAUUAAAUAAUGAAUAUAUAAGAUAAAAUCAAAUCAAACCGAACGGUUCUAUAAUUUGGCUCAUAAAUUCAUGAACCAUUUGAUUUCAGUUUGGUUCGGUUCAAGGGCUGAACCGAACCAAACUAAAUAGUUCCCACCCCUAAUAGAGAGUAAAAAGAGUUUCUUAUAAAUAAUUUGAGGAGGAUGGUUCUGCCACGACAGGUAAUACCAUAAACAAAUGAUUUCACCACAUUUCAAGAAAGCAUUUAACUUAUGCCUCAUUUUCAUUCUAGCAAUUUGCUUGCCAUUGGCUGAUUGGAAAAAGUGCAUUUAAGUGAUAGAAUACUGUCAACCUAUAGCACGAAUAGGGGUUAAACAAAGUAAAUCUCUACCUUUACAUGUCAAAUAAAAGACUUUCAUAAUAUCAAAUAUCAAAACUCAUGUCUAGUAAAGGAUUCCCCAAUGCUGGCUCUCAAAAUUGCUUUUGUUUCAUGGAUGAGAUGAUGGUUUUUGUGGAUAUUCUGCUCAACUUGGAUUAUGACUUGGGUCAGAUCCCAACUUGCUGCAAAGCUCACCUGACUAAAUCUUAGUUGAUUUGCUUUUCCAAACUAAAUCCAAGCAAGUAAGUACAAGAGAUAAAAGCAAAAGUUCAAGCAUCUCAUUUGAGCCUGUCACUAACAAAUGGUCAAUGAGCAAUGUCUAGCUAUGACUGAGCAACAGAAUCAAUAAACAGACAGACAAAAAAUAAUAAUCAAGUCAUCUGUCAAAUGCUAGUCCAAGAAAAUCAUAUAUAUAUGUAUGUAUGUAUGUAUGUAUGUAUGUAUGUAUGUAUGUAUAUGUAUAUGUAUAUGUAUAUGUAUAUGUAUGAUCAUUCAUUUCUCAAUCAACCACCAAAUUGAUGUCAACAAAGCCAUGAGGAUUGUCACACAAGUCUUUCAAUUCCCCUCUCUUUAGGCCAGAGACCAGUAAACCAUUUGAAAUAUAGAUGUGCAAACCAGUAAAUAAAUCAUGAAGUUACACACUAGUCUGCUUUCGCACUCAUUCAGAACUAUCAAUGAUACUUACUGCAAGUACGGUGUAUACAUUAUACUAAAGUGAAGGCUGGAUCAAUAAGAAAUUCAAAAUGUUUCAUCACAUUUGGGGCUUGAUGAUGCCAAAAAAAGACCAUACCAAUUAUGAUGAACAGUAAAAUGUGAACAAGAACAAGCAUACAUUUAAGAAAGCAGAGAAGCAUCAUUAAAAUAAAGUAUUCUUCUUACUAUUCUUGGAAAAUGGACCAAAAUAAAAAAGAAACCAUAUAUGGUUAACGUCACAACAAGAGUAUUUGUGCAUUUGUACAUCAUAGGAUAUUGGGAAGACAUCAGUAGAGAAGUGCAAAUUUUUUUUUGGGGAAAGGAACAGAGAAGUGCAAGUCAAAAAGGAGAAAAAAUGAAAAAAGAGAGAUCAAAAGGAAUGCAAUCUAAUUAAUUGUCUAAGGAGACUUCUAUGCUACAUUUAGCCAUUGGUUGAAUAGGCAGCUUGUUUUCUAGUACAACUUUAAAUUUUCCAAGAUUUAGAAUUUUCCUACUGAAGAAAACUAAUUUCUAAAGCAGCUAUUACCAUCUUCAUCCCAACGGUAAGCAGCUCCAUACUAAGGAAAGAAUGAAAUAAGUGUGUUUUACUUAUAGAAGCCCAUUCCUGUCCAGAGUGAUUAGUAAGUUGUUUCACCAUGACCCCCAUUAUGGUGACUGAAAAAAGAAAAAAAAAAAGAAGAAAAUAUUUGCCGAACACAAUAGUAGCACCUAAGAAGUCCUACUUAAGAGGCUUCAUACCCUGCACAAAUCGGAAAGUUUUUUAAAAUUUUCAUGUUUCAAAUGAAGAUUCUCCAUUAAAAAAUUACACACAUACUGUAUGUAAAGCAAUUAAAAAAAAAAAAAAAACAAGGAUAACCCAGAAACAAUCCAACCAUUAAUGAAAGUGAGCAAUGUUAUUGUUUUAUUAUUUUUGAACUCGUGGUGGCUCUGUAUUAUUUGCAAAUUAUUUACAAAAUACUCGUAUAAGGAGAGGGACAUAUUUUAUGCUGGAAUAUUGUCAAUAUAAAUGGUGCUCUAAAAAUGUGUCCGACUGUAAAGAUAUGUCUAAUUAAACAGUGUCAUAUAUAAUAAAAACGUAUCCUUUUAUUUAAAGAUGCUUUCAUUCAUGGUUUCAUGCUUCAAUUUGAAAUGACGAUAGUUUAUUUUGGACCAGUGAUGAUCUAAUUCAAAUUUUAAUUUAAUAACCAUGAAUGAAAUAACCACUUUCUGUUAGUUCUCUUAAAAUUUAUUAAGAAAUCUAUAUUGAAGGCCGUUUUAUCCUUUAGUGUUGUAGAAAAUACACUUUACAUUUUGAAAUUUAAAAUGACCUUCUUUUAAAUAAAAUUUUAAAACAAAUGCCUCUAACUAAGGAAGAAAUUUUAGAAUACAUCAGAAGUACCAUGUUAGCCAUACAACAAGUGAAUCAUGGUACGACACAUGUGCACUUAUUUUAAAAAACUAUUAUUCAAAUGGUGGUUAUAUUGAAUAUAAAUAUGUACAUAUCAUACAUGACACAAACCGCGUCAACCCUUCUAUUGGAUCUGGGGUGAAUCAUGCAAUUUUAUAUCUAAAGCUCAUGACAUAAACUUAAUUCAUGAAUAUAUAACACUAGCCUUGGCCUUUGCUAUAAACAUAUAAUAAUCUAUGUGCCUCAUUCAAAAAUUUAUUAAAAACUUACAUAGUUCAUAUCUCAUUGUACAUACAUUCACUUCGAAAAUAUACAUAUAAACAUAAACGUGGUCAAAAUGUAAGUCGUGCAGUAAUGCGUGUUGUGGUCCAACCUCAAUUGAUCAGAAAUUGAACUACACGAAAUCCUAUGGAAACCUUAGAGAAAUGGGGUAAAUAGGAAAAUAGUAAGUUUCUGACUCAAUGAAUGAAUAUAAUUAUAUAUAAAAAUAAAUUAGUGCUUUAGUGCUCGUCAUAAUUGUAUGACAUAACUUUACACUGAACGCUUUACAAAAGCAAACAUGAACUCAUAUAUACAUACAUGACAAAAUUGCACCAAAUAAUAUACAGGGGAAAUAACUCUCAAUACUCACUGUGAUCAUCAUCGCAUGAGUAAAAAGGGGGAAAAACCUCUCAAUACUCAGUAGAAUUAACAACAUCACAAGGGUCGAGUAAUUUAAUUCUCAAUAUGCAUGCGUAGAGCCUAUGGGAAAAGGUACACAUAUGGUGCCUGUCAAUUACAUCUCAUGACUCAGUCAAUCAUAUAAUGCACGUACAUAUAAUCAUAACAUUAUACAAAAUCGUACUAUUAAACAUAAAUGCUUUGUAAAAUACAUAAUAGUAAUAAUAAUAAUCCACUCACAGAUCCUAUUGAUGAAGCACGCACGUGCUUUGCUUUAAGCUAACAGCUUGCUAUUGCUUUGACAAUUAACCACAUGUGCCUCCUUUUAGCUUGCACGUGUGUCACAAUACAUGCAUUAGAAUUGGUUUUAUUCUCAUGGGUGAAGCAUGAAUGUGCUUUGCUUUAAGCUAACCGCUUGCUAUUGCUUUGACAAUUAGCCACAUGUGACCCGUUUAUAGUUUAGGAAAUAACAAUAUUGAAUCGAAAUAUUCACUACUAGAAAAAUGAGUUUUACUGACACUAAUUUAGCGUCAGUAAUUACUUUUAUUGACACUUGUUAAUUGUGUCAGUGUUGCUCAAGCCAGAACACACUGACACUAAUUUUUGGUGUCAGUAAUUUUUGUGUCAGUAAUUUGUUUCACUAUAGUAUCACUAAAAUAAUGACACGAUGAUGUUGGUAUUUAAUGAUACUAUUUACACGUCAGUGAUUUAUGUGACUAUAGUAUCAAUAAUAAGCUAGCUCGAUAAUAUAAAAAAUUAUUAAUGUCAAUUUAAAUAUUUAGUGUCAGUAUUUAAUAAUGUUAUGCAGGAUUGGUUAAUAAAUUUUUUUUAUUCUAAUUAUAUUUUUCCUGAAUGUUUUACAACCAAAAGAAAGCUCAAAAUAUAUUAAAUAUAUAAAAUGUCACAAUAUAAUUCACAUAAUAAACAUCCCAAAUACAUCACUCAAAUUCACAUGAUUCAACUACACCACUAUCUGGAAAAGAAAAAUAUAAAUACUAAAUUAAGUUUUCAACAACCACAAAGUACGAAUUUAGUUUCCACCAAAAAGAAGCACAAGAACAUCACUCAACAUCCAUCUGCAGCUUCAUUUUUUUCCCACCUACAACAACAUAAAAUCAAUUAGUAUGGAAAUAGAUUAUCGAAAACAAAUUGAUUGUGAGUAGUUAAACAGAGCAAUUGAAGGAUGUUUCAACAACUAAUAAAACAAUAAGAAAUAAGAUUACAAUAAUACUGAAAGUUAUAGAAAUAAAGAACCUUAGCUUAAGUUGUCUGAAGAAACCAUGUUGGAUAACCUGCUACAAGUCACAGAAAACAAAACAUCUAAGUCAAUCUAAUUAAAAACUUCCUAUUUUUUAUAAUCAAACAACAGAAAUCUGCAAUCAAAACAUCCAUUUGCCCACUCAAACUUUCAGCCUUAGCAUAAACUUCUUUCACUUUAAUCUCAUAAAACUUGUCAAAUUUAUGAAACUCUCAUCAAGCCUUCUAAAAAACUACCGCUCUCAUUCCCCUCCUUCCUCAACAAUCCUCAAAAGUAUUUUCAUUGCAAAAUAGCCCAAAAAAAUUAUAGGAGUUGUUUUGACUUUAGAAUAGCAACAAAACAGCCCCGGGAAAUCUGUAGGGGCUGUUGUGCAGUGAAAACAGUCACUAGAAAUUUACAGGGGCUGUCUUGUUGCUGUUCUAUAGUAGAAACAGCCCCUGCAAAUUAACACUUUCAAAUGAAUUAGAAAAGAAAAUAAUGUUACCUAUGAUAGUCAUCAUUGUUGAAGUCAUAGCAGAUAGCCUGCAAAUUAACAAUAAUAACAGCAUUUACAUCAGUUUAUGAAACUGCUUUUAUUGGUUUUUUUUUUGCAAGGAUAUGUAUAUAAAUAAUAGUGCAUUUAAACUUACAUAUAUAAUGCAUCUUAGACCAGCCAUUAAUGUGGUAUAGUUUUUGUAAAGUACCCUAUUUACCUCAGAAACUUCACUUUCCUCUAUGCCAAGAUUUUGAAUUAUCUAUUAUACACAAAGUAAAUUUGUAGAAACUAGUUAUACAUUUGUUAAACAAAUAAACAACUUAAAUGACAAAAGUUUACUAACUGAAUAGAAAUGCACCAAGGUCAUUAUAAAUUGGCACUACUUACUGAAAUGAUCAACAACAUUGACACUAACACCUCAUACAUAAAUUCAGAUUUUAAGCGUAUAAAGAGAGUUCAAAUGAAUGAUUGCUUAUACAUUUUAUAACAGAUUUUACAACAAUAAAGUAGAUAAAUGGCAACUCUACUAGAGGUAUGUUUCUAGUAUAAGGAAUCAAGCAUAAGUAAAGGAGCAAGGUAGUAUCUUAUCAUCCGCAUAAUCAACACACCAUGACAGAAAUCGAAUCAAAUAAAUACUACGAGUGCCGAAUGGAAGAAAGAAAUUAAAACAUUUUCUGUAAAAUAUUAUUAUUAAUCAAUAACAUGUCUUAAUAUAAAGCGAAAAGUUUCCGAUGAUAAUAUAAAUAUCCAAAACUAUAUAGUCAAAUACUCAAAAGCUGAAACCAAAAUAUCAGAAAAAAAUUUAUAAAAGCAAUAACAUAAACCUAAGCAGUAAACACAACAGACCCACCAGCUUUUUUAAUUUUCUUCUUGGCUGUUUUGGAAACGCUUCACCACAACGAGUUGGUUCUCAAGCAAAAGGCCCUUACCCAAAACCUUAAAGUAGCCAAACUGAGUCACAUCGAUCGUGGGAACAAUGUCUUUGGAAGCCUUGGCUUUGACCUCCUGAGGUACCAUUGGCCAAAGCCUUUUUUUUUUUUUUGAUCCAUGACAAUGAAAACUGAUCUUUUAUAUAUUCAAGCAAAUGAAGUGAAACCCCUGCUCAAAGAUACCAUAAAAACUAGAUGACAAUUUUGAACACUAGUGUCUAAAGCCCAGAGGCCUAUGUAUUUGAUAAAACAACUGACAGAACACUAAACACAUAAUGUUGAAAUUCAAAAGUUAAAAGGGUCAAACAGAGAAUUGAAACAUAAUAUGAUUCGCCCUUAAGAUAAAUUCUUGGCCCUCAAAUCACAUGCAGAAGCAAGCUACAUUGAAGAGAGAUUCGGAAGAAGCACUGAAAAUGCCAAAAGAUCGAAGUUGCCCUUCUUGAGAAAACCGACCUUAUGAUUACUAAGGCGAUUCAGGCAAGACAACUACUACACGAACCCUAAAAAUGGAGUUGCUUACCUUCUUCAGGGGAUGCGGGGCAAAUUAAAUUAUUACAGUAUUACUCACAACUCAAUUAAUUUGAGUAUUUGACUAAUCUAAUUUAGACAAAAAAUUAAUGAAAAAAUUAAAAAGUGGAAUCUCAACUCACUGUCUCAGGCGGCCGGCGCGAUGGCGACGGCUGAACGCGGCUGCAAAAGCAAUAAUUUAGACUGGAGGGUGAGAUGGUGACCAGAGACGGAGAAAGUGAGAGCGACUAAACGAGCGUGAAAGAGAGGGGUUGUUGCUGCUGUGUGUGCCUUCAGAGAGAGAGUGAAAGCGAGCGAGCUACUGCAGUGUGUGGUGCGACCUGCUGGGCUGCCGCCGCCGCCGCCGCCGCCGCGUGGGCUGCAUGUGCCGUUGUCAUCGUGUGUGCUACUAAGGCCUUAGAGAGGGGCUGCCGCUAGUUAGCGCUUAGGGAGAGUUAGGGAUUUAGGCACUUGGAAUUUUAGGGAUUUGGAUUUUAGUUUGUUUGAGAGGGAACAAAUUUUGGUGGAGGGAGAUCAAAAAUUUUGUGUUAAAUUAUAGCAAAGGGUUUGUAGUUAAUUAUAUACGGUUUAACCAAACAAAGAAAAUAUGCACACAAGUGGUUUGUAGUUUGAAAUUAAAAUUUUAACUUCGGAGAUAUUGAGUUCGAGUCCAAGUAAAAACAUAAUUAGAAUUAUAUUUGUUUUUAUCACUGAUACUAAAGUAUAAGUAAUUACUGAGUUUUAUGCUACUGACACCUUAGUACCAGUGAUUUAUGAUACAUAUUUGUUAAAUGGAAAAAAUGAUCCAAAUGUAUAACAUUACUGACACUUUUUACGAAGUGUCAGAAACGAAGUGUCAGUAAAAGUCAUUUUUGUAGUAGUGAUUCUUAGAAGAUAGUAUUUAUUUUCCAUUCAAACAUUUUCUCAUUUCGGCAAAGGUCACAAAAAAAAAUGCUUUUUUUAAUUUAAAUGUAAAUAUUUAAAAAUCAUAUAUAAGUUAUAAAAAAUAAAUAAUUAAUAUUUUUUUUAAAGUUAGACUUUAUAUGCUUAACAGUCAACCCUAAGGAACAUGAAUAAGAGCUACUAAAAAAAAAGAAUAAUUUUGAGCCUAAAUACAAUUAAUUGAGAGAUGAGGACGGAUAAGACAAAUUCAGAGAUAAAAAUUAAAAUAUCACCCUACUUAUUGCUGGCAGUUAUGAGCAUUAAAGCACAGAAGCACGUGUGUUGAAAAGUAUGGUGUUCGUGUGGAAUUUUCAGUUAACAGUCUACAAAGCAGUGGAAUUAAUCAAUCAUCGUGGAGUGCACGGUGGUUGGACAAUGAGAUGAAAUUGAAAAAUUAUCACGGAACGUGAAGGAAGGUUCAUGGCAUCGAUUUAUUGUACAGAGUCGCGCACAUUUGGUUCAAUAAUUGUUUUCAUCCGAAUCAAAAUCUCUUUCUAAUCAAUUCAACUGAUUUUGUUGAUUAUGGCUUCUUCUUAUCGAAACAACAAGAAGUAUGAUGUUUUUGUUAGUUUCAGAGGAGAGGACACCCGUGACAACUUUACCAGCCAUCUCUAUUCUGCUCUGUGUCGACAAAAUAUCCAAACUUUCAUUGAUGACCAACUUAACAGAGGAGAUGAAAUUUCGGAGUCACUUGUGAAUGCAAUUGAAGCAUCAGCCAUUUCAGUUAUCGUCUUCUCAGAAGGGUAUGCAUCUUCCAGAUGGUGUCUCGAUGAACUUGUCAAGAUCCUCGAGUGCAAGAAAGAGUAUGCACAGAUCGUGAUUCCGGUUUUCUAUCGGGUUGAUCCAUCAGACGUGAGAAACCAAACUGGGAGUUUUGGGGAUUCAUUUUCGAAGCUUCAAGAAAGAUUUAAGGAGAAUUCAAAGAAGCUGCUGACUUGGAGGAAUGCUUUGAAGGAGGCAGCCACUUUGUCUGGCUUUCAUUCUCGUAACAUCAGGUGAAAAGUUACUUUUAAUUUCGCAUACUAAUAUUCAACACUGUAAAUAAAAUUCACGCAGCACCCUUAGUUAAAUUUUCCAGAUGAUAAACUACACUUUUAAAUUUUUUCAUGCAUCAAAUUCUAGACUUCUUGAACUUCCCCACUUUUGAACUCCUAUAAAAGAAUUUUUGCAGAAUUAAUAAUAAAAGCUCCAGAGGUUUACAAUAUAUUUUAACAAAAUUAAUGGUGUUCUGUCGUUUUUUAAUCAAUUUCAAUCUCUUACUCAUAUACCACUAGGAAAAAAAAAAUCUCUUCCACAUAUAACAUAUUCCUGUAAUUAAAGAGUUAUUAAUUUAUAGGGAAAUUGGAAAUUUCCUUACUCAAAUCAAUAUAUACCACUUAUUUUGACUAUUUUUACAAUAUUUAAUAACUCUCCUGGUACCAUCACUUUACAAUAUUAUCCUUAUGAAAAAAAAUAAGUGGUAUAUAUUAAUUUCAAUAGGAAAACUAGCAAUCUCCUUUAUUUCACAUUUUAUGCAAAUCCCUUCUAUUUGAAGUUACUGCUGCUAAUUUUAUGUAUUUGGUAGGCCUGAAUCGGAACUUAUAAACGAAGUUGUUCAUCACAUUUUGAAGAGACUGCUGGAUCAAGUUUUUCGGCGGAAUGAUAACAAAAACCAGCUGGUUGGAGUAGAAUCAAGAGUUGAGGAAAUUGAGUCUCUACUAGGUGCUCAGUCGAAAGAUGUUUACGCUUUAGGGAUUUGGGGCAUUGGUGGUAUAGGCAAAACAACAAUCGCUAGAGCUAUUUUUUACAAAAUCUCUAGCGGUUUUGAAGGUUCUUGCUUCCUUGAAAAUGUUAGAGAAGAGUCACAAAAACCGGGAGGAUUAGCUUGCUUGCGACAAAAACUUCUUUCAAAUUUAUUGAAAGAUAAAAAUGUGAGUCUUGAUAUUGGUCUUAAUUUUAGAAGGCUCAGCCGCAUGAAGGUUCUGAUUGUUUUUGAUGAUGUGACUUGCUUCAGCCAAUUAGAAUCUAUAAUUGGAAGUCUUGAUUGUUUGACGCCUGUGAGUCGAAUCAUAAUAACCACCAGAAAUAAACAAGUGCUUAGAAAUUGGGGGGUGAGGAAAAUAUAUGAGAUGGAGGCAUUAGAAUAUCAUCACGCUCUUGAGCUUUUCAGUCGACAUGCCUUCAAACAAAACCAUCCUGACGUUGGUUACGAGAAAUUUUCAAGCAAGGUAAUGAAAUAUGCUCAAGGUGUUCCUUUAGCUAUUAAAGUUUUGGGUUGCUUUCUAUAUGAAAGAGAAAAGGAAGUCUGGGAAAGUGCAAUAAAUAAAUUGCAAAGAAUCCUCCAUCCAAGUAUCCUAGAGGUAUUAAAAAUAAGUUACGAUAGUUUGGAUGAUAAGGAGAAAAAUAUUUUCCUUGAUGUUGCUUGUUUCUUUCAAGGCGAGGAUGUAAAUCUAGUAAUGAAAUUCCAUAAUGCAAGCGGUUUCUACUCAGAAAUAGGAAUAAGUGUUCUUGUUGAUAAAUCUCUCAUUGCUAUUGAUUCAUACAACAAGAUAAGAAUGCAUGAUUUACUACAAGAGUUGGGUAGGGAAAUUGUUCGACAAGAAUCAAUUAAUCCUGGAAACCGCAGUAGGUUGUGGCAUCAUGAGGAUAUCUAUGAAGUUCUUACAUAUAACACGGUAAGCAGUUUGUUGUGCAUAAUUAUUUUGAAAUAUUCUAGCAUUUACAAACUUGAUAAGAAUAUAUUUAUAUCUGCUCGAACUGAUGAGUCUUAGAAUUAAUAGAAGAGCAACAAUGAUUGGAAAAAACCAUAGCGGUUAGAUGACGUAGCAAUAAAUUAUAAAUGCCAUGACAGCUUGCAUAAUCGUUUGCAAGCAUAAUUGAUAUGCCAAUUUGUAUAGUACACAGACGGAAUUUUUAUAUUAAGUAUUACUUGUGUUAUUAUGUUUCUUCGUGCAUUUGAAUUAAAGUUUAACUGCCUAGCAAUAACUAUAAGCUACCUCUAAUUGUGAAUUAGUGAGAAAAUUGCCCCAAAAAUUUGACUUGGUGGGGUUGAAGUGCAAUUCAUUGGUGGAAUACACAUAUCUUUCAUUUGAUUUUAACUUCAUUGCUUUUUUAUUUAUUUUUAGGGGACAGAAAAAAUUGAGGGCGUCUCUUUGGAUAUGUCAAAAGUAAAAGAGUUCCUUCUAAAUCCCAAUACUUUCACAAAGAUGCCUAAGUUGAGAUUUUUAAAGUUCUAUAGUUCAUCAUUCAAUGGAGAGAACAAAUGUAAGAUGUCCUAUUUGCAAGACCCUGGAUUUGCUGAAGUGAAAUAUCUUCACUGGCAUGGAUAUCCGUUGAAGUCAUUACCCUCAAACCUUAGUGCAGAGAAGCUUGUGUUACUUGAAGUGCCUGAUAAUGACAUUGAACAACUUUGGGAUUGUGUGAAGGUAUGCAUAUCUUAUCAUAUAUGUGCAAUCUUUCAAUAACAACCUUAAAUUAUUAUACGUGGUAACGAUUUUGUCUUGGCCUCUUUUUUGACCGAGCAGCAUUAUAGUAAGUUAAAUCAGAUAAUCCAUGCUGCCUGCCAUAAGCUAAUUGCCAAAAUUCCAAAUCCCACGUUGAUGGCCCGUUUGAACAAGCUAGUUAUCUUGAAUCUAAGAGGUAGCAAAAGCCUGAAAAGUCUUCCAUCUGGAAUAUUUAACUUGGAAUUUCUUACCAAGCUUGAUCUAUCGGGCUGCUCAAAACUGAAAAGGCUUCCAGAGAUCUCAUCGGGUAAUAUAAGCUGGUUAUUUUUAAGUGGAACUGCAAUUGAAAAACUACCCUCAUCAUUUGAGCUUCUACUUAGGCUUUCGUGGCUGGACCUUUCAGAUUGUAAAAGGCUUAAGAGUCUCCCAAGCAGCCUCUAUAGAUUGAAAUCUCUUGGAGUUCUUAGUCUCCUUGGUUGCUCAAAUCUUCAGAGAUUGCCCGAAUGUCUUGGCCAAUUAUCCUCGCCAAUAAUAUUUAAUCUAGCGAAAACCAAUAUUGAGAGAAUACCAGAAAGCAUUAUCCAACUUUUCGUGUCGGGAUACCUCCUCUUAGGUUAUGGUGAGAGGUUCCAAUCCGUACAAAAGCCUCCAUUCCUUGAACGAGGUUGCUUGGCAGUGCAACCACUUUUAGGUUUGUUCUCUAAGUUAUGAAUCUUAUAGGCAAUUUUUUUUUACCGGAGCAAUAAAUUUAAAUUGGAAGGUAAUUCUACUGCAGGAAUUGUUGAAGAUACCCUGAGAAUUCAGCAUACGAACCAUAUGCCAGCUGUACGUUGGCAAGAAAUAUGGCAAGAAGAUUGGCUAAAUGUGUGUCUUUAACUCUCUCUACUUACAAUGUCUACAAUCUUUUUUUUUUUGGGUUUAAAAUUAUGUUUUUUUGGUACAGAGAGGUUUUUCCAUGGGCAAAGGUCAUAUAGUACUACCGGGGAAUGAAAUUCCAAAGUGGUUUGAGUUUCAAAGUGUGGGAUCUUUUAUAACCUUGGAGAUGCCGGCAGAUUUCUUCAAUAAUAGCCGAGUGCAGGGCAUUGCAUUUACUGCUAUUUUAGCAGUUUCAGACCGUCAUGUAGAUUGUGGCAGAUGGUUUUCAUUUUCUUGUGAGCUCAAAGUGAAAACCACCAAAGAUUGUGGUACGCAUGACACACGAUUAUCUCAGAGAAGAGUUAAUUAUGUAGAAUCAGAUCACUUACAUUUGGGGCACUAUCUGUUCUGUGAAGAGGAUUUUAAUGGUUUUUGGAAAUGCAAUUGCAUUCUUGAGGCAGUCCAUUUAAUGUUUUUCCACCUUUGGAGUGCCAGUGCUGCGGGGUGAAAAAAUGUGGGAUCCAUUUACUUCACACCCCAGAUUCUACGAAUUCAAUGUAAGAUCCAAGCAAAUGUUUCAACUGUAAUGAAGAAGACUGAGAUAGGUGUCAUUUUCACUCAACUCACCUGAGUUGUGAAUCCAUUUGCUUAAACAUGUAUGCACUUUUUCAAGUAUCUCUACCAAUUCCAUAUUUGGAAUGGUGCAUUUGAUUCCAUAGUUGAUGUGGUAUCGUCUAUGGUUAGAAUUUAUAUUUACAAAAAUGACUUGUAAGGGAAGGAUUGAAGAUGCCCGUGAACUUAUAUUUCGAUUUAGAUUAUUGUAUCUUUUUCAUGUAUAAAAUUGGAUCCUAUCAUUCACAUAUCAUUGACAUGAGCAAUAUGGAUUACUAAAUCAUUAUUCUUUAUUAUUGUGCUGAAUUUGAUUUUUUAUUGAAUAAUUUGAUAUAUUUCUUGAAUCAAUUUGGAGCUUCUACAACUUGUCAGAGAUCAGUUUCUCCAACAUUCCUUUCCGCGCCAAAAGAUAACCAAGCGGUUGAAUAAGAAUUGAUAUAUACAACAUAAAUACAAGAGUUGUUUUGUCUUUUUACAAUAGGAAUAAUAUAUAAUGCUCGUUAACACUUGCUGAUGAGAAAGUAAAUUCCUCAGAAAUUAAAUGUUUCAGCCAACCAAGGAAGCAGCUUUUCAUGGACCAACUCAGGCCUNNNNNNNNNNNNNNNNNNNNNNNNNNNNNNNNNNNNNNNNNNNNNNNNNNNNNNNNNNNNNNNNNNNNNNNNNNNNNNNNNNNNNNNNNNNNNNNNNNNNNNNNNNNNNNNNNNNNNNNNNNNNNNNNNNNNNNNNNNNNNNNNNNNNNNNNNNNNNNNNNNNNNNNNNNNNNNNNNNNNNNNNNGUGGGCGUGGGUACUAAUCGAAACAAAUGCGUCAAGUGCCCCUUCCUCAUUGGCGGGCUCUCGUAUGAUCUGCAGUUUUGAGGUCGAUUCAUGAAUUAUGAGACGCCAUUUUUGUAACAGGUUAAAAUGGCAUAUAAGUGGAGAAUAUUAAUACCUCAACCAGUGUUUCAUCCACAGAUUCCUUAUUUGCAUAAAUGGACAGUAAAAUAUUCCUCAGUGUUUCCCUGAAGCACCAAUGUAUACACAUCAUAGAUUUUUUUAAUUUUGACUCUAGUGUUUUAGGAUAAUGAACAAUGGACUGAAUUAAGAGAAGAGAAAAUACCUUUGUUUCACACGCUCAAAUAUAGCGGAAGCAAUUGGCCUUUGCUUCAACAAAAAAUCAAUGAACCAAAGCAAUGGUAACAAUAGCUUGAUUCUCCAAUCAUCAACAAUUGCCUUGUUGUUCAUGCCACCAGCACAAUUCAACAGAACAAGCCCUCGAACAAGGGUUUGACUAGAUUCUUAUGGUAGAAAAUAUAGCAGGUUUAUCGUAAACCAUAGAUACCAAAAAGGAUAAUUAGGGACAAGUGUUUCUUUGCAAGCAAGUUGAAGAAUAUCUGAUGUCCAAGGGGAAGUUAAAAUAAAUAUACCUGAGGCAGCGAUAACACAAGCUAGGCUUCCAACAGAAUUACCUAUAAGCACAGUUGGCUUCUCAACAACUUCAUCCAAGAAAUCCAAUAUUAGCUGUAUCAGUGAAUCCCACUCAAGUUAGCAAGGAAAAUAACUAAAGGUCAAGUGAUUGACGACAUAAGUACAGAGAAAGAUCCAACUUCUGGCUAGGGAACAUUGCACACCUGAGCCCAUGCCUCCAUGGUAUAUGAAUAACCAGC